UUUUCACCAAUUAUUUUCAUUCGCAACCUCGUUAUUGCACUAGCACCAACAAUAAAAUAACUACUAAUUUUGGUAACUGUUGUUAACUUUUCUUGUAUUAGUGUGGUUGAAAGGAAAUUUAUAUUAAAAAGUAACACACCCAAUUUCCUUUUCGUUAUCUUCAUGUAAAGGCCAAUGGUGGAUGAUGGAUCCCAUCCCAUGCAUCACAUGGAUGACUAAUGAACUUUUAUAAUCUCGACUGAUCGAUAUCGUCUUAUCAUUAUCUAAGCAGUUUAGUUUUCAAACAUGAUUACGUAAUAAACAAUAUCCUUUUAUCUUGGGUAAAGUCUAAAGCCAGAAAUAGUUUAUUCAGCUGCUACCUAACUUUAAUUUUAUAUAUGCAAUUGUUAACCAUUGCCAUUAUUCUUCAUGUUUUAUACGAUUUUCUAAAUUAUUCAAAAUUACAAGAAGAAGAAUUCUAAGUACAAAAAAAAUGAAUAUAUAGUUCUAACAAACUAGCUUAUAACUCACAUAUACGUUACAACUCCUGGAUGGUUUUGUUCAGCUAACGCUUACUUUUUUACAAACUAAUCUUUCUUUCUCUAUGCUCUUACUCUAUCUGGAAAUACUUGAUCCAAAUAAUUGAUUAGAAGCAGCUAAUUAAUUGGUUGCCGAAUCAGAUUACUCAUAUGCAAGAACUUAAAUGGUAGAUAUUUUGACAGGCCAUGAGGGGAACUGAUGGGAACACCAUACAUAUUCAAACAAAUGAUAUUACUGAGUCAUGACCCACUUCGAACAGAAUUUGGUUGCUUAAUUUGUCAAAUAUGUGAUGACCUGUGCUUCAUUACAAAAUUCAAGACGUGAUGUUUAUAGGCUACAUUCAAUAUACGAUCGAGAAAUAAUUCACAAACGCGAACUGGUUCUGCUUGGAGUGACCCUCAAGGUGUCUCCACCAGAAUGGACUUUAUAACUACGUUAAAUAAUUUGGUCUCUUGGAAUUUUGGUUAAUUUGAUUGAGUACGAUCUCCAUCAAAGACUCUUCUUCAAGACUUUAGACACCCUGGUGGCUGGUGCUCAGAGUUCAACCACGUACGUCAAAACAAAAGAAAAAAAAAUGAUUUGGAAACAUUUGAAAGAAAUAAAAAUCACUAUAUACGUUGCCCAAUUAGUGAGAUUCGUAAAUAUACUCAAGAAGGCAAUUAAUUAGAAAACCUGAUUUUAAACAAGUAGUUACGAUAUCAUUAUUAUUUGAAAUUAAUUUUCAUUUUUAGGUGAGUUUUUGCUCACCUCUUAAUUAUGGUGUAGCGUUUCUUUUCUUUGUGUUUUUCUUAUGACAAAAACGGACUUCUUUUUGCCCUCCAAUUUAAUUGUUAAUCGCUAUAAAAGUAGUUUGCAUUCCAAGUUAAUGUGACAUCUGUUUCUCUCUCACUUUUCUCUUUAUUUCUCAAGACAAACAAGAUACUAACAAUGAGCAUAUAUUGUCCUAAUUGCCUCCUCCUAGUCCUCACCGCCUUGUUGUAUCUUUUCGUUGCUAUCACCGCGUUUGGAGUAGGAGGAGGAGAAGAGCACCUUUACCCUCCCAAGUACCCUCCUCUAAGGGGUGGGUAUUUCCCCUUUGACAACCUGAACGACCCACGUUUGAGGGAGAUCGCAGAGUUCGCCAUUUCCAAGUACAACAAGAUUCAUGACCAAAAACUAGUGUUGCAAAAGUUGGUUCAUGGACAGUUCCAAAUAGUGGAGGGAACCAAUUACAAGCUUGUCAUUUCGGUUCUCAAUUCUUCCAAGAUCUUUAGCGGCCCAAUCAACUAUGAGAUCAUUGUGUUCGAAAAUCUUUGGAGGACUAUUAAGGAACUGAAGUCCUUUGUUCGAGUCCAAAUUAAUAAAACUUAAAUCCAGUCCACCUUAUUUUUAAGGUUUCUGGAGUCCUUUCUCAUUUCUUUCUUAUAUUUUUUAGAGCAUUAUCAACUAAUAAUAUAUAAGUUACUUUCACAUGAUGCAUUAUGAGUUCGAUUUUUUGUGUUAGUUAAUCAUGCGAAGGUGGCCAAAGAGAGGCUAAAAUGUCUUUGUGAGUCUUCCCGACUUCCGAAAUGAAUGAUUACCGUGGUGAAGCCACCAACUAGUCCUCUUUUUCUAAAUAAAAAAACAACAUAAUACAAACACAGUUUGGAAACAACUCAAUUUCAUUACUUUUCUCAUAUUCUCCUUUACUCACUCUUUUUUGUUCGAUGGCAAAUAAUUUUAUCGUUUGUGAAAUAACCAACAAAACGAUAUAAGAACAUGAAAAAAUUAAACUAAUUAACAAUCUCGCAUGUAAAAAAGUAAAUUUUUUUUGGGGGUAAAGACCGUGAAGUGUCUGCACACCCGAAAAGUGUGACCAAUAUCUACUCAAGGUUUGGCUUGACACUGGCCACAAAGUGCUUUCGUAAAAUUUCUGGCAAAUAUAAAAAACGACACGUAGUUUUCUUUUUGUUCAUGUUUGUUUCGUCCAUAUAAUUUGGUGAAGCUUUUGACGUCAAAAAGAGGAAGGGCUAAAUUUUAGUAGAUGAUGCAAAAAAGGAUAGUGACAUUGAUCCAUAAGAAGCUCAACAAACUCUUGAAAUACCGGAAGCUAAUUUGAGGAAAGCUAAAGGCAGGAGACAAACAAUUGAAGUUAAUUUGUUAAACCCUCCGUGCCUUUCCUUUUUAGUCAUUAAAACCCACAAAACAAAAGAAAUAAUAUCAUUUUUGUUGUAGGCCUAUUUGAUUGAAAGAUUUAAGGUUUAGAGAGAGAGAUAGGGGUUCGGCAAUAUUGAGAGAGAAGAGAGAUUGAUUUAAUUGUGAGGUGUGUUUGAUUCACCCCAUUGUGCCUUUAUUUAUAGUAGUAGGAAGGGUAAAACCUUUCCCUUUAGAAUUACAAUAUUUAAUAGAUAAUCUAAUCUUAAUAGGAAUAUAAGAUAUUUUCCCAUAUUCCCUAGGAUUUACACAAUCACAUUCCUAUUCUAAAUAUGACUGCAACACUCCCCCUUAAGUGUGUAAAUACUCAACAAAUCAUCCCAUCAGAUCUUCAGCAGAUAAGGUAGAAUAGUUGAUGAAGUCAUCGGCACAACGGGUGAUCGCGAGUCUCAAAUUUAAGUGAAGUAUGCAUUUGUAGUAAAACUCACAAAACCUCGUUAUGGUAAAACCCAAUGCAUGGGGAAAACCCAUAGACUAAGGAGAAGAGUGAGAAGUAUGAUCAUCCCAUGAUGGGUGCCUCAUUAAAACCUCGUUAGGUAGCAAAACCCAGUGGAAAAAAUGCUUCUAAUCGUAGGGAAAAUAGUACAGUAAGAUCAUGUGAGUAUGCUUCUAGAUACUCUCCUUAAGUUAGACAUAACUUCUAAAUAAGAGAACUACAAACGAUGCAACUUAGAUAAUUUACGCAUAUCGAUUCCUUGGAUGGGUUUCUGAAAUGUAGACUUGGGCAAUAACUUGGUAAAGAGAUCGGCCAGGUUGUCCUGGGAACGGAUUUGCUUGACUUCAAUGUUCUGAUGUUGUUGUUGCUGGUGUGAUUAAAAGAACUUUCAUAAUAUGUGCUUGGUGUUGUCUCUUUUGAUGUAUCCCUUCUUCAGCUGCUCGAUACAUGCUGCAUUGUCUUCAAAGAUCAUCGUAGGAAGGUCAACGACUGAUGUAAGACCACUAGUGCUUCGAAUAUGUUCCAUAACUUCUCUUAGCCAAAAGCACUCACGCGAUGCUUCAUGUAGGGCGAGAAUCUCAGCAUGGUUAGACGAAGUCGCAACUUGCGUUUUCUUGGUAGACUUCCAAGAUAUAGCGGUGUCUCCAACGGUAAAGACAUAACCUGUUGAGAACGUGCUAUAUGUGGGUUAAACAGAUAUCCAGCAUCUGCAUAACCAACAAGGCGAGAAUCAUUCCGAGGGCCAUAGAGGGCGACAACACUUGGAGAUUAGCGAGUAUAGAACAAACCCAAAUUCGUAGUACCUUUGAGGUAGCGAAAAAUGUCUUUAACACCAUUCCAGUGCCUGCAUUUGGGUGCAUUGUUGUAUCUAGCCAAUAGAUUCACAGAGAAUGAGAUGUCAGCUCUAAUGCAUUGAGUCAAGUACAAUAAAGCCCCAAUUGCACUUAAGUGAGGAACUUCGGGUUCCAAAAUCUCUUCCUCAUCCUCCUUUGGACUGAAGGGAUCUCGUUUAGCAUCUAGAGUUUGAACAACCAUACGUGUACUCGAAGGCUUCGCUUUAUCUUCAUUAAAACGUCAUAACACCUUUUGGGUGUAGUUCGAUUGAUGUACUAGGAUUCCAUCCGAACAAUGCUCGAUUUCCAGGCCGAGGCAAUAUCGAGUUUUCUAAGAUCCUUUACCUCAAAUUCUGAUUUCAAGUGUGUAGCAAUUUCCUCAAUCUCUGCGGCAGUCCCAAUGUGGUUCAUGUCAUCGACAUAAACUGCAAUGAUUGCAAAUCCGGAAUCUUGAAAAGCUGCAAUCUGCCUCGAUUGUCAUCCACCAUUCUUGUUUUAAAAAUUAAAUUAAAUCAGAAAUUAACAUUUUGUAAAUUUCAAGAAAUUUUAUUCUGUUGAUGCACAAAAUCAGCGAAGACUUUGGUACAACAGAAAGUGUCAGGUUUUGUGACCUUCGCUUGGUUGCUUCGGUCACUAGUGAGGAUAAGUACGUAAAUGAAUAGAGACAGAGAAGCAAACACAGGAUGUACGUGGUUCACCCAGAUUGGCUACGUCCACGGAGUAGAGGAGUUCUUAUUAGUAGUGAAGGGCUUACACAAGUACAAAGGAUCAAGCUCUCAAUUUAGUGAGUUCUUGUGAAUGAUUUAACACAAAAUGGCAUUAGGCAAUAUUGUGGGGGAAUGACCCCUAUUUAUAGAAAAACUUGUAGCUUUGUCACAUUGACAUGUGUCAUGUUAUGAUUGGUUCUUGAUGUCGACACGUGCUGCGCUCUGAUUGGCUUCUAAUCUUGACACGUGUCGAGUAGUGAUUGGCCUCCUGGUCGGAGGGGAACUCUUCUGGGUCCUUGACAGUAUAGCGUUGGCCGGUGCUCGGUAGUUUCGGGAUUGGUCAAGUAUGGUACAAACAGUGCUCCCCUAAGUUCCCGAGUGAGGGAAACUCCUCGGUUGGGGACUUGCAAGAUCCAAUCCCUUGAGUAAUCACGAAACUUCUAAGUACCGAAGUGUGGUCUGAUCUUCAUCUGCCCUUCUCUGGAAGUACCUUUCCUCCAUCCGGGAAUGGUGUACUUUAGCUGAUGUUGACGCACAAGGUAAUGUAUCAAUUUCACUUGAAGCUUAGUUGUAGUUUCGGGCUUAGUCAAGUGUGAUACAAACCCUAUAGUAGGAGUCCCCCAAGUCGCCGAGCUAGGAGAUCUGCCGAAAGAGGUGACAGACAAGGUAAGCAGUCAAACUUCCAAGUAAGCAACCCAGGAUCAGAGGUUUGACUUCGGCUUCCGGUUGAUUGUUCUCCUUCUCCUUGUCUCUCAUUCAACUGCCAGGAUAAGGAGAAGCAAAUGGAUAAGAGAUGAUAUGAGAUACUUUUGCUUUUGAAGAAGUAACUUUCCACAGGCUUAUUCUUGAACUGUGCUGGAGGGUUUUCUGGUGCCCUUCAGAGUAUAAGGCCGACUCAAAAAUUUGAGGGUCAAAACAAGUCCAUCAAAUCUAGAGUACGUUCGACCUUGAUGAUAUGGGAUACUUUUGCUGUUGACGGAAUAAUGAAUGUGGUAUGGAAAGGUGUCGUGCUGUAGUGAUCUGUUUCAGCUCACCGUUGAACCUUCUGCUUCAAUCUUUUGCAUGGCAGAAGUGGUGUGCAACCUUUGCAUUUAAAUGGUCCUUCAGAACAUUCCUUCAUAGUGACUCAUCCACGCUUGGCAGCUUCAGUGUAAAGAGCCAAUAUCUGAUCAACUGUCAUGAGGUAUUUGCCGGUGGAAUUCGUGACCUUGACAGCAGUUGAGGAUGAGUACUCGAGAGCAAUGCUAAGUAAGCAACCAGGCAAAGGCUCCAGGCAGUCAGUUCCAAAUUGGAGGUUUGAUUUCAGGUUCCGACUGACUGCUCUCUUUCUCCUUGUCCUGCAGGUGUGGACAAGGACAAAGACAAAGACAGGGAGAAAGCAUGAUAUGGGAUACUCUUGCUUUCGACCCUGAUGAUAUGAGAUACUCUUGUUCUUGGUGUGGCUUAUUUGCUGAGGUAUUAUCGGGGGGAAAUAAAGCUGAGUAUUUCGAGAGGUUAUGUUGAGGGUGCCUUUUCGAAUGCGAGAAAGGGUUGAGCAUUUUUGCAGGUUUGCCUGUCCGUUGAGGAGGGAGGUCAAUGUAUAUAGGGAUUUCCCAAUAACAAGUAGUAAUGCUAUUCCUUUACCCUUCUUGGUCACAGCAAUGUAGUGGGAGCUGCCAGCUUCACGUGUUUUAAUUUUGUCAGAGCACUUUGAAAAAGUGGUAUGUGGUAUCUGGAAAGCUGAUAUUACGUGUGAAGAUUACAGACAAGCUUUAUCUAAGGAAAUCUGGCUCUCGAAGUUCUGAGAGUUGUGCCUCUUCGGUUUUCGAACAAGCAAUCCCGUCGAGGAUCUGACUCUCGAGAUUCGGAAAGCGGUGCUACUCCGGUUUUUGAGAAAGUAAUUAUGUUGGGAGUCUUUUCUCUCGAAUGUGAGUAAAGGUUGGACGUUCUUGCCAACCUGUCUUGCCGCAAAACACGGAGGUCGACACACAUAGGGACUUUCCAGUUGUCAAGCAGUGGUGCUGUUCCUUUACCCUUAUGGGUAAUAGUAGGGUAGCUGGAACUUCGAAAUUCUCGUGCCUAAACUUUGUCAGAGAUCUUUGACAAAGUUAUAUGUGGUACCCGAGGAGUUGAUGGUGCAUAUGGAGAGCGGUGAUUGAACAGUAAGAUUCACGUGCUUUCUACUUCACCAGAAAUCUUCGACAGAUUGCCCGUAAUUUCCGCAAAGCUGAUUGUGCAUGUGACAGGUGCUGACGAGGCUGAAAAAGCAGGUGCUUCUUCGAUUUCUGAGAUCGGCCCUCGUGGUCUCUGAGCAGCCCAGCUUUUGAGAAAGCAAACGCCUCUUCGAUUUCUGAGAUCGGCCCUCGUGGUCUCUGAGCAGCCCAGCUUUUGAGAAAGCAAACGCCUCUUCGAUUUCUGAAGCUCCGUCGAGUGCAGAUUUUUAUAGAGGCUGGCAUUAAGUUCCACAGCACACUUGAAUCUCUACCAGUAGAAGCUCAUUUCUUGCACUUCUAAGAUCUUGAUUUGUCUGACCUCUUCCUUCUUCAACACAUUUGAAAAUGUCUGGACCCUCCGACCGUCGUUUUGACUUGAACCUUGGAGAAGAGACAGCCACGCCUUCUCCAGACAACAUAUGGCGCCCAUCCUUCAUAUCCCCUACUGGUCCUCUUACCGUUGGGGAUUCUGUGAUGAAGAAUGAUAUGACCGCUGCAGUGGUGGCCAGGAACCUUCUCACUCCCAAAGAUAACAGACUACUUUCCAAACGGUCUGAUGAGUUGGCUGUUAAGGACUCUCUGGCUCUUAGUGUUCAGUGUGCAGGUUCUGUGUCUAAUAUGGCCCAACGCCUAUUUGCUAGAACCCGCCAAGUUGAAUCAUUGGCUGCUGAAGUGAUGAGUCUCAAACAGGAGAUUAGAGGGCUCAAGCAUGAGAAUAAGCAGUUGCACCGGCUCGCCCAUGACUAUGCUACAAACAUGAAGAGGAAGCUUGACCAGAUGAAGGAAUCUGAUGGUAAGGUUUUACUUGAUCAUCAGCGGUUUGUGGGUUUGUUCCAAAGGCAUUUAUUGCCUUCGUCCUCUGGGGCUGUACCUGGUAAUGAAGCUUCAAAUGAUGAACCUCCAAUGCCUCCUCCUUCUGGGGUUUUGUCAAGUACUGAGGCUCCGGAUAACCACCCUCCGGUGCUUUCUCUUUCUGGGGCUCUACCGACUGCUGAGACUUCCCCUAAGCAACCUUUGUGAAGGCUCCCUUUUGUUUGUUUAUUUUGACUCAUGUAUAUGUACAUAUUUGUGGCUUAUCGAAAAUAUUAAUAAAUAAGCUUUGCUUCAUUUCAACAUAUUGUGUUAAAUACACCAAAGCCUUCUUCAUAAAGUUCUUUGAAUUUUUGCUUUUGUUGAAACCUGUAUUGUUGAAGCUUUGUGAGUGAAGCAUGUAGUUUGAGGUAGUGUUCCCUUAAUUUCCCGAGUGAGGAAAACUUCUCGGUUGGAGACUUGAAAAAUCCAAGUCACUGAGUGGUUGUGAGACUUUUGCCGAGUAUCCAAGGUGCGUAGUAGCAUAUGGUGGGAGUCCCCCAAGUCUUCAGGCGAAGAGAGUUGCCGAAUGAGGUGUCUCGCGUGUUACUAAUGUUGUCAAAGUAACGAAUUCCUUGUUUCGAUUUGUCACACAUUCGUAUAUGCUUUAUCUAAAAAAUAUUUCCAACUUUUGUGUGUUUGAUGCUGCAUGCUAUUGACUAGACAAAAAGAUCAAAUGUGCAAUUAGUAGCUUUUCUCUCUUUUUCAUCUUUUCUUUGGUGGAAUUGCUUUUUCGUUUCCACUAAUCAGCCUGAGUGGAUGCAAGAUAACACCUUUCUCUAUAGCUCAGAUUGCAAAGUCGUCUUCAUGAAAGUUUUUCCUUAUCUUGUGAACUACAACAUAUCCAAAUUUGAGAGAUCCAUCGGAGUAGUACAACUUCAGAAAUUCAAGUAUGAUGAGUAACUGUUCAUCAAUGUUCUGUUAAUCCGUCAGACUUUGUUGUGAGCUUCGAAACUCCAUUUUCUCUUGUUCAGAUCAACAUACUUUCUUCAUCGAAGUUGUUCCUUAACUUGUGAACUACAACAUAUCCAAAUUUGAGAUCCCUCGGAGCAGUAUAACUCCAGAAAUCCAGGUAUGAUGAGUGACUGUUAUCAUUUGUCUGUCAACCCGUCAGAUUUGUUGUGAGCUUUGAAACUCCAUUUUCUCUUGCUUCAGAUCAGCAUGCUUUCUUCAUUGAAGUUGUUCCUCAGCUUGUGAACUACAACAUAUCCAAAUUUGAGAUCCCUCGGAGCAGUAUAACUCCAAGAAAUCCAGGUAUGAUGAAUGACUGGUUAUUAUUUUUCUGUCAACCCGUCAGAUUUGUUGUGAGCUUCGAAACUCCAUUUUCUCUUGUUCAGAUCGGUAUGCUUUCUUCAUUGAAGUUGUUCCUCAUCGACUCUUUCAUAACAUAUCAAAAAUUCAGGAUGAACUAACGGUUAAAUAUUUCCAGAUCUUCGAAACAUCACAACAGCUUCGAAAUCUGCAAGAAGCCGACUAUCAUGUUUGGAGCUUCAACACUUUAAUUUCCGUCGCUCAAACAGAAAUGGUUCCUUCUUGAAAGUUGUUCAUAUGCUCAAGAACUAUAGGGUGUCCAAAAUUCAGCUCCAUUGGAGAAGAGCAGAGGUUGCAGAAAUUUGAUAGAUGAAAGGAGGCGGAAGAGGGAGAGAGAGAAAAAGUCUCUUGGGUUGGAUUUCUAUUUUGGGGCAGAUUCCAAUUUUUGUAGCACCUUCAUUAUUGAUGAAUUGCUUGUACUUUUGUCCAUUAUGAAACUUUGGGACUUUGGCUUGUUGUUGGAUCUAUUAUAAUAUGUUUGGGAACAUAUAUAAGUGAAUAAAUAAGAAGGAAAAUUUUGGGCCCUUGUGGGUGUAAAACAAAAAAUGUUUAUGUUUACCCAAGUGUUUUUGUACAAGUUCAAGGGCAUCUUGGGUUUUGUGAACAAAAUUUGUUUAUUUGGAGCAAGGUUUUGUGUUGAAGCUUUGUAGGUGAAGCUUUCUAGGUGAAGCUUUGAUGGUGAAGCUUUGUAGAUGAAGCUUUGUAGAUGAAGCUUUCUAGGUGAAGCUUUGAUGGUGAAGCUUUGAUGGUGAAAGUAUGUAGAGGGAGCUUUCUAGGUGAAGAUUUUUUAGGUGAAGCUUUGUAGGUGAAGCUUUUUUAAGUGAAGCUUUUCGGGUGAAGUUUUUUUUUUUGGGAAGCUUUGUGGUGAAGCUUUUUAGGUGAAGCUUUGUGGGUGAAGCUUUGGAGGUGAAGCUUUUGGGUGAAGCUUUUUGGGUGAAGCUUUUUAGGUGAAGCUUUGUGGUGAAGCUUUUUAGGUGAAGCUUUGUGGGUGAAGCUUUGGAGGUGAAGCUUUUCGGGUGAAGCUUUUUGGGUGAAGCUUUUUAGGUGAAGCUUUUUUGGGUGAAGCUUUGGAGGUGAAGCUUUUCGGGUGAAGCUUUUUGGAUGAAGCUUUUUUUUUUUUUUUUUUUUUUUUUUUUUUUUUUGGCGCUUGACACGGUCUUCAUUUGCUUGUUUUGUAGUGACUGUGGAAGACGGAUUGCUUUCUGAUUGAGAAGGGUUCCGGCAUCGCUUGCUAUGAAUGUAAAAGAGUGAGGGCUGAGUUGGCUAAAUUACCUCUUUAUUGAAUUCAUUGCCAAAUGGCCUUCAUUACAUAGGAUGCCGAACGGCUAUAGCUCAACACUUGUACAUCGUGAGUCUAUUUGUAGUAGUACUUCAAGUGAUCAGCGUUCCAUGGAUGGCCAAGGGUCUUGCCAUCGGAGCUUCUAAGUGUGUAAGAGCCAGGGCGACUGAUGCCAAUGACUUCAUACGGUCCAUCCCAGUUUGGACUAAGUGUGCCUUCACUCGGGACUCUGUCGCAGAGUAAUCUUUUCUUUAAGACCCAGUCUCCUAUUUUGAAAGAACGAGGCUUGACCCUAGAGUCAUAAUAGUUGGAGAUGCGCUGCUUGUAGGCGACAUUCCUCAAGUGAGCUUGGUUUCUGUGUUCCUCGACUAAAUCCAAGUUGAGGGUGAGUUGUUUGUCAUUUUCACUUUGAAUGUAGUUCUGGACUCGGAAUGUUGCUUGCUCGAGCUCAACAGGGACAACCGCCUCUGUGCCAAAGGCAAGUGAGAAUGGAGUUUCUCCUGUUGAAGUCCGAUAUGAAGUGCGAUAUGACCAAAGAACUUGGGGUACAAAUUCUGGCCAACAGCCUUUAGCUUUGUCCAAGCUGGUUUUCAAAGUGCGCUUGAUUAUUUUGUUGAUGGCCUCAACUUGUCCAUUAGACUGGGGAUGAGCUGGAGAGGCAAAGCAUAAGUUGAUGUUGAACUUAGAGCAGAACAACCUGAACUUCUUGUUGUCAAACUGUCGCCCAUUGUCAGUGACUAUCGCAUUGGGAAUGCCGAAUCUACAAAGGAUGUUCUUCCACACGAAGUCUUCUAUCUUUGCCUCAGUAAUGGUUGCCAAGGGUUCUACUUCGGCCCACUUUGUGAAGUAGUCCACUGCAACGACUGCGUAACAGACUUUGCCCUUCCCUGCCGGCAUUGGGCCGAUCAAAUCAAGUCCCCACUGGGCGAAGGGCCAAGGGCUGAUCAUAGGAGUAAGAGGCUCUGGAGGGGAAUGAGGAAUAGUUGCAUAUCGUUGACAUUUGUCACAUGAGCGGGAUACUUUGAUGGCAUCCUGGUGGAGUGUUGGCCAGUAAUAUCCUUGGCGAAAAGUCUUGUGUGCUAGGGACCGAGAUCCAGCAUGAUCUCCACAGACUCCCUCAUGUAUUUCCCGAAGGACGAUUUCCGCCUCGGCAGGCGUAAGACACCUUAAGUAUGGCAGGCUAAAACCUCGCUUAUAGAGUUGAUCAUUGAUGAUCAGGUAGCGGGUAGACUUGUAUCGAAUUUGCUUAGCCUGGACUUUAUCAUUUGGGAGGGUGCCAUGAGCAAGGAAAUUAUAGAUCGGGGUGAUCCAACUAUCCCCCUGUUGUAAGUUGCAUACUUCUGCGGCCAUGGUGCUUGGUGUUGCCAACAGUUCGACAUGAAUUUUUCUUCCAAUCUUGUCUUCCACAGCUGAGGCGAGGCGAGCCAGGGCGUCUGCAUGACUGUUUGCCGCUCGAGGAACUUGGGUGAUCUGGUAGUGGAAGUGCUUGAGCAAAAGUUGUGUUUGCGCAAGAUAUGCUGCCAUGGAGCUGUCCUUAGCAUCAAAGUUGUUGGUAACCUGGUUGACCACUAAUUGGGAGUCACUGAAAAUAUCAAUUUGUUUAACCCCGAGGUGUUUGGCCAAACGUAAUCCUGCUAGAAGGGCUUCAUACUCGGCCUCAUUGUUUGAUGCCUUGAAUUUGAAACGAAGAGCAUACUCCAUUGCUACUUUGUCGGGCGUAGUCAAGACUAGUCCCGCUCCACAGCCCUGUUGGUUGGAUGAGCCAUCAACAUACAGACUCCAUGCUGAGGUCGUUGAUUCUACUUUCUGAGCUUCCGAUGGUAAUGAAGCUACUGCUUCAGGUGUAGAAGCAAUGUCAACAGGAUAUGUGAAGUCGGCGAAUGAAAUCUGCUACUGCUUGGCCUUUUUCGGCUGGUUUUGGUUGGUAGGAGAUGUCAAACUCACCCAAUGCUAUCGCCCAUUUGAUCAUUCGCCCAGACGUGUCAGGACUUUGGAGUAUCUGUCGAAGAGGGUGAAUUGGUAAGCACGAUGAUGGCGUGUGCUUGGAAAUAAGGGCGAAGUUUCCGAGCAGACAUGACCAAUGCUAGAGCCAAUUUCUCAAUGUUGGAGUAGUACCGUGUCUCCGCAUCUUGUAAGGCCUUUGCUAGCGUAGUAGACAGGGCCGUUCGACACCAUUGUCCAUUUCGAAUGAGAACAGGAACUUACUGGCUGAAGCUGAUACCGAUAGGUAGAUAAUGAGAAUGUCUCCUACUUCGGGCUUUUGGAGAGUAGAGGGGCUUUACUCAUGUACUCUUUGAGGUUUUUGAAUGCCUCGGCACAUUCAUCAGUCCAUGUAAUGUACUUCCUACUUCCCUUAAGUGCUUUAAAAAAGGGAGCACAUUUGUCUGUGGCCUUAGAAAUGAACCUGGUUAAGGCUGCCACCUUGCCAGUAAGGCUCUGGAUGUCCUUUGAAGUUACCGGUUCCUUCAUGUCGAGGAUUGCUUUGAUCUUCUCAGGGAUUAGCUUCAAUGCCUCGUUGGCUAAUCAUGAAACCUAAGAAUUUGCCAGAGCCUACGCCGAAGGCACAUUUGUUGGGGUUUAACCUCAUUCGAUACCUCUUCAAAAUAGUGAAAGUUUCAGAUAGGUUGGUGAUGUGUUGGUCAGCAUGUUUGCUCUUGACUAACAUAUCAUCAACGUAAACUUCCAUGCUCUUCCCAAUCUGCUCGGCGAACAUUGAGUUGACUAGUCUCUGAUAAGUCGCUCCUGCAUUCUUUAGGCCGAAAGGCAUGACUUUAUAGCAGUAUAGUCCUCUGUCGGUAGUGAAGGCUGUGUGUUCUUGAUCCGAAGGGUUCAUGAGGAUUUGGUUGUAUCCUGAGUAAGCAUCCAUGAAGCUCAGGAGUUCACACCCGGCCGUAGAGUCUAUAAGUCUGUCAAUAAGAGGAAGAGGGAAGCUAUCUUUCGGACACCCUUUGUUUAGGUCGGUGUAGUCAACACACAUUCUCCACAAGACCUUUUGAAGCAAAAGACUUUCUUUGGUCGGAUUUUUCUUAACAAGGACCACAUUUGCUACCCAUGUCGGGUAAUUGACUUCGCGGACAAAGCCUAUGCCUUUGAGUUUUUCAACUUCUGCUUUCAUUGCCUCGUAUCGUUCAGCGUCAUAAGAUCUUCGCUUCUGUCUCACCGGCUUGAUCUUGGGGUCAAUACUCAAACGAUGACAGAUGACAUCGGGAGAGAUGCCUGGCAUGUCCUCGUAUGACCAGGCGAAGACUUCAGUGUUCUCUUUCAAAAAAGAUAUCAAUGCUAACCGAAGGGGUGGUGACAAUGUGGUGCCAAUCUUCACCAUGCGAUCUGGAUAAUCUCUUGAGAUAGGUACCUUCUCCAACUCUUCAGCAGGUUGGGCUUGCUGGGUGAAAGAGUCAUCUCGAGGAUCAUCGGGUUGAUUGUUGCUAUCAGGAAGAUCCAAGUUCGCUUCAUCUAGGCUGGUCUUUGUGACUUGGUCAUGUACAGACAGGGUUUCCUUGGGUCCGGGCAAGUGUUGUUGCUUAACUGAAGUGUUGUAACAUGAUCGUGCACUAAGCUGAUCUCCUCUGAUGUAGCCGUUGCCAUGGGGGGUUGGAAAUUUCAUCAACAGCAUAUGCGUGGAUACCAUAGCCUUGAGAUCAUUGAUGCCUGUGCGCCCAAAGAUGACAUUGUAUGCCGUUGGGCAGUCAACCACUAGGAAGUUAGUGGUAAUGGUAGCCGUGUAAGGGCCUGUACCAAUAGUAAAGGGUAAAUGUAUGCUCCCUAAGGGUUGCACGAUAUCACCGGAGAAGCUUAUCAGAGGAGAAAUCGAGCGAUCGAGCAAGUGUUCAGCUACACUGAGUGCCCUGAAAGCUUCGGCAAACAUGAUAUUGACCGAAGCCCCUGUGUCUACGAGGAUUCGUCGAACAUCAAAGUUGGCUAUGUGAGCCUCCACGAUCAAUGGGUCGUUAUGAGGGUAGAUGAUGCCUCUUUCUUCCUCAGGGUAGAAACAUAUCGGAUCCCAGUUAGGCUUUUGAUACUUCCCUCCCCUGAUGUCUUCCACGUGAAACACUUGGUGACCAGGCCUCAGAAUUCGUUCACUGUUUUUCAUGGCCCUAUUGGAAGAUUCAGAUAUGGGUGUGCCGCCGCUUAUGGAAUAUAUGACAUUCACCUGGCGUUGGUUACGGUUAUCCCUUUGAGGGUGAAGGAGGAAUUGAUCAAUUUUUCCUUCUCGUGCCAAAGCUUCAAUACGAUCACGGAGGAUGAUACAUUUCUCGCUAUCAUGGCCGUUAUGCUCAUGGUAGCAACAAAACAUGCCCGCGUUAUUCGGGGGCGUGUAAUCUGGGUGCCUCGGCUUUGGCUUUGGUAUCAGGUGAGCUAUGCUGGGGUAAAUGGCCGCGCAUGUGGCAUUCAAGGGCGUGUAUGUCUCAUACCUUGGGGUAGGGGGUAUCUUGACGCGGGUUUGACCCACUGCAUUGACUGCCUGGGGGCGAGCGUUAUUGUGGCGAUACCCUUGGUUAUCGGGAUAGUGUCCCUUACUCUUUUUACUGAAAUGAGAGUGGUGAGGAUGGAAAUCCUUCCUCUUGCCUUGAAAUUGAUAUGUCUGUUGAUUCGGCGAAGCAUUAUGCAAGGCAUGGGGAGGUGCCACUGCUGUUUGGAAAGUCGAGGUCUUCUCAUUUAGGUGAGUCUGGCUUCCACCUCCCACUUGUUGAUAAAGGAUGGUUGUAGGGGGUUUCUCCUGAUAUGUCUUUGCCUCGGCGGAGGCAUGGUUAUAAGCCUGCGCCAUCACCUCAGAGUAAGUCUUCCAAGUAUUGGCAUUGAUCAUGUAUUUAAAGAAACAAUCACGUAGGCCUGCCGUGAAGGCUUUGAGGGCAGUCUUGUCGUCUGCCUCGGCACACCGGGAGUAUUCAUGGCUGAAGCGGCCAGCAUACAUACGUAAUGACUCGUCUGGCUUCUGGCGGAUAGUGUACAGGUCAUCUGCAGAGUGCAAGCGAUCGGUUUGGAAAAUGUGUUGGGAAACAAAUAGUUUCCUCAAUUCCUCAAAUGAGUCUACCGUCUCAGGUGUAAGACGACAAUACCAAUUUAGAGCUCCGCCAGAGAGGGUGGAGGGGAAGAGAAGACAUCGCUCUUCGUCGGUGUGCAUCCGGUAUGCCAUGGUGGACUCAAAGAGGUUAAGGUGCUCAAUCGGGUCCUCUUUUCCAGUAUAAAGUUGCAAGCCAAGCUUUUGCUUUGUCUUUGCUUGAAGGGGGGUGUUGAGGAUCCUCCUUGUAAGAGGGCCAGGCCUGGGUUGGUUCCAGUCAGGUAUUUCAGCCUGACGUUCAGCCUUCAACUUGUUUACUUCCUCAAGAAGUUGUAGGACAAGGGGGUCCUGAGCGGAGUUAUGUGUCCACUGGAGCUUUCUUUCGUAAAUCUCCAUCUCCUCUUGGAAUUAGGAAGGUUUGAUCAAGGGCAUGUGAUUUUUCCCUGGACUCGUUGUACUGGCUUCCAGGGUAUGUCUGUCGGAACACCUCUGAGUCCCCUGUACCCUCAUGUCUCUCUAGGACUUGUUGCCCCUUCCCCAAAUUGGUGGCCGGCUCGGGCCGUGGCAGGGGACCGAGUCUCUCAGAAAUCCUUGGGUCAUUGAUCUUUGAGCUUAUAUGGAUGGAAUUCUCUCGACGUUGCUUCAGGAAAUCCCGACAAUCGCGAAAGACGGCUUUCGAUCCUUCUGCCCCUUCAGCAAAGAGGUGUCUCCCUCCACUUCUCAUGGUUCGGGUCGAAGCAACUGGGUUAAGAGAAGCCUCAUGUUGAUUAUCAAGUCGAGGGGUAAUCUGUUCCCUAUCAGGGAUAUCUAUGUCGAAUGCAUGUGACCCUCCAUGUUGGAGGGCACCCAGUUGAUGGUUGACUUCCACGGGGGCAACAAGCUCGCGUGUCUGAGCUUGCCUAGCUUCGUGGAGUGUCUCGAAGAGCUUCUCAUAUUGCUCCUGGAGGACCUCAUUCCUCAUUGCUAUCUUGUUGUUCUGAGCUUCCAACUCAUCGACUUUAGCUUGAAGAAGAACUCGUUUUCCUUCCUUCUUUCGUUGCUUUCGCACUAUGUGCAAGGGGGGUGUCAUUCUGUGUGCUGUGGCUUCCUUCGCUUCCCAUGUUGGAGAGGGAUGCCUGGUCAAAAGAAAGUGUACGAAUGAUAGAAACCAGCUUGACACAGCUGAAGAGAGUAGGAAUAAGUGUCGUUUCCCACAGACGGCGCCAAAUGUUGAUGCACAAAAUCAGCGAAGACUUUGGUACAACAGAAAGUGUCAGGUUUUGUGACCUUCGCUUGGUUGCUUCCGUCACUAGUGAGGAUAAGUACGUAAAUGAAUAGAGACAGAGAAGCAAACACAGGAUGUACGUGGUUCACCCAGAUUGGCUACGUCCACGGAGUAGAGGAGUUCUUAUUAGUAGUGAAGGGCUUACACAAGUACAAAGGAUCAAGCUCUCAAUUUAGUGAGUUCUUGUGAAUGAUUUAACACAAAAUGGCAUUAGGCAAUAUUGUGGGGGAAUGACCCCUAUUUAUAGAAAAACUUGUAGCUUUGUCACAUUGACAUGUGUCAUGUUAUGAUUGGUUCUUGAUGUCGACACGUGCUGCGCUCUGAUUGGCUUCUAAUCUUGACACGUGUCAAGUAGUGAUUGGCCUCCUGGUCGGAGGGGAACUCUUCUGGGUCCUUGACAGUAUAGCGUUGGCCGGUGCUCGGUAGUUUCGGGAUUGGUCAAGUAUGGUACAAACAAGCUGCAUAUUCAGUUUUUCGGAAACUAGCAAACUAAUUAGGUAGGGGAAUGUUAUAACGUCUAUUAUGGGGGAAUACAUCUCCUAGCAAUCAAUCCUUGGGCGCUGAGAGAAUGUAAUAGCCCACAUCGCCCAAGGGUGAGGAUCUUGUAAGCCUUAUAUGUAUAUUCUCAUCUCUACCUAGCACGAGGCAUUUUGAAAGCAAUACCAGGAUGGGCGACCCACUGAGAAGUUCUCGUGUGAUUUCCCAGAAACAAAACCGUGAGGGCGUGGUCAGGGCCCAAAGCGGACAAUAUCGUGCUACGGUGGAAUCGAGCCCGGGAUGUGGUCGGGGCCCGAGGGUUACCCAUCCUGGGAUUGCUCUCGCGCGAACCGCUUAACUUCGGAGUUCCGAUGGAACCCGAAGACAGUGAGUAGCGCGAGAGAGCAAUCCCAUGAUGGGUGACCCAUUGGGAAGUUCUGAUCACGUGAGUUCCCAAAAACAAAACUGUGAGGGAGUGGUCAGGGUCCAAAGCGGACAAUAUCGUGCUAUGACGGAGUCGAGCCCGAGUUAGGAUGUGACAGAGAAGCCUUGCGCUAUAAGGCGUGCUUUGUAUCGCACUAUUUCAUUCUUCUCAUUACGCUUCCUCACGAAAACCCACUUGUAGCCAAUGGGCUUCAUGCGUGGUGGUGUAGGAACGAUAAGUUUGACCUGGAUUGCUUGUUUCCAGGUUCUACGUUGGCAUUCAUCGACGGAACGUGGUUCAAUGUUUUCCUUUUUAGUCAUUAAAACCCACAAAACAAAAGAAAUAAUAUCAUUUUUAAAUAUCUGAAAGAAAUAAAAGUCACUAUAUACGUUGCCCAAUUGAUCUGUAUCGAAGAUACUCAACAAUGCAAUUAAUCAGAGAACAUGAUUUUAAGCCAGUAAUUACUAUAUCAUUAUUAUUUGAAAUUGAUUUUUGUUGUUGGCUUAAUUUACUAAAUCUUUAUAAAGGAUGGAGAGAAAGAGUGUGGAGGCAAUAGAGAGAAGAGAGAGAUGUGUAAUUGUGAGAUGUGUGUUAUGACACCUAUUGUGCCUUUAUUUAUAGUAGUAGGAAAGGUAAAUUCCUUACCCUAAUAGGAUUACAACACUAAUAUGAUAAUGUAUAGUCUAAGAGAUAUCCAAGAUAUGAUAGGAUUUACAUAAUGACUUUCAUAAUCUAAUAGGACUGCAACAAUUUUCAUUUUUUGGGUCAUUUUUGGGUCAUCCUUUUGAUUAUGGUGCAGUGUUUCUUUUCUUUAUAUUUUUCUUAUAACAAAAAAGGGACUCCUUUUUGCCCUCCAAUUUAAUUGUUAUUCAUUAUAAACGUAGUUUACAUUCCAAGUUAAUGUGACAUAUGUUAAUCUCUCACUUUUCCAUUUUUUUUCCAGUGUUCUAAAAAACGGCCUAGGCGGCCGCCUAGGCGCUGGGCGCCUAGCAACCGAGUUGUUUUUGGGCAAAUCGGGAGGAAAAAUCGGGUUGGGCCUAGGCGGGCUAGGCGGCGCCUAGGCGGGCUGGGCGGCUAGGCGGGUUAGGUGGGCUAGGCGGCCCUAGGCGGUCCUAGGCGGUCCUAGGUGGCCCUAGGCGGUCCUAGGAGGUUUUUUUUAUUUUUUAUUUUUUAUUAAUUGCGUGCUUUUUUCUUUUUUGGUUUCAUGGUGGUAUACUUAUGGAAAUGGUGUAUCUAAUUUGCAAAUGAUGAAUUUACUACAAGUUCAUCCAAUACUUAUGGAAAUAGUGUACCUAAUUUGCAUUUUAUCAUUAUUUUAUUAUCCAUACAAGUAUAGUUUUUUUUAGGUGUCAAUAUGCACUUAUUUACAAGAUAUACAAAAAUUUACCUAAAUCCGCCUAGGCCGCCUAGGCGCUAGCCCGCCGCCCGACUAGCGCCUAGCGUUUUUUAGAACCUUGUUUUUUUCUCAAGAUAAACACGAAACUAACGAUGAGCAUGUAUUACCUUAAUUGCCUCCUCCUAGUGCUCACCGCCUUGUUGUAUCUUUCCGUUGCUGCCACCUCGUAUGGAGUAGGAGGAUGAGAAGAGCACAAUUACCCUCCCAAGAACCGUUCUCUAAGGGGUGGGUACUUCUCUAUUGACAACUUGAGCGACCCACAUUUGAGGGAGAUCGUGGAGCUUGUUAUCUCCAUGUACAAUAAGAUUUAUGACAAAACACUGGUGUUGCAAAAGUUAGUUCGGGGACAUUUCUAAAUAGUGGAGGGAACCAAUUUCAAGCUUGUCAUUGCGGUUGUCAAUUCUUCUUCGAUCUAUGGUGGCCCCAUCAACUAUGAUGGCGUGUUUACCAAUUGGGAGUGGAAUGGAGAGAAAUGGAAUUGAAUUCCUCCCCAAGCAUUCUGCAGUUUACUAGCAACUGGGGAAUCAGAUUUUAUGUGGGGUCCAGCCAAUUUCAGGAUUUCAAUUUCGGAUUUCUCUGGAUUUGGAUUCCCUCUAUAGAGGUGGUAAUUGAAUUCUGGGUAGAGAGCUCCAUCACGAAUCAAAAUUUUCUACCCAAAAUACCCAUGUAUAUUCCUAAAACAACUUCUACCUUCAUCAAUCACUCUCCUCUGUAUUUGUUUCUCUCACAACUCAUACCACCCCUUUGUAAUCUGAAACGCAGUAACACAGAAUGACGAACGCCUGCGAUUUGGAACAACGAUCGACCGGGGUUUGAAACGACGACACAACGACGAACAUGAUCUGGAACAACGAACGCCCAAAUUCUCAAGGAAAUUGCGAUUUGUAGACUCAAACAAAAGAGAAGGAAAGAACUUUUAUCACUUUCACCCCUGAAAAUUGGAUUUUUUUUGUUGAUGGGAUGGGUCGUGGCUUCGUAGUUCCUCCUGAGAUUGGAUAGUGGGGUGUGGAUACUGCGUACUGGUGAAAGAAAAGGGCAAGAAAGGGGAAAGAAAAAGAAUGGGGAAAGAAAGGGGAAAGGGUUGCAGAAAAAGAAUGCGGAAAGAAAGGGAGAAGAGAGAAGGAAGUAAAAUGUUAUUUAGUUUACUUUAUGUAGGUAUUUCUAAUAGGAUUUAGGGUGAUUAAGGGUUAGAAGCAAAUAAAAAUUGAUUCUUUCAUAUCAAAUUUGAAGUAAUCUAUGCAAUUAGGAAAAUUUAAAAGUUAUAUAAAAGAAAAAAAAUUAUUCUCUUUAGUAAAAAAUUAAAAAAAAAAUAAAAGAAUAAAAGUUUUACUAAAAAUAAUUAGCAUAUAAAAUAAAUUAGUUAAAAUAGGGGCACUUUAGUAAUCACAUUAAUUAUCAUUCCGAUUCAUGUGAAUUAGUAAAUAGUUUGUAUACAUCAAUGUCAUUCCUACUCCGAUUCUAGACAAUUUUGGUAAACAAAUUCAACAGGAAUCUAAUUCUGAUUCCACCUCAUUCCAAUUCCUCCUCAAUCCAAUUCCUCUUAAUCUGAUUACGGAUUAGUAAACGUGCCCUGAGAUCAUUGUGUUCGAGAAUCUUUGGAAGACUAUUAGUAUUAAGGAACUGGAGUCCUUUGUUCGAAUUCAAACUAAUAAAAAUUAAAUCCCGUCCAUCUUAUUCAUGGUCUUUGGGGUCGUUUCUCACUUCUUUCUUAUAUGAUUUGGAGCAUAAGAAAUUAAGCAUCUGCUAAUAAUAUACAAGUUACUUUUACAUAACAUGUCAUAAGUUCGAUUUCUGACGUUGGUGAAUCACAAAAUGGUGGCCAGAGAAAGCCUGAAAUGCUUACAUAACUCUUUCCAGUUAAAAAAAAGAUGGAUUACUGUCAAAGCGACGAACUGAUCCUUUUUUUUUUUCUAAUAAUAAAAAAAACAACUCAAUUCAUCACUUUUCUCGACUUCUCCUUGAACCACUUUUUUAUAUUUUUUAUUUUUUAUCCAUAACAAACAAUAUUCUAUUUUUGUGAAAUAACCAACAAAUGAUAUAGAAAAGGGAGAAAUUAAAUUAAUCAACAAACACGAAUAUAAAAAGUAAUUUCAUUUUUUAUAAAGAUGUCUCCACACACAAAAAAAAGUGGGACUAAUCACCAUUCUGAGUAGAGUGGAACGGCUUGACUCUGCUACGUAGUGCCCUCAUAAAAAUUCCGUCAAAUAUAAAAAACGACACGUAGCUUUCUUUUUGUUCAGGGUGUUUUUAUCCAUAUAAUUUGGCGAAGCCUGUGACGGCGAAAAGAGGAGGAGGGACUGGAUUUUACAGUCGUAGACAACAUCAACUUCUUCUUCUUCCCCGGGUCGCCGCCGUACGUAAAGCACGACUCUCUCCUUAUAACUCGCCCCGCAGCCGUGACCUCUGCCGGGUAAGAGAUUUAUUGCCUCUUCUAUUUUUAAUUCCGCGUCGUUCUCUAAUUUAGGAAUUUGCGUAUUGAGGAUUUAGGGAUGUUGCCAUUACAAACAGAUGAAUUCGAAAAUUUCCAACUUGUUCAGUGAAUGGUUUUCAGCGAUUUUUCUCUGCUUGUUAAUUUUCAACUGUAAUCAAUUUGUAAUAGCUUCUGAAAAGUGAAAACAAAGUGAGAUUAGUAUUCACUGAAGAUUCAAAUGGACAACGAAACGAUGGAGUUCUGUCUCUGAAUAACUUCUUGCUCAGUGUAAAGUCUGUUGAUCGUUGAUGCUUUUGUUCUAACGAAAAGCGGGUGACCGGAAAAACCAAACAAUUAAAUGUGCAGAUUAAGGAAUUAACAGGUUCCAUAAAAUUGGGGAAAUCUCAUAUUAACAAAGGGCACCGUAUAAUUUUUAACCGAGGAAAAUUGGCUUAGAAUUUCAUCCCGCCACAUUUUCCAUUCCUGGGUCUCUGCCUGUUCUACAUUCUAACAUGCAGUUCCAAAUGUCACUGCUGGUUUAAUUUCUUUAGACGAUACUUUUCAUUUUUGCUGCUGCAGAAUAUUUUCGAAAUCAUUUUAAUUGAGCUUUUGGGAAGGCUUUGUUUGACAGAGCGGAAAGCGGACUGUUUGUCGUUGGCUUCAGUGUCAGCACUCUGGUUGAAGUCUUUAACAUGGUUAGCCUUAUUUUAAUCACAGUUAUAAUUUUGAUUGUUAUUUGUCUUCUCUGUCAAGUAUGGUUAAAUUUUCUUUCUGUUUUUAUUCUCAGGAAGUGUUCAGGACGGCCAUUUUGCAGCCUGGCCCACCUGAAAGGUUUGCCCUUCAGACAGUUCAACAAGUUAUACAACCUCAGGUAACAACCAUAGAUCCUUCAUGGUCAGGGUUCUUCUUAUUUAUAUUUUUUGCUUCCCAAAGAUUAAGUCCUGUGUAAAUGCAUGCUUAGCUAUUUAUGGCUUUGCUUCUCAAGACUGAAAUACAGUUGUGAUUUCAUUCUCUUUCUGUUUGCUACAUAUGGAUACACUUUUUUUGCUACCUUUGUCCUAUAAAGACUCCAAUUUCUAAUUUUCCAAUGAGUCCUUUACUUGAUUCUAGGCUUUAUCCUUGGUGUUCAGGGGAGCAUUGCUUUCUUCACAUAUAUCCUGAUUGUACAUUAAUCACAUAUUUAAAUCUUUAUUUUUUCCGAAUUUUGUUGUUUGGUCAAUAAAAAUUGGGCCAAUUGAUUUCAUUUCAUCAUGACAGAAACAAACAAAGUUAGUCCAAGAUGAGAAUCAAUUGUUAGAAAAUAUCCUUCGGACAUUGCUUCAGGAACUGGUGGUAUGUUUCUCUUUCUUGUAUUUGUGAACAGAAUAUUUUGAUUAUUUGAUUAUACUUCUGAAGUUUACUGCAUUUCUAGUUUUUUCUGCAUAUGUUAGCAUGGUGGUCAUCCACAGGAAAUUAAUGUUUGUGAUACGCUAAAAAAAGGCCUUAUGCUUAUUUGACGUCACAGUCAUGUAUUCUAUCUAAAUCUGAAGUAAAGUAGACCUUGUUAUAUACUUGAUUCCCCAUCAACCUGAACCCUCUUUACAUAUUUGACAUCAAUACAUAAUUCUCUCUCUUAUGCAUUUGGUUUUAUUUGUAAUUUUAUGUCACGUAACUUGAGAUUCUCACAGUCUUCUGCAGUACAGUCUGGGGAGCAGAUAAUGCAGUAUGGUCAAUCAAUUGAUGCUGGAGAAACUGCCCAAGGACAUAUUCCACGUCUUCUUGGUCUGUACAUGUUUCUGUUAAACUAUUGCAAGCACUUAGUUGUACGUAUCUAAUGUUCUUGACUUGCUUUUUAGAAGAAGCUUAUACACUUUCUAAUAUAAAAAUUCCUACGUGUUGUGUUGGUAUUUUGAUAUGUUUCUUGUGGUGCACUCAGCAUAAAUCUUUAAACUCUGAGAAUAAUUUAUACAUUGAUGUUUUUCUGAAAAGAAUUCGUAUUGCUAUUAAUUUUUGUGGUUUAUCUUUUGACAUUUAAAUCGCACCUAACUACUUUUUGACAAAAUUCAGAAUUGACUUCUCAAUUGUAGACCUGUAUAUCCUCUAAUGUAAACAAUAAGCUUUUUUAGGUCAGUUCUUUGCCUUACAAGAGCUACUCUAUGGAAAAUGGCUUGUUAUAUUGGUUUUAGUGAAGAAGAAAAUUGACGAGUCUUAUAGAAUGCAUCUCUCUCUUGCUCUAUCUCCACAUAUAUACUACUCUCUUCCUCUGCCUUAUACAGCUCCUUUUAUCUUCUGAUGCACCAGACGUUGUGUUGUAUCUUUGUGAGAAAGAGCAUGUCGAAGGUGGCAUGAUCUUUCAGCUGUUGGAAGACUUAACAGAAAUGUCAACUAUGAGAAAUUGCAAAGACGUUUUCGGUUAUAUUGAGAGUAAACAAGAUAUAUUAGGAAAGGUUUGUGCUUUUUAUAUGUCAAUGGAUUAUUUUUCCUUGUUUUGUUUUUUUAUUGUAAGUUUCCCAUUUUCCUUCUCUUUUACAUCCUGCUGUACUUUAUAUGGUUCUCCUCAUGCAGCCUGAGCUUUUUGCGCGAGGAAAACUUGUGAUGUUGAGAACAUGCAAUCAACUUCUUCGUCGUCUGUCAAAGGUGGUGUUACUAAUCAUAGUAGUCAUCAUUGCUUUUACAGCCAACUUUCAUUUUUGAAACUUUCCCCUCUAUUGUGAUAUUUGUUUGUAUUUCAAACACCAAAAAUUGGUAUGCCAUUCAGAAGUCACAUUUAAAGCUGGUUGUAUAAUGUUUAUAGAAAAUAACAGGUGCUCAGGUUAAUAUGUGUUGUACUUGUAAUUAUGUAAUGGUGGUUACAUAUUUGACAUCAUAGACUUGAGGAUGGGGCAUUGUAUAUUUGUGCUAGGGAGGUUCUCAUGUGUUUCUCACAUUGCUCCAUUGUGUUCCUCACAUUGCUUCACUGUGAUAAACAAAAUUUAAAAUGCGGUAUGCAAUCAUAUUGAUAUUGUUUUUCUCUCUUUUGAUUUAUGAACUAAUUUUUUGUUUUUUGAAAUUAAGUGUUUUAGCUAUUGUUGUACCACUUCAAGAAGUCCUUAUUUGAUGAAACUAUAUCCACUUCGAUGAUUAAAUUUUUCUUGAAAAACUUAUUGUUAUAGUCAUGUUGUGUACUAAUUUCUUUGAACCUGACUCAUAGGCAAAUGAUGUGGUAUUUUGUGGACGAAUUCUAAUGUUUUUGGCACACUUUUUCCCAUUAUCUGAGCGUUCAGGUACCUGUUUGUCUUCAACCCUUGUCUUCACUUGUAAUUUAAUUGCUCUCGACCCUGGUGUUCAGUUGGACUAUAUAUUCAUGUUGCUCUUAUGGUUACUGUGUGCAGCUGUUAAUAUAAAAGGAGUUUUUAACACAUCAAAUGAGACAAAAUAUGAGAAAGACCCCCCUGAUGGUACAUCCUUGCUAAUGACAGUUGCUUGAUUUCUCAAUGUUGAUGUCAACAUAUUAUUACACAUAUAUCUGUAUAUAUAUCUAGUGUGUAUAACUUUUUGGUGAGUAUAGAUCUCUUAAGCAUAUAUGUUAUCCGUUUUAUAAUUUUCAGGAAUUUCCAUCGAUUUCAACUUUUACAAAACCUUUUGGAGUUUACAGGUAAACUAUGCAACUUGGAAGCAAUACGGAGCUAGGCUUUUUAGUUAUGGUUUCCUCUUCUCCAUUUUGAUUUGAGUUUUGAGCUUAGGGAGUGUCUAUAUAUAAUGCUAAAAGGUUAUAUAGUUUGAAAUGUUGUUAAAUAUUCAUACUUUGUUUCUGUAAUUCUUCUUGUAAACUGAUAUCAGUGAUAUCAUUCAUUAUGCUAAAAACUUGUCUGGAUGGAUUUUCAGGAAAGCUUCUGUAACCCUCCUUCCUUAACUCUUGGUCCUACCAAGUGGAAGAAAUUUACAUCCGGUUUAAUGGUAAUAACAGUCUUCUGACAUCUUCGUUUUAUUUGUCUUUAUGGUAUGCCAGUUUCUCUUUAUUUUAUUAUUCACUCAAAUAUUCUUUUCUUGAAUGUCUUGUUAGGUUGUUUUGAAUACCUUUGAAGCUCAACCAUUAAGUGAUGAAGAGGGAGAUGCCAAUAACUUGGAGGAGGAAGCAACAAAUUUUAGCAUAAAAUAUCUUACAAGCAGUAAACUGAUGGGUUUGGAGGUUAGUAAUGCUGGAGUGUUGACUUAGAGUUUAAUUGUAGCAGACCAUUAUUUUGAUUAGGAAUCAAAUCCUUGAAUUUUGAUGUUUUCUGGUGAGCACAGUUGAAGGAUCCCAGUUUCCGACGUCACAUUCUUGUGCAGUGCCUCAUAUUGUUCGAUUAUCUGAAGGUAGAGUUGAACAGGUCUUAAUAUUGAUUUUGGGGAAAUAUCAUUUCACCUUCCUAAUCUCUGGGCUUGUUAUAAUGGCCCUUUUCAACUUUCUGAUUGAUCUAUUUUUCCCUAUAGUACUCUAAUAUGGUAAAAUUAACUCUUAUUUUCUUGUAGGCCCCGGGAAAAAGUGAAAAAGAUUUACCUUCUGAAAGCAUGGUCAGUGUUGUAGUUAUAUCUUGUUGACUUUUGUAACUUUCUUCCUUCUUCUUUUGCUUUCAUUAGAAAAGAAAACAACUUUCCUCAAGUGGUGCUAUCUUUAGAAAGAGAAUUUACCUCGGCGGUGCUGGUUAUAACAAAAGAUGUUGACAAAAAAAAAAAGGAAUAAAUUGAGAUGCCUUAGAUAUGUUAUGAUUUUGUUAGCCUUGUUUAUCUCCAAAGUUAGGAAUUUGGAACAACGGUGGAUUAGAGUACUACAAUCAAAUCUCACCUGUAACUUUAUAUCAAUGUUCUGUGCUUGUGUUCGCUUAUGAAUGCAGUAUUACUAUUAUCCCAGUCAUUUGCAUCAGUUUUGUUAUCGUUUCUUCUCAAAAAAAAAAUGCUAAUUUACUCAUGCAAUUCUAUAAGUUUAUUGUAUUCAAAAGCAACUGAUGGUCCCUGGGUAAUUGAGUUGUGCUUGGGACUUUAUCUUAUCUUUAUUAAGAUGCAAAUGGACACCGCUUACAUUUUCUUUAAGCAUGAAAAAUUAAUGAAUUUGUGUAGUAUACCUUUCAUUGUGAACUGGUGGAGAGGAUUUACUUUCAUUUGGACACAGUUAUAGCAAAAGGUUUUGUAUGAUGCUAUAAAGUCAGCUUUAGAAUAUCUGUGCAAUUUAUGAUGUCUGCUAAAGAUUUCCUUGUUGAUUUCAGAAAGAGGAAAUAAAAUCUUGUGAGGAGCGUGUCAAAAAGCUGCUUGAGAUGACUCCGCCCAAAGGGAAGGAAUUUCUUAAUAAAAUUGAGCAUAUAUUGGAACGUGAAAGGAAUUGGGUGAGUGUGUUAUCUGGCCUCAGCCAUGCUAUUCUCAGAAAAUGUUAUCGUUGUUCUUGAGCAUAAUAUGCAUUUAAUCUAUUCUUAGGUGUGGUGGAAAUGUGACGGUUGUCCCCCAUUUGAGAAGCAGCCAAUGGAGAAAAAGGUGAUCCAAGAAGGAGCCAAAAAGCGGUAUGCAAUUCAGUGGCCUGUUUGUCUGGGUCCUGCUAUUCCUUUUAAUGUGUUUUUUAAUAAGAAAAAAUUGAACAAUUUUAAUUUUUCCUUUUGUGUAAGGUCUACAUAAGAAUAACUGAAGCAGAUAGAAGUAAAUUCAUCCUUUGUUUUCUAGCCCUGCUGGGCAAUUCUACUUUAGUUAUUCAUGGCCUUGGGAGUAGGUUUAUCUUUUAUGUAUGUUUUAGAUCUCUUUAUUCUAAACAGUGAUGCAUAUUUUGACUUGUCGUUUUGAUGUUUCGAUUUUUUUUGUUUCUGAAGUUUUGGGUUACUGGUAUCGACACAGGUGUAUAUUGUUUAAACCUUUGAUGUGUAGUAUUAAAGACAUUUCUAUCAGAUCUCAACUUUAUCUCUGGAAAUACUAAAGACAUUGCUGUAGAAAACUUCUAUGGGAAUAUUAACAACUUCAGAGAUUCCAGUGAUACUACCAUUUUACAUAACAGAGCAAGAACUUGGAAAUUGGUCAAAAUUGCGGUGACAUCUUUGGAAAUAUUAAAGACAUUCCACUGGUCCUCAAUGAUAUUGUACGAAGGAAUAAGAUUUACACAUUUUUUUGGCAGAACCCUGCCACCCAUAUGCUGCCCUGAUACCAGCUGAAACUUCUGUACUCACUUUCACUAAGAAAAAAGGAAACAAAACUAGACUGUUUUUGAGAUGAGGUCUUCUGACCAAGUGCAGAUGUUUUGCCUUGUGGUGGAGAUUGUUUCCUCUUACUUGAAUAUACGAAAUGAUUUGGUUUGAGAGAAAGACAACCCUACCCUCAUAAUGGUAUUUAGGAUAUUUUAAAAUAAGCUACAAUCUAUGCAGAAAAAUAAACAAAUUCACAUGCUAGAUGAACUCAUGGAUUUUUGCUGGUAUAUAUACCCAUGCCUACAAAUUAAAAUUUUUGAAUUGUUCACCAACUUUUAUCAGCCUUCUGUUUGUUGUGACCUGUGAAGAUAUUUAAUAAAUUUGCAGUGCUCAUUAUAAUGAACUUUUUGGUUUUUUUUUUGUCCUAAAUUCAACAGUAGGCCGAGAUGGAGAAUGGGAAAUAAAGAACUAUCUCAGUUGUGGAAGUGGGCAGAUCAGAAUCCGGUAUGCUAGAUUGCUAUUUAUGACAAGAUUGUUGAAAUAAAUCUGGCUUCAAACAUGACAUUCACAAGGUUUUGAAUAUAUGCAAUUAUUUUUUGCAACCUCCAAUGUUUCACAAGCUUCGCUGAUUCUAUAAUUAAAUAUUGAGAAAAAGUUUGAUUUAUUUUCAAGAGUGGCGGUGAUCAUCACGAGGAAAUGUACACCCCCACACUCACACGGUAUAUAUAAAUAAUUAUAUUAUCAGCUGUUAACAGAAAAAAGUUAAUAGCAUCUUGCUGAUUCUUCAUGGUUCAUACCUACUGUCCUUUCUGAAUUAGUACUUAUAUACUCAUAGAAUAUCAGUUCAGUUCUUACUAUAAAGAAGACAAAGAUUACAGAUCAAGUUGUUGAGGAAGAAACAUGUAAAUAUGUAGCAAUAUGUUCCUUUCAGUAUUGUUGACCACAAAAUUAAUUUGAAAAUUUUGGUGUUAUAUUGUUUAAUAGUUAUUUUUUCCUUGUCUAGAAUGCUUUAACCGAUCCUCAACGUGUUCGAACACCUUCCAUCACUGGGUACUGGAAGCCCUUGGUUGAAGAUGUAAGUACUAUAUACUUCUGAAUGUCCAAACUAGCAUGUUGUGUGUGUGUACUCGCGCUCACUCUUGUCCCUUCUCAUGCUAUGGAUUUUUUAUGUUCUCAGUAACUGUUUAGUAAGAUGAAUUUCUUUGAGUUACAGAUGGAUCCAGCAGCUGGAAUAGAACCUGAGUAUCACCACAAAAAUAACCGAGUGAGUUUUCUUCUGGAAUUUUUGGUCAAAAUCAGAAGACAAUCAUACAGAUAAAAGUUGGGUUGCAUUUUGACUAGGGUUCAUUGUUAAUAUAGAGUGCUAUUUUAUUUAAUAUCUGUUCAACUGUUUCACCAUGUGAUUCAAUGUGCAUUACCUCUUGCUUUUGAAUAUUAGAAUUGUUGAAACUCAAACUAGUGUUCCACUUAAAAUUUGAUUUUGUUUUAUCCAAUAGUAAAAUUUCAACAUGCAGGUUUAUUGCUGGAAAGGUCUUCGAUUUUCAGCUAGACAAGACUUGGAAGGAUUUUCUCGAGUAUGAAUAUAACUAUGUUUGCAUAGUUAAUGUAUUAUUUCAUUUUUCACUGAGCUUUACACCACUUGUGUGGAUGUCAUUGCAGUUUACUGAACAUGGUAUUGAAGGAGUUGUACCGCUGGAACUUUUGUCUCCUGAGGAGCGGUCUAAAUACCAAGCUAAACCAAAUGACAGGUCUAAACGUGCUAAAAAGGAAGAAUCAAAAGGUGCUGCACAUCAAUUAGAAGAAAGUCAGGUAUAUAAUCGGCAGUGUGUUGAAUUUCUAGUGUUUUAUUGUUGACGUCUUUGAUUCCUGUAGAAAGUUGAAUAUGCAAAUGAGGAAAUAAUAUGAAUAAUGUGUAUGUGUUUGUGUGUGCGUGUAUAUUGCCGAUGAGAUUUAGAAAGAAACAUCUUUAUUAUUUAGACAUAACGUUACAUGGCUGCAUAACACUUGAUCUGUGCAAUGCAUCUUCAGCCUAAAGAUUGAAAAAAUGAGAUGAAAAAUGUUAUAAACUUUUGCCCCUUUAUUGUUGUAUAUUUCGUGUUCUUUUUUGUCUUGGGGUAUAGGUUGUUUUCAAAUUUGAGAUCAAGUAAAUGCAUGUGUACGUAUAUGGAAGUAUCAGCAUUACUUGUACCCCAAGAAUUUUGACAAUAUUUUUUUCCCUGAAGAAUGCUACACCUGCAAGUGAAUUAGACGGUGAAGCCUCAGGGACGCCAAUGGACACUGAUACCAUUGCUGCAGCCGGCAACAUGUCCCAAGGUGGAAGUCCAAUCCCUGAUGAACAUCAGAAGCAAAGCUCCGAUGCGGAUGUGGGUCAAGAGGGAGGUCAGUUGGAAGCAGAUGCCGAGGUCGAGGUUGAGGCAGGGAUGCUUGAUGGUGAGGACGCGGAGGCUGAUUUGGAUCCAGUUGGUUAGCCCGUUCAAAGUUGGGAGUUUGCAUAUGUAAGAAUGAAUAUUUGAUUGAAAGUAGAUGACAUGUUUGGAAAUCCUAGAUUAGCAACAAAAAUUCCGACUAAUUUUUGUAAUGAGAUUGUAUGUUCGCCGGCCAAUGAAUGAACCACUCGAGGUUCCGUUUCUUCCGUUAAAGGGGAUUCAUGGAAAAAAUGGAAUAUAAAGACGUGUUCCAAGAACAUCAUUGAUACGUUGCUUGCGAGUCCCUUGGGCGGUCGCAGUCAGCCAUGGGAAAAGUAAGCAAAUGAAGGCAAAUUAAAUGCCAUUCGGGUUGUUUGAUCUUCAAGCUACUUCCUACCGGGUUACAUAUCACACAAGGAUGCAUGUCUGCCACAAAUUUGACCUACAAAUCAAACCCCCCGUGACCUUUGUUCAUUAAAUGAUCUCUUCACGAGAUAUUUCUUUUCACUUGUAAGUGAGACGUCUUAGAUUUGAAUCUCGUAGAUGAUGAAUUCGAUACCAAAUUAAGUUACCCAUUAUGUGAUUUAACCGAACUUAUUUCUCUUUAGUGUAAAAUAUAUCGUUGUAUUCAAACAAAAAAAAUUAAUGAAAUGCAUAGCGAAGCUUGCGUAUUAUUUACACAAGUAUCAUUAGAUUCAACCCUACUACUUAUCAAUUACAAAUGAAGGAGAGAAAUAUCAACAAACAAUAGUAUUUAGUAACAAAGUUGUUAACAAGUUUAAGAAGAAAGCAACAAUAUCAAAGUGUCAAAGAUUUGUAACUCAGCUGAUUAAGAAUAUUUUUGUACCGACUUUUGAAUUAGUUUUUUUUACUGGUAUUUAUUAAUUGUGCAGUAAAAGUAAGACAAACAAAACUCGAGAUCUUGAACAUAAAAAAAAAAAAGGUUCGAUCGAAAAAAAUAAAAAAAAGGAGUAGGAAUCCGAGUGAGAAGAAACACACACUCUGACACCCACGACAAAACACAAAAUUCCUUCCUUUCUUCCAAAUUUCCAAUUCCAUUUUACAUUUUACAUUUUACAAAUUUACCGCACAAAAUCUAAAACCCUUUUCCCUUUCGGAUUUUCUUUCACCCAAAGCUUCACUCCACACCACCAGAUUCGUUGAUACCCCUCCGUCUGCUUUCUGUUUGUUUCCCGAGAAAGUUUUUCCAUGUUCAAUUUUUUAUUGUUCAGAUUUGGAUUAACUAAUGGCCCCUGCUUCCGAGGUUCGUUGACUUAACUUACGAUUUUCUCAAUCUUUGAUCUUUGAUAAUCUGGUGGUACAAUAGUUCAGAUCGUUUGAUUCGAAAUUUGACAUAUUUUUUUUUAUAUUAUUGAUUCAUUGUUUUAGCUCAAAAGGGUUGUCUUUGUUUUCUUGGUUAAUUGAAUUAUGAUUGUUGAUUGUUGAUUUUUGAGUAGGAAAAUCAUGGAGUUGAAAUUGGAUUUGGAAUGUGAUGUUUGAUUGGGGAAAGUGGAAUUCUUGUUGUGUGCUUGAUGAGCCAAGAUGCUGUUCAAAUCUAAGAUAAAAUGGGUUGCUCUCUUUGUCCUCAUUUUAUCUUUUGCAUCAUUGCUUCGGCACAUCUCUAUAGCAAGAUUUUCGACUGUCGAUUUAGUCCAGUAUAGCGCAUUGACCGCAUUCCAUAACGAUUUCGAUUCUAUCUCUGGGAGGCAGGUGAGAUUUUGAGUCAUUUCUCUGCCCAUCAUGCGUCUAUUUCGAGUGUAUGUUCUUGGUUGUCUUGAUGGGCUUCUUUUGUUUUUUACAAUCAUGCAGAGUGUUCCUAAUAAGAAGCUAUGGGGGCCUGUGAAGACCCUGCAGUCUUUUCAGCCUUAUGCCAACCCCCGAGGCAACUAUCCUGGUGAUCAUCUUGCUCUGUUUCUUGCAUUUGUGUAUUUUCUUAGUUUGUUCGUUUCUAGGUUUAUCAUAUUCUUGCAUGGUAUAGUUUAUGAAUUUGACAAUUUGAACCCAUUGGUGAAUCCAUUCCCUCGCAUGCAUGACCAUCUCGAAGCUAAUGGUAACUGUUAUCUUUGUUAUACUGAAUUUGAAUUGAGUUCCCUCAUUCUAUGUUCUUUUUUGUCACUGGAGGAUUUGAUAACCUUGAACCAUUCAUAUUUUAGUUGAUUGAAUACUUUUAUCUUUUUACAGUUCCAAAUGAACAGAGCAAUGGCUUCAUUUAUGCAAAAAUAUUUGGAGGAUUUGGAAAGAUAAGAUCUACGGUAAGAUUUGUCAAAUAUGUGAAAGUGAUUCUGUGAUAAUUUGUAUGUGGUGUUCAUAAAUCUUUGUUAAUUUUCUAGAUCUGUGAUCUGGUCACCAUAUCCAGGCUUUUAAAUGCUACUCUUGUCAUUCCAGACAUUCAAGAAAGUACUCGCUCAAAAGGCAUCAGGUUCUUUUUUAGUUUGCUACUUCUUUUAUGCCAGUUUGCUGCGAUCAUAUGAUUCAUUGCUUCUUAUCUCUUUUGUUUUUUAUGACUUUGCCAGCUCUCAUUUCAAGAGUUUUACAUAUCUCUACGAUGAGGUGCACUUUAUAGCAUCUCUAAAAAACGACAUAGUCAUUGUGAAGAGUCUGCCAGAUAAUCUGAAGGCAGCAAGGAAAAGAAAUGAAUUCCCUUCUUUUAGACCCAAGAAUUCAGCUUCUCCAAAUUUUUAUAUCAAAGAAGUCCUACCAAAGUUAAAGAAAACCAAAGUUAUCGGCUUGAUCAUUGCUGAUGGUGGAUGUCUGCGGGUAGCUGAUUUUCUACUAGUUUAAUAGUAUAGCCUAUUUCAAAAUGUCAUCUGCUUGAGAAAAUAUGCAUAUUCUGUUAACAUUUAUAACCACAUAUUGUCAUACUCUUUUUUGCACUAGAACUGUCACCUAUGAACCAUUGUCUAUGAAAAUAAAUAAAUGUUAUCUAAGAACCACUUAAACAUUCAUUCUCUGUCGCUUUCCUAUUGGUUGAUAGGGAUCAUUCAUUCGUAUAUGAUUAUGUUAGUAGUGAGUCUGUUUUGUUUCUUUUCACUUAGUGAUUUCUGUGUUACAAGCAUGCAUGCUUGACAAUUAAGUUUAAGUGUUGAUGCAAUAUAAUCCUAUUUUCAGUCAAUCCUUCCACCAAACAUGGCCGAGUUUCAAAGACUUAGAUGCAGGGUUGCCUUCCAUGCACUUCAAUUCAGGCCAGAAAUUCAAAUGCUUGGACACAAGAUGGUGGAGAGGUAUGAAUCUAGCAACGCACCUUUUUUCCUGAAGAUUUGAACCGAUAGAGUGAUAUUGGUGUUUAGAGAACUUGAUUAGUAUAGACUGCUCUUAGACCAUCUGAUGCAAGAUGUUUUUAAUUAAAUAGAUUUUAUUUGAAGGUUACGGUUGAGUUGGAAAGAUUAGGUAAUAGAUAGAGUUAACUGGAGGGAUAGAGUUAACCAGAAGGAUGGAGUCAACAGGAGGGGUCGAGUUAUGGAGUAAGGAAAUUUUAUCUUUGAAAGUCUUAGGUCUGGCUUUCUACAAAUUGGAUGGAAGUUUGUAUAAGGAAAAUGGAAACUAUAAGCCUAAUGGAUAUGCCUAGGUUUUCCAAGCAGUCAAAGUGAACACAUCCUCUUAAAGAGGUUCAAAGGCCACGUGAAGUUUCCUAUAAUAUCCGCUAGUGUGGUCAUAUUCUUCUAGGAAGGGGUGAGGUUUUGGUUUUUGCUUGGGGAUUGAUUCUAUCUCAUCAGAGUUUAGGGAUUAUUACUUUCGUAUAUAUUACUAGAUUAGAAGGCAGUUAUGUGAUUAUUUUGUGUCAUAGCUUUUAUUUAUGUAGCUUCUGUAGAUGAUGGAUCUUUAUUAGUUUCCUUUUUUUUUUUUUUUUUUUUUGAGAAGAAACGAUAACACUUUAUUAAAAUAAAAACAAGAAUUAAAAAAUAGUGCAUAAGAAAUCCACCAUAUAGCAAAGCUAGCUAAGACCUCUCAAAUAGAUCUGAUUACAAGUAACAAUACCUCAACCAAAAUCAUUUUACGUGGCUUCUGGUGGACCCCGUUCACUUCUUGUAAUAAUUUACUUCUAAGAACUAUUUUCCUUCAGUUGAUCAAUGUGGCUUUUAUACUCCAAUAGGUUACGUGCAUGGGGUCAACCUUUCCUAGCGUAUCAUCCUGGUUUAGUGAGAGAAACCUUGGCAUAUCAUGGCUGUGCUGAACUUUUUCAGGUAAGAUGUUUUAGCCAGUUUUAUCUUUGGUAGUUGUGAAAAUAUAAAUUGUUGAUCUACAUGCUUAGACUUUAUCAUAGUAUUAGAGUAAUAGAACCUAAGUUUGAACCACCUCCAAUUAUGAAAUUCCAAUAUUAAGUUGAGUUCCACACGUUGGUCCUUAGUGAUGGAAAGAGGUUCACAUGUGAUGGGUGUUACAACUUAACAUAAUUCUGUCCAACACAUACACACAGCUUAAACUUUCUGGUUACAAUCUUUUUCAUAUCUCUGCCUGUGAAGUCUAAGUUAGUGUUAAAACGAUUGUUCUCCUUUGUUCCUUGGUUAAAAUCUAAGUCCGAUAAAAAUUCAGUUUUGGAGUUCUCUCCCUCCUCUUGAGUACAGGUGGUUUCUACCUUAAACAACUGCAAAAUAUUAACAGCGUGUCCAUUCACUGUCAUGGUUAUCAAAGUUAUCUUGCUAACUUGCUACUUUUCUGUAGGAUGUUCACACUGAACUCAUACAAUAUCGAAGGAAACAAAUGAUUAAAAAGGGCAUUGUUCAUGAGGAACUAAGCAUAGAUUCACACUUGCGUAGAGAAAAUGGCUCAUGCCCGCUGAUGCCUGAAGAGGUAAGCUCAGUACUAAUUUGAGAUCCAGCUUAUGUAUUUGUAAAUUGUAAGUACUGUUGUGUGGCUUUUAGUCCAGCCUGAUGCUUCUUUCUCGUGGUUCAUUUUUUAUUGUUUUGAAAAUUUCACUUUUCAAUGCCAUAAGAAUGUCUAGAAGAUUAGUAGUGAACUUCAGUGCUGGUUGUGAAAUUAAGCUUCCUUGGCACUCACUCAACACUGAAUUGAUUUUAGCAGUUCAGAAAAAGCAGAACCUCAAGCAUCCUUCUAUCAAUUUCGCUUUUAAAUAUUAAAUAUUAACAUUACAAUGGGAGUGGAAUUUGUGUUUCCAAAAAUUUAUGCUCAAGUGAUAGGUUUAUUAAGUCAAGGAUGCAGACCAGAAUUGGCUUCGGUUACUAAAGAGUUUAAUAAUUGCUCUCUAUCUCAAAUACUGUGGGAUUUGUUAGCAGCAGUUAAGUGAGCUAGGUCUAGAAUUGGCUGAUGUAGCCAAAUCCUAUUGGGAUUUUCCUUUCUAAUUUGUUGGUGGACUUCUUAUCCACUUCUGUGUAUUUCUCUAUUCUUUAAUAAAAUUGUUUCUUCUCAAAAAAAAAAAAGGAUGCAGACCAGAAAAAACAGUAGAGGAUGGAAUGACGCUGAGAAUUUAGUUAAUCCAACACCAUCUAAUUCAUAAAAAUAACUUUCGUAUUUUAAUUACUUGAAAAUUUUAUUUUAAAGGAGAAAAUGAUGAAUAGACAUCGAAUAAGAGUAAGGACUGAUCCUUUCUAAAGGUAUCCACUCAAAAUAAGGAUAUGUGUCACUGUGAUUUCUACAUUACCUCCUUGACUGGCCCUAAUUGGGUCAUCACCUUGACCAAAAGCAUAAGAUAAAAAAGGGAGGGGAGGGUAGUAGAAGGAAAGAACCUGGGCUUGAAAACCCUGUAUAUUAUCUCAAGCUUGAGUUCUUAUUCCGGGGCUUGACUCAAGCAUGUUAAUACGUUUGUGAACAAGCUUGUGACUAAGAAUCAUGGUAUAAAUUUGAUCUUCUACUUAUUGUGUCAUUUUCCACUGUAUAAUUUCAGUUUUGGUGGUGCAUUGAUAACGUAUGGGCUCAUUGAUGAUAAUUAAUAAAUCAAUCUAUCUACAUUUCCGUUGUUCAUUAGCUCAUUUAUUCUUCUUGAGACUUUCCCAGGUUGGAAUUCUUCUUCGUUCAAUGGGGUUUUCUCCUAAAACAAUUAUAUAUCUGGCUGGUUCUGAAACAUUUGGGGGUCAACGUGUUCUGGUCCCUUUGCGUGCUAUGUUUCCCAAUUUAGUGGAUCGCACUUCCUUGUGCAGCAAUAAAGAAUUGGCUGAUAUACUUGGACCUGAAACACCUCUUCCGCAAAAUCCAUUUCAUCCACCUCCAGCAAAAAGCGAGGAACAACUUAAAGAAGAAUGGAAGAAGGCUGGUCCUAGGCCUCGGCCUCUUCCUCCACCUCCUGGUAGACCUAUCUAUCAACAUGAAAAAGAAGGCUGGUAUGGUUGGAUUACUGAGACUGACAUCGAACCAGACCUUUCUGCUUUGGAUCUGAGAAUGCAAGCACAUAGACUAAUUUGGGAUGCUCUUGAUUAUAUUGUCUCUGUGGAAGCAGACACAUUCUUUCCUGGUUUUAACAAUGAUGGCAGUGGAUGGCCAGAUUUUUCAAGCUUGGUCAUGGGACACCGUUUGUAUGAGGUUGCUUCUUCUAGAACAUACCGACCAGACAGGCAAGAGAAGAAAAAAAAAGAAUCUAAUUCGACCUUUUAUAUAUGAUUGAUGAUCUUGUUUAACUUUGUGUGUCCUCUUUUCGAACAGGAAAGUUGUAGCACAACUUUUCAACAUGACGAGGGACAAUGUCUACCAUCCCAAGCAUAAUUGGACACUCUCAGUGCAGGAACAUCUUAAGAAAAGCUUAAGUGAGGAAGGCCUUACAAGGCAAUCCGUUGUGUCAAAGCCAGCCUUGUUUAUUUCACACCCACUCCCCGAAUGCUCUUGUAGAAUGUCUUCUGCCGAUGCUCCAGUUCAUGUAAAAGGUAAUGAUGGCCGAACUGUAUAUGGAGGCGAAGAAGAGUGCCCGAAGUGGAUGAAGCAUGGUCAAGAAGUUCCUUUGGAUUCAGCUGGGGAAGAGGGAGUGGAGGACAAUGAAUUGUCCCAGUACGGAAGUACUCUGGACGAACAACCAGAAUCAAAUGACAGUGACAGAACUAAUGCUACUCUCUACUCUGAUCAGGACGAGGAAAUGGACCCGAAUGACUAAAGUUGGAUCUGCAUACGAUCCAGUUCCCAUCUUUUUACUAUACUGCGGCAUUCAGUUUCCAUCGUUUUCUACCAAAAUGGAAAGUUUUGGAGGUAGAGAUGACAUUAACUUCACACAAGACGAGGAUCGAGGACAAAUCGAUGCGCUUGGAGUAAGCCAAUCAGAGUUUGUACACCGUUUUACUGAUAUAAGGUUUAUAUUCAUAGAAAAAGUUAUUACUUGUUAGAUAAGCCACAUGUAAUUUUCUUGUAGAGAACAAAUGACGAGUACAGGAAAUGAUUCAUUGCGGUCUCUCAGAUAAUUUUUUGUCGAUACAUUUCAUUUCGAAAACUGUUCGCUUUCCGUUUUUUAAUCAUGCACUUGCUCGUUUGUUGGCCAGAAUUCGAGCAAAAUUUAGCGGAUUAAAACACAUGUAGCUCACACUGCCUCCUAUUUGUUCAAAUUUUGAACUACAAUGUUAGAGCUCGUUUGGAUGUGCUUUUAAAAUGAUUGAAAGCGCUUUUGAUGAAAAUGUUUUUAGAACCAAUCUUUAGUAAAAAUACAAGUGAAUUCUGAAAAACAUUUAAAGUGCUUCUUAGAAGAAGUACAUAAUUGGUGCUUCUUGCAGAAAGCACUUCAAGUGCUUUUAAAACCUAAAACAAUUUUAUCUAAAAGCACUUUCAAUCAUUUUAAAAGCACAUCCAAACGAACCCUUAUGUAGGAGAGGCUCCUCGCUGGUGCACAGAGGUCCAUUUAGAAAAUUUACUUCGCGGGAGAAAUAUGCAAACAAUCGAGGCAUAUGCCACCACCGCUCAGAGCAAUUUGUGGCUCUCUGUAUGUCACUUUCUUUAAAACUCAAAAGGGCAAAACUACUUAACCCGGAAAAAAUAUAUAGCCUCAUCAGCUCCAAAUCUAAAGCUAGUUAGAUCGAAAAGAAGGAAAUUCAGGCGGCAGCUGCAUGCUUUCUCAGAAGAAAACAAGUCUUGAAUACAGAGAAAAUAUCACAUGCAUACAACUGUAAUUUGUAAUUUCAUAUAAAAAGUUAUACAGCCUCUUUGUUUACAAGCAAAACAAAAUUUCAAGUAAUUUACAUCCUACCGAAACCUCCCAUCAUAGUCCUGUAAGUUGAUACACAUACCAACCCACUCCAGCUUACUGGGUUUCCUCUGGUACAUAUUCCGCUGCCCUAACACCCACCGAAAUGUGAGGUGUCCACACAAAACAUCAGUUUACACAUGGAUCACUUCUAAAUUGCACAACAUAAGAAAACCACACUAACAGAUUACGUUUAUUCGUUACCAGGAACACUUUAUUCAAGUAAUAUCAAACACGAAGUAUUGACCAUAGUAUAGAGAGGUGAAAUGCGCUACCAAAGAUUGCUAUGCUGCUGCUUCUGUGGGCUUCUCAGCAACAGUGGGGCUUGCACUUUCGGCUUCUUUUAUCUGCCUCAUGAUGUCUGACUUUGUCUCAAGUAGGCCUUCUAUUUUGCCAUUGAUCUUCUCUAGCUUCUGUUUCAGCUUUACAACAUCACUGCCUUUGUCCUUUUUAUCGACUUUCCUUUUCUUCUCGCCCUUCUCCCCCUUCUCCCCCUUCACCUUUUUCUCUUUAUCUUUCUUCUCUUUACCCUCCUUUCCUUCAUCUUUCUGCGUCUCCUCCUCUACUUCACACUUUGAUUCCUUUACAUUUUCUUGAGUGUCAAUCUCCCUGGAAGUAACUUCAGCCUUGACCUCCUCCUCAUCCUCUUCAUUUUUGUGUUUCUUCUUUUUGUCCUCCUUGUCUUUCUUCUUCUUUCCUUCUUUUUUGUCAUCUUUUUGCUCAUCGCUCUUCUUCUCUUUUUCAUCAUCACCGUAUUUGUGUUUCUUCUUUUUAUCAUCCUUGUCUUUCUUCUUCUCCCCUUCUUUUUUAUUGCCGUCACCUUUUACUUCAUCACUCUUCUCCUUUUCGCCAUCACCACCCUUGUGUUUCUUCUUUUUAUCGUCUUUCUUCUUCUCCCCUUCUUUUUUAUCAUCGUCACCUUUUACCUCAUCACUCUUCUUCUCUGUUUCAUCAUCACCGCCCUUGUGUUUCUUCUUUUUAUCGUCCUUUCCUUCAUCCUUACGCGUCUCCUCUGCUUCACCCUUUGAUUCCUUUACAUUAUCUUCAAUGUCAAUCUCCCUGGAAGUAACUUCAGCCUUGACCUCCUCCUCAUCCUCUUCAUUUUUGUGUUUCUUCUUUUUGUCCUCCUUGUCUUUCUUCUUCUUUCCUUCUUUUUUGUCAUCUUUUUGUUCAUCGCUCUUCUUCUCUUUUUCAUCACCACCAUCCUUGUGUUUCUUCUUUUUAUCAUCCUUCUCCUUCUUCUCCCCUUCUUUUUUAUCGUAGUCACCUUUUACCUCAUCGCUCUUCUUCUCUUUUUCAUCAUCGCCCUUGUGUUUCUUCUUUUUCUCAUCCUCGUCUUUCUUCUUCUUUCCUUUUUUCUUAUCAUCACCGUCGUUUUCCUCAUCCUUGUCUUUCUUCUCCUUCUUCUUCCCUUCUUUUUCAUCAUCCACCUUUUCCCCUUCCUCUAAAUCUUUACCUUUGUCCUUCUUAUCCUUCUUCUUUUUCUCUUUUUCUCCCCCUUCUAUAUCAUCUUCUUUAUCUUCGUUCUUCUCCUUGUUCUUUUUCUUCUUCUCUUCCUUGUCCUCCUUUUUAUCUUCUUCACUCUCUCCCGCUUCAUUAUCCUUCUCUUUCUUCUUUUCCUUCUUCGUUAUGUCUUUAUCCUUCUUCUUCGAUUUCUCCUCGUCUGCAUCCUUAUGUUUAUCCUCAUCCUUUUCAUGUUUCGACUUUUCUUUUACCACUGACUUGGUCUUAGAUUCAAGUUCCACUUCAGUCUUCUCCUCCUUCAGGUCGCCUGGUUCUACAUCCUUGGUCUUCAUCACCAUAAACCGUUCUUCCUUUUGAACCUUUUCAAUUUCUUCUCGUUUAUAUUCAGUUUUGUCUUCCAUCUACAGACUAUCUGCCAAAACUCGAAACGCAAAACAGUUUCCUCCGAACCUGAGAUCCCUAAAACAAAUCAACCGUGCGAUCAGUAAUCCGGAAAACAAAUUCAGUAGAUUAAAAAAAAAAAAAAAAAGAAAAAAAGAAGAAGCUGAACUUGGUGAUGUACAAAACGAAGUAACUAAAAAAAAGUAUAAAUCCCUUCUGCUUGCUAAUACUCGGCACAUUGCAGAGACCAUGCUUACUUUCAGUUCACCAUCACAAAACACAGAGUACAGAUCCGGGACAAGGUUAUGCAUAUCUUUGGCGGCAAGCAACAGUCGAUAAAGGGCGAAAGAGUGUUCCAAAAGAAUCUAGCUCUAGUUAACAAUUUGUUGUCAUUUUUCGAAAUACACAGCCGAUACACACAGGGCUUAAGAUUUCCCCAAACUUGCAAAGGUUCGGAGGAUGGAACACAAACUCUGAGUUCCCUAAUUUUAGCCACUUUAAUCGACCCCUACUUUGUCCUACACUUAAUGGAAAACCUAUCACUUUCAUCCAACAGAGAGAUUUCCAUAUAAACAGUCAGGAUUCUCAAGACACGAACACGAUUCUGUUGUAAGGGAAAGGACAGCAUAUCAAAUCGAUUUCUGAACGGUGAUUUGAGCACAAUUCGAUAACGUUUUUCUCCAAAUUCCCACAAAGUAAUUAAAUUGAUACAAUUGAACGCAAAUGAGUAAAUAAAGCAACAAUGUUGUCCUCAAGAAAAUGCGAAAGCAGUACACAAAUCAACACAAUAACAUCAAAUAAAAGCAACAAGAAAGAAUCACAAUUUCAUAACACGCAUUCACGAUCGAUCACAAAAACUACACGUUUACUAAUCCGUAACCGGAAUUGAUUGGAGUAACGAAUCGUCAGUACCUCAAGGAAGCUCUGGUUUGACUGCCUCCUUCUUCAGUAACUUGAGAGAGGAAGAGAGAGAGAGAGAGAGAGAGAGAGCUUUGGAUUCCUUUGCAAAUUGUGUUAGCUUCGAAUCGAGUCGAUGUGCAAAUUGACCGAUAUAUAAACAUAAUUGGAAAUACGGAAAGCUGUUGGGCAUUGGAUUGAUUGUGCCACGGGCGGCCACCUGUCGGUAUUUUCGUCAACACGCAAAGGACCGACACCUUCUUGAUUCUUCCGCGUAGUGUGCGUACCCAAUACGUGGCGUUUUGUUUUGUGUGUUUUCUCCGAAACUCCAACGUCGACGACUUGGAUCAGAAAAUUUACUUAGCUCUUAAGUCUUCUUCCAAGUCUGAACCCCUCACCCCUCCCUACCUUCCGGUCACUUUCACAUCGCAACCUCCCUCCUUGUUCCAAUAGUAUUUUUUGGUCUGUAUUUUUAGGGUGCCAAACUUUUAAUCAAUUUUGUACUUUCCUUCUUGCCCUUCGUUAAGAGAACAUUUUUUGAAUCACGUUGUACGAUUUGCACGUUUUAAAUGUAUUUAUAUGCGUAAAUUAACAAAAAGAAAGUCAAAUAGUUGAAGUAAAUGAAUAAUUUGUCUCUAUUGAAUUUACAUUAAGAAUAGAGAAAAUAAUAUUUAAUAAACAACUUAUUGAAUCACAUUAUUGCUAGCUCAUUGUAAGACUAAGCUCACUCCCUCCCCCUUAGUGUAGAUAAUAUCGUUUGUUCGAAAGAAAAAAAAAACAAUCAUUUGACAACUAAUUUAAUCACAUUAUUGCUAGCUCAUUGUAAGACUAAGCUCACUCCCUCCCCCUUAGUGUAGAUAAUAUCGUUUGUUCGAAAGAAAAAAAAAAACAAUCAUUUGACAACUAAUUUAAUCAUAUUAUUAUGUGCGUGCGAAAAACAUUUUUUAUAACCAGUAUUACAUGCCUCUUAAGAUGUUUUGAAGGUGUUUAAAAAUUGAAAAAAAAAUAUUUAAUGAACAACUUGUUGAAACACAUUAUUACUAGCCUAUUGUGAGGUACUAAUUAUAAAAUAAAAAAAAUAAUGUACAAAAAAAAUAAUUAUUAAAAAAAUACUUUUAAAAUGACAAAAAUACUCCUAUCAUAUUUGAUGCAUUAUUUUUGGCUGCUUUGUUUGAGCAGCAUUUCUGUCCACUUAUUUUUUUGUGAAGCUUGUGACCUCAAAAGGAGUUGUUGUUGGCUUUAUAUAUAAAGAUAAGCGAAUUAAAAACAAAAUAAAAUUAUAAAUUUUGGAUGUUGAUCGAGUGAACUUCUUUCACCGUCCAGUAUUAUUUUUUGAAGAACCAUGAUUGAAUUUUUUUUUUUCUCUACAUAACCAUAGUCCAAGAUUUGAGGUUGAAUGCACAAGGAUAGGUGCAAUCGGACUGAACCUUAGUCAAUGAUUCAUGUCCUUUUUAUCAAGAAUUUUUAACAUUCAUUAUGAACUUGUAAGUUUCGAUGAUGCAUAAUAAACUUAAAAGUUAAGUUAUCCAAAUUGGGUUUGAUAAGGAACAAUUUGAAUGUUUAUAGGUGUACUAAUAGAUUUUUAACCUUCUAAAAAAACUAUCAAAGAAGAAACUAAAUAAUGUGAAUUUAGAAAACAAUUGAGCGUAAUUGAAGGCACCUUAGUUUAAUAUAAAUGUACUUGUGGAACCUCGUAGGUCCACCGCCAUGACCGACAUAACACAUGCUACAUAGUUUUUCAAUGGCUGUCGUGUAAUGUAAGUAGAGAAAAACAGCCGAAAUCAAAAGGCCACUUUCGUCAUUUAAAAAUAGAAAGUGCCACUUCUUUCUCUUUCAAAUUGCCUAGGUUAAGGUCAUUUCGUACUAAUAGUAUUUUUCUUUAUUUUUGUUUGUAAGUGAUAAAUUUUAAGUUUAAUUUUCUUAAAAAAUAAAUUUGUACUGUAUUAUUGCUAGUUAUUGUAAAGUUUAAUCCACUUCUUUACGAGAAGAAAUUUUUAGUUGUGAUGAGAAUAGAAGUGGUACACCACGUGUUUUAAUAGGAGUGAUAGAAAAUUUUAUUUUUUAAUUUAUUAACAUUUUAGCAUAUAUAUCUCAAUAUUUAUAUAGUGAUAAAUGAUGUACCACUUAAUGUACUGAUUACACUGAAAAAUCUAUCAUUCAAGUUGAUAAUAUCAUUUUUUGAAAAUUCCCACAUUGAGUAACAAAUCAAUAAUAAUUUAAAAAUAAAAAAGUAACAAACGAAUUUACUGAAAACAAAGUGAGAAAUUUAAAACAGAAAAGAAAAUCACGUUCUGUCUCUGAUCUGUCUCUCUCCCCUCAGCUGCAACAUCUCCAGCGCAAAAAGCAUCGUCUUUCUUUCUUUCUUUCUUUCCUUCCCUUUCUUUUGGUUUCGCUCUCCCUCUCCUCUGGAAACCCUAACAGUGGCCUGGUUUUUUCAAUUAACCAGGUCCCUCACAGGGAAAAAACCUUCAAUUUGUUUUUCUUAAAUUUUUAGUUUUUGUUAAAUUUCUUCGCAAGCUGUAGUUUUUCUUUGUUGCAUUUGUCAGCUGCCCUCGACAAUGAACGACCUGCUAACGGUAAUGUAUUUGAUUUUCUUUCAUUAAUUUAUGCCAUGGUUUGUAUGUUUGGGCAUGUUUGGAGGUUUUGAUGCUCUGUUUUUGUCAUGAUCCGGCUGCGUUUGAUGUUAUUGGAUCUGCUUUUUUAAUGAUUUUUUUUGAAUUUUUGGCUUAUGGGGUUUUGGUUUUCUUUACUUUCUGUUUGGUUAGUGAGAAAAAGGAGGGAAAUUGAUGGAAGAAUUGAAAGUUUUUGAAUCAUGGGAUUUUGCAUUGUGCUUUAGGGAAUGGAAGUGGUGGGUUUUACUUUGUAGAUCCACAAAAUCAAUGUGGACUUUGGUACAACAGAAAGUGUUAAGUUUGUGAUAUUCGCUAGAUUGCUUCGGUUAGUGUGGAUAAUUAUGUAAAUGGAUAGAGAUAGGGAAAUAAACAUAAGAUGUACGUGGUUCACCCAGAUUGGUUACGUCGUGGAGUUCUCAUUAAUUGUGAAGGAUUUACCCUUAGGAUCAAGCUGUGAGUACUAGUGAAUGAUUUAGGACAAAUGACAUUAGGAAAUAUUGUAGAAGAAUGAUAUCCUUUUAUAGAAGAGAGUUUCUAGCUUUGUUCUGAUAUUGACACGUGUUGUGUUGUAAUUAGCUUCUGAUGUCGACACGUGUCGCACUGUGAUUGACCUUCUAGUUGGAGGGAAACUGGUCCUUGAUGGUAUAAUGUUGAUCGGUGCUUGGUAGUUUUGGAAUUGAUCAAGUAUGGUACAAACAUACUUCAUUGCAGCUCAAUCAACACGAGCUACUGCAGCUUUCGAACAGUUUGGUGUUACCCUAAACUGAGAAAAUUGAACAAUUUGGUUUCUUUUCCUUUUAUUUUCCUGUGUUGUUUUUGGUUUCUCAGCUUUUGAACAGAGUUCAUCGGCAUUGGUGUUUGAAUCACUUAAGAUCUUUAUAAACGAAACUUGUUUUAAUUUGUGAGAAGUACUUCCCUUUUUCUCAUUUUUGGAAUUGAAAUGAUUAACGAUAAGGACAAUGAUGGAAGUUGCAAAGCAAGUAUUGUACUUUUACAUAAUGCAGAACUGCUGAAUAACACUUGACAUAUACCCAAGCCAUUUAAUCUGCGAUUGAGGCUCGGUUUUCCUUUCUAUGUUUGGUGUUUGCUUGUAUAUAUUAAUUAUAUACCAAAAUGUGUUCUUAGAAAUUUAGUAGUGUCUUGUCGUUACGAAAGUUCGAGUCAUAGUUAUCGUGCCUUUUCUUUCCUUUUAUCUUUCUUUCCUAAACCCCAUUGAACUCAAGCAAUCGGAUUUGGGAUUAAGGUUUUGUUCAAGUACAUUUAUGACCUAAUUACUGCUUGCAGGAUUCUUUUGAGAUCCCUCGGGGUCAAGCUUCGAGAGAUCAGGAUAUUGAACUAGGAGCACAUGCUUCAAUGAAUUCUGGAGAACUUGGUUUGGAGAAUUUCUUCAAAAAGGUGCUUUAGCUUCCUUGACUUAUUUUUCUUUAAUAUCCCUUAAAUGCAUGAAACGCAAUUAUUUCUCUUUCCGUUACUUUUUCCAUAGAUAAUUAUUCUGUACAUGGAGUAUGUGUUAUGUUUACUUUCUGUUGAUUCUGUCUAAUGCUUUCAUGAUUUUUGUCUCCAGGUUCAAGAGAUCGAGAAGCAAAAUGAGAAGCUUGAUAAGCUUUUGAAAAAGCUCCAGGUAUUAUGCUUUCCAAUAUGUUUUCCUUACCUUACCAGCAACAUGAAGGUUUUUUUGUUAGCCUCAGCUGUCAUAGUUCCUAAUUGGUUGGGUUCUCUUGUCUAAAAUGUAUAGACUUACUACUCUUAACUUGGUCUAAUUUCAUGUUGUGCUGAUGACAUCAGCCGUUAAACUUAAUUGAGAGUGAAUUUACUUAUCCAAGAAGCUCAAAGAUUUGAGUCCUGUUUUGGUUUGAUAAUGUUGUCGUCUUUGUAAUUGCAUGCAUGAUGCCAAUAUGUGGUGAUAUCAUUAACGGAUUUCUAGUUACACAUCGUUUCAUCAAAUUGGGAAUUUAGUGAUAAGGUUAUGAACAAGUAUAACUGUAACUAAACCGAACAUAUAAACGUCAUACUGCAGUGUAGGUAACAUAGAAUUGUGUAGCAACUGGACUGAGUAUUGUUUAUUUGCAAAAUAAUGCAUCAUCCAGAUUGGUAAAUUUACUGUGUUUGUACCCACUAAUUUAAAUAUUGUGAAACUGUUAUUUUGGAAAAUUCCUGUGUUUACAUUUUUGUGCCUUAUGCAAUAGCUUAAAAAAAUUAGAGAGCAUUAUAGUUGUAAUGAUUCUUUGAGAUAUAAAAAAUAAAAAAUUAAAUGCACUUUUUUUUAUCACUUUUAAUCGCUUUUGUCUGCAGGGUGCACAUGAGGAGUCCAAGGCUAUUACUAAGGCUCCUUCAAUGAAAUGUAAUCUCAAACUUGUUUAAUUAAUUUGAUAAUCACGUGAAUCUUUCAUGCUUAUAUUCGUAUUUUUCUUUUAUGUUAUGUAUGCUUGUUCCUUUCAUAGUUCUGUAAUGAUGUCUAUGGAUUAAAAUGAAGGGAGGAAACGAUAUGCAUGCAGGACAGGAGAUGUCAGAAAUUAUUCUAGCGUGUUUUCUCAUAAUUUUUGAAAAAGAACGCCUGUAAUCAGUUUACCUCUGCUGGUGUUCUUUCUUCUGUUUGCAUCCAUCAACUUAUUUUUUCCUUCCUCAUUAACCCAACAAAGAUGAUGGAUCCUUUCACCAUGUGCAGCAAUCAAGCAACGGAUGGAAAAAGAUGUCGAUGAAGUUGGAAAAGUUGCUCGUUGGAUAAAGUCAAAAAUUGAAGAACUUGACAAAGAGGUAAAACCUGACUCAACAGAAAGCUUGGUUUUAUUUCUGUGGUUCACUGUAAUUUUGCUUGUCGGACUAACCUUUCCUUCUGGGUCCAGAAUUUAGCAAAUAGACAGAAGGCUGGUUGCGGAAAAGGAACAGGUGUAGAUAGAUCCCGAACAGCAACAACCCUGUAAGUUCGUAUUUCAACAAUUUCCUUUGAAAUGCCUCAUGCCUAUUUCCCCUCAUUUCCUUUUGGUAUCUCCUAAGUUGUGGGAUCACCAAUGAUUUUCCCUCACACAUGCUUUGUUUGAGAAAUCUUUUAUUAAUUUGUCAACUCAACUGAAUCCAACAUUGUCAAGUGUCCACUGUUAUCUAUUGUUGCAGUGCCUUGAAAAAGAAAUUAAAGGACAAGAUGGCUGAAUUUCAGGUAGGCCACACGCACCCACACAUGCAUUUUGUUUUAAUGUCUGUUUCUUUAUUUCUUUCAUCACUAAAUUUUUUAACUUCCAAAAUAUGCAGACUCUAAGGGAAACCAUCCAUCAAGAGUAUCGUGAUGUUGUCGAGAGGCGAGUUUUUACAGGUUUGAACCCCUCACUUGCCACUCAUGAAUCGCUGCUAUUUUUAGAACAUCUACUUGAUUUUCCAUGAUCUGAUUUUCUAUUUUAUUUUUCUUGCUUUUUGUUAUCGUUAGUGACGGGCGCAAGAGCUGAUGAAGAGGUAAAGCUUAUUGCACUGUUGAAAUAUGGUAUAUCUAUACCAUUGUGAAAGCUCAUUUUCUAAUCAUUUAACAUUGUACAGACAAUUGAAAGAUUAAUCGAGACAGGGGACAGUGAACAAAUUUUCCAAAAGGCAAUCCAGGAACAAGGGCGAGGCCAGGUUUGUCAAUUUCCCCUUUUUAUUCUAUGCCCCCGAAUAAGCACAUUUUAUGAUCAAAAUUCUGAAUUCUCUCACAAACUUGACAAACUUUUUGACACUUUGAACAAUUAAUUCCAAGCUCCUAACUCCUCUCGUAAAUUUGUUAGCUUGGGUUGUUGAAACAUUGAAUUUUCUGAUUAAGAUUGAUCACAUCCAAAAUUGUGUAUCAAAUUGUAGAUAAUGGACACUCUGGCCGAAAUUCAAGAGCGACAUGAUGCUGUUAGAGAUCUUGAGAAGAAGCUUCUCGAUUUACAACAGGUAUCUUCUUAGUUUGUGCAAUGAUGCGUACUCUCUGAUGAAGACAUGAAGUUGCUAUACAAUACAGAUGUCUAGCAUAGGCCUUUUAAUUUUUGGAAAAAAUGAGGAAAUAUAUUGAAAGAGAUAACAAGUACAAGUGGAGUCAUAGAAGACUCUGAUCCCAGCUGGGGAUACAUAGUGAUACCAACCAUACAGAGAAAGUAAAUCUCAGGAAGAGAAGAUAACACUAGCUAGAAAAAGCCAUUAAGGCAUACAAAAAAUAGAGGAUGGCAAUGGAGUAGCCGUCUUCAGACUAGCAAUGACGGAGGACAAGGGAAUCCAUCACGUGAAAGUACCAGAACCAACAGGCCUUUUAAUUUAGAGUUUUCAAUUUGGUAUUGCCUUAUGAAUAUAAUAACAUUAAUCUGUUAAAUCUUUCUGCAUUUCUGUAAGAAAGUGCAGGAUCGGUAGAUUAUUAAGUUGUGUCAUGACGUGGUAAGUCUCUGUUUAGGCAUGUAACUCAUAAGAAAGCCAAGUUAUUGUCCACUUUUAAUUGCCAUGAUUUAUUGAGGCCGACUGUGAGAAUAGCUGCAAAACUAAAAGGAAAACUUUCUGUUUGUGUUUCGCCAUGAGUAUAUAUUAUAUGUUAAACACCAACUCAUAUGCACAGAUAUUUAUGGAUAUGGCGGUGCUGGUUGAUGCACAAGGGGAAUUGCUUGACAACAUAGAAACCCAGGUAAUUACCACAAUUUCAAAGCAUGAUGACCCCCUGAAUUUCGUAAAGUUUCAAACCCGAAAGAAAACAGAAGUUGAUUUGUAAAAACAUGACGUGGAGUGCAACUCUUGUAUCGCACUUGGGUAGACGAUCAUGUAUGUUGUGCUUUCAUUCCGCAGGUAUCAAGUGCAGUAGAUCAUGUACAGCAGGGGAAUACCGCUCUUCAGAAGGCCAAGAAGCUACAAAAGAAUUCGAGGAAAUGGAUGUGCAUUGCGAUUCUCAUUCUUCUUAUCAUCGUUGCAAUCAUUGUGGUGGCGGUGUUCAAGCCGUGGCAGAGCAACAAGGGUGCUUAAAUUAGCUCCUAUGAUAAUUUGUAACUGAUAAGUAUAGGGGAUUACAACUGACACUUUGGGACUCGAACAAAUCUUGUGAAUCAUUUCUAGCCCUUUUGUUCUCCUGUGAUAAUGCCCGCAUGUAACACUAUUAAUCGAAACAAACUGUCACUAUAUUCUUUAAGGGAUUCUUUAAUAUGCAUAAAAGAAAACUCUCUUUUUUCUUCUUGAAUGGCUCAUGUUACUGGUUAUAAAACCGUACCGUCACGGAGAUAUUCCCGUUGAUAUUUCGUACGGAUUUAACGGACUCUCCAAGAAGGGGUGUAAGAGAGUGGGCGAUGUUAGGGUGUAGAUUGGCACGUUUAGGAGAGAUUUUUCAAUGUGGCCGAAACAUAGAGCGGUACAUCAUAAGUUAUUAUACAAGUGGAGGGAAGUUUUUUUUUCCGUUCCAAAUGUUCCUCCACUUAUAUAAUGACACUAAAUAAUCUCUCCACGUUUUGAUAAAAAGUGUAGCUGACAUACUUAUCGAAGAUUAGUUAAAUGAUUUCUAUUAACUAUUGAAGAGUAGCUGACAUGAGCAAAUUACUGACGAGGAGUCGCUAAAUAGUUUCCUAGUUGGAAUUGGCCGUUGUUGUAGUGAGGCCAUAUCCAAAGGGGAAGAGAGGGUCAUAAUGUGCGUCUCCUACAUUCAUCGGCAGCUGAUCAACGGUUUUGAACCAGGUUCGAGAAAGCUUGCCCGUGAAGCCAUAGUCACCAAAUAAAACAUCAGCUACGCCCUGCCCUUCCGUUCCUGGAAGCCAAGCUGCAACAAGAGCAUCCAUCAAGGGAACAUAUGGUUGGAUCACAACAGGACGGCCAGAGAUGACGAUAACAACACAUUUCACAGAACCGCAAACAUUUGUGAUGGCACUCGGGCCAGGAUCCGGUAUUGUCAAGUUUAGGCUGUCACCAAACGUCUCUGCGUACGGGUGUUCCCCUACCACAACGAUGGCAUAUGAGAAAUCAUUCGACUUCACAAAGUCAGCAUCAGGAUUCUCCUUGUACACUACUUUGGUUUUAGGAUCCACUGUGUUCUUAAUGGCACUAAGAAUUGUGGUACCUGUUAAAGAGAAAAAUAAGUUUCUUACAGAGUUUAAUAGGUCAGUUUUUUCAGAGUCCCGACAGAUUUCAUAGGCAAACAUGUAUCAAGAGGAUAUUAUGUUUUAUGACAGCAAAAACAGAAGGAUCUUUGUUUACCUUCGGUGAGAUUGUUGCCACUUAAGCCCUGCCACUCAAUGGUCCACCCACCACACUGAUAACCAAGGUUAUCUGCAUGACUACCAGCUACAAGUAUUUUUGAUGCCUUCUUCGGAAGGGGAAGCAACAGCUCAUCAGCAGAUUUGCCGUUCUUUAGAAGCACUAGAGAUCUCCUCACAGCUUCCCUAGCUAAUUCUCUGUGUUCCUGUGAAAAUAGUAAUACAAAAAACCAGAUUAAGUUUCCUGCAUUGUUGUAGAAUGGUGAUAAAUUUACCAACGUCUACCUUACUCCCAAGUUGGUCGACCAGGCUGCGAUCAGCCAACGGUUCCUCAAAUAAGCCCAUGACGAACUUAACCCGCAAAAUUCUUUUUACAGCAUCAUCAAUUCUGCUCAUGGGAAUGAUUCCAUUUUUCACCAGGGAGGUUAGACCGUCAAUAAAUUCCGUAUAGUUGUAUGGAAUCAUGACCUGUAACAGGCAAUUAAGUAGGGGUUAGAAGACCAAACACAUCAUCAAGUUUAUGGAACUUAAGAAAGGAAAGCAACAGAGAUGUUAAGUACCAUGUCAAUUCCGGCAUUGACGCCUGCUUGAAUUGAAUAUGAGUAGUUGGCAUGAGGUGGAGACGUGAUCCUGUCAAUACCCUCCCAAUCUGAGAUGACAAAACCCUGAUAUAGUCCACAAAGUUUCACAGUGCUUUUAGCUUCUACUUAGGCUAUUGUAAAAUGGACAUAGUGCCGAAAAGAACAUCAGAGAGUCGUUUUUACCCUGAAAUGAAGAGUGUUCUUAAGGAAGCCAGUAACAAGAUCAUGAUUAGCAUGCAUCUUUACUCCAUUCCAGCUCGAGUAAGAUACCAUAAUAGUUGCAACCCCUUUGAUAAUUGAGUCAUAGUAGCCUGGCAUGUGGAUACUGAGCAAGCCGUGUCUGUUUAUCACAGUGUUAUUCUCGUUGAUGCCCCUAGUUGUUCCUCCAUCACCGACGUAAUGCUUUGCACACGCUGCAACCUUUUUACUGCCAACAGAAAUGGCGGAACAUGAACAAAACACCUUCGUAAAUUGGAUCACAAUCGUGUUGUUUGGAAUUUGACAAUGAUUGGUGAUCUUUCAGUAAAUUAAUGUGCCAUGAGAAUUGCAGUUGUAAAUAUGUCCUUUUCGGACAAAUCAAAAUGCAACAAUAUAGGGAUUAUAGGUGGUCUUUGUGACCACCGUAAAUAGCCUAGUGCCAAAGUAUGCUUUGACAAGCACUUUCCCUCUUUUUUUCCUACAAAAAGCUACCAAUUUUUCAAUGAAAGUGCUUAAACACACUCGUCAUCUCUCCCUUCCUCUAAGAGCCAACAUCACUGCACGCGAAGGAGAAGAAAAAACGACUAGUACUUGCAUUGCAUGUUGGAUUUAUGUGGACCAAUAGAACUAAAACCAAGUUAAACUUCAAGAUAUUCCAAAACUGUAACUUUCACAGGACCAUUAUGAUGAGUAUCAAUCAUUUUCGAGAACGUGGACCGCCACAUUAUGCAAAAGAGAAUAAGACCUUUCAAACUCUUGUAAUGUGUUAGAAAUGUUGGACCGUUUUAUCUUUGAUAGCACAAAUGGACCCAAAAAAAAGCAUAAAUCAAGCACAAGGCUAUGACAAAAAACUGAGGAAUUAAAACUCUUACUUUCCGCCCACAAAGGGAAUGCCCUUUCUAGAGUUGGCUGGUAACUCCCCUUGUAAUCCAGGUAUGAUCUCAGUCAUUGCUUGAACAAUUUUGUGAUCUUCACUGUAGCUUUCAUAACAUCGACCCCAUCUUGGAUCUCUGCAAACCUGCAAAGACAAAAUUAAGAGGAAGCACAACUUAGCUUAAAGUAACUUCUGUCGGUACUAAUCAGAUGUACAGUUUAUUUUAGUUACCGCUAUACAAGGUGCGAAGACAUAUGGAAUGCCUGUAGCUCUAGCUUCAAGUGCAGUUGCAGCUCCGAUCCUCUUAACAAGUACGGGGUCCCUGGUUGAUUUUAAAUACGAGGAAGUUGACAUUAAUACAUUCACUCUUAUGGUUUAAAGUUUGAACUACUAAGAGGACUAAAAUUUUACAGUUGAAGAAACAAAUUUCUCAAUUGAUCCCAUUUAGUUAAAGUAUCAUCAUAUACUCGAACAUAUAUACACCAACUUAUUUGUAUUUGGAAUUUUAAUUUGUCAGCACCAACGAAAAAUGAAAGCUUCAGUCAAAUUCUUGAUCAAAUGCCGGACACAUAAGACAAUUAUCGCAUCGUAGAACUCUUCAUUUAAUUGUAGAGAAAGGAAAGGUUGUUUUUUUCUCUCCAAAAUUCAAAAGGUUGACAAAAGAGACUAAGCGAAAUGUUGGUAUUCAAGGCAAAUCUACUUGCCUGGUAGCUCCAAGGCCAAUAUUGUGCGGAAAGAUUGUUGCUUUGUAGACGUUGUUGUGGCCAUGAACUGCAUCGAUACCAUAAAUCAUUGGAAUUCCAAGCCGGGUUGAUAAAGAACCUUUUUGAAAAUCAUUCACCAUGUUAAUCCAUGCUUCUGGAGAAGCCCUUUGUGCUGGAACGCUCCCACCCCCGCUUAAUAUACUCCCUGCCAAAAACAGAUUAAUUUCUUCUUCCUUAAAUCUAACUGAUCUGCAUAUGCAUAUGUGAUACAUUCCAUUCUUUCUGUAGUUACACAUGUAUAUAUAAUUUAUACACAGGCAGGACAGAAAGAAGAGUGAUGAUUACCAAUGAAGUAUUUCUUCAUCACCUCAGACGAAGCAACACUGCGGUCUAUCUGCACCAUUUGGCCAAUCUUUUCCUCCAACGUCAUCCGGCUCAAUAGAUCCUUGAUUCGAGUAUUCAGCGGCUGUUUGGGGUCUUUAUAUCUAAUAUGUUCUGCUUCUGCUACAGCUAUGAAGAAACAUGAGAGAAGAAGCCCCAUCAAGAAGAUGGGAGUUCUAGCCAUUUCCUGUUCCCAAAAAAAUUUACAGAAGAAUGUAAUGCACAAUUAGAAAGCCAGUUUGAGGAUGAGCUAUGGAACAUUGUGAACCGAAAUUCGAAAACAUAAAAAAGGCCUAAAAUUAGAACAUCAAACAGUUAAAAGAUGAACAAAAUUUGAAGAAAAGUAUUAAGGCAACAAUGGAAAGGAAUCACAAUAUAAUGAACCUCAAGCAUUCAAGCACCAAUGGAAGAUUAGUUGCAUGGUGGAAAUUAUAGAAAGUUACCACUUUUAUUAACAAAAAAAUGCUGCACCCGAAGUUAAUCCCAGAGAAAGGAAUCAGAAGGACCUUGUAGCAAAAUGCAGAAUCAAAGAGAACCCUUUUCCAAGCAAUGAAAAAAAGGGUAAAAAAAGUUUACUAUUCUUCAAGUGACAAUCACAACACAUGCAUGUUGCUCCUUAUUAACCACCAAAACACUUAAGAAAUUUCGCUGGCCUUUUUUUUUUGUGACUGAAUGGAACUAAAAUCUGAAACCCAACAACUAAGAGAGAGGUAACUGAAUCACAACUGAGUGAAGUAUUUCAUUUCAUCUUUCUGGAAACUAAUAAAUUCCCAUUUGUCAAAAGAAACUAGUAGCAUGUGGAAGUGGAACUUACAGAGAAGCAAUGGAGACCCGAUACUCCAAUAGGCAAUGAGCAGAGAGAGAGGUUGGCAAUGAGCUCUGCUGCUUUGUGGAAGAGAGAGAGAGAAGUUGAGUUGGGACUUGGGAUUUGGAAAGCAAUGUGAGGCAGAAAAUGGAACUUUAUAGAAAAAAAAAAUUAGGUGCUAGUUGACUGAAAAUUUGGAUGUGAUGAUAUAUUUGUCAAUUUCUGGAAAAAAAAAUAUUUGUCAAUUCGAUAGCGGGCAGAGAAAGGUGACGCAGAGAGUUUUACUGGAAUCCAAAUUUGUUUAUUUGCCUUUCAUUUCGCUUUCAUGGAUGAACUCAUAAUUCAUCAUGCUUAUCUUUACUUUAUUGGUGAGAUUAGCACCCGCAUUAGUGAUGCUGCUGGUGUAGGUGAAUUAAGAGACAAGGAUUGUCUGCCCUCCCAUUUUCGGUGCUCUCUCGUGCCCUUUUGUUUGUGUGGUCACGGUUAAAUCACGUUAAUAUUUUAUAUUACUAUUCAUUUUUAUCUUAUUAUUUCUAUAAAAAAUAAUAUAAAAUGUUGACGUGGCUUAAUUGUGACCACACAAAACAGGAGGGCACGGAAGGGCACCAAAAAUGAGAGGGCAGACAAUUCUUGUCUGUAUUAAGAAGGCCCCACUGGCAAUAAAACUGGUGGUUUUGCUUGUUGACUAUUAUUCCAAAUUCUUCUUCCUGUCAAACUUCUAAAAAGAAAGAAACAACUGUUCCAACUUUUAACAUUUGUUUUUGGCUUCCUGCCUCAUCCACAAAUUACAGCCUUACACUACACACGCAUGCAUUGCGUUACAGAGAUCGAUAUCGCUCGAAAACGGCUAGUGGGGUUUUAGAAAUUGAGGAAAGGCGAUGAGAUUGAGGGAGGCGGCACAAGAGAGAGAGAGAGUACCCUUUUGAAUUAGAGUCUUCUCUCCUCUUACUGGGUAUUCCCAAAUCCCUACUCGAUUUCAAUAUAAAAUUAUAAACUUACAUGAAAAUAGCAAAAACAAUUAUUUUCUCUUUAAAUUUGUGUACUCUAAAUACCCAUCAAUCAUCAAGAACAGAGACAAUUAUUCCAUUCUAGGUAACCUUAAAUACUACGAGCAUUAGAUAGCCUGUCUUAAUUUGGAUUUGGAAGUUUUUCAUUUCCUUUCCAAUUUCUAAUGAAUGAAAAAACAUAAAAGAGAAAGAGAUAAAAAAUAAAAAAAACUCGUUUGGAAAUGUUUUUAAAGUAACUGGAAGCACUUUGGGUAAAAUUAUUUUUGGAUUCCAAAAGCAUUAGUUAUGUGCUUCUUCCAGGAAGCACUUUAAAUGCAUGUUUUUCCUUCCUUAUACCUAAAUUUGUAUGGAAGACAUUAAAUAUUACAAGUAUUGGAUGACUUGAAUUGGUUUGGAUUAUUGCUUUUUUCGGUAGCUAAAUCAUCUCUCCCGAUGUUGCACUUAUAUAUAAAUAACUAAUUGAACACACUUAAUCAAGGAAAUACAUAGCAUCCAAAAAAGAAACACAACCAAUUCAAUUUUAUUUUAUUUUCGGGAAAAAAAAAAAAAAACAAAGAAACAACAAUGGUUUGUUUGAUUUUCCUUUAAACAAGCAGCUAGCAAAGUGAUCGACCAAUUGGAAAUUUUCAUAUAUAUUAUUAGUCACGAAUUCGUUGUGAUUAUAGCUUCUUCAUUCGUCACGCAUUGUACGUAUCUUGAGGCCAAACUGCAUGCACAAUUUAGCCAUGCAAAUCAAGCACUUUCAUACGUGACACGACACCCAACCUAGCUAGCUAUAUAAAUACUACCGUACAUAACGAUGCAAAGUGCAAACUGGUCAUGGCCUUCUUCGCAAGAAAUGCACUGCUGCUAAUGCUGCUUAUGUUGAUUCUAAUUAUGUCUGAUGCAGUAACUGUUGUGAUCGAAAAUUAUUUGUGGGAUCAAUCGGGCGACUCGCCACUGAAAGUUCACUGCAAAUCCAAAGACGAUGACCUUGGUGUCCAUGCCGUCCCCCUUGCUGACUCCUACGAAUUUAAGUUCCAUCCAAACAUAUGGCGGACCACGCUAUUUUAUUGCAGCUUUGAGUGGCAGGGCCAACUUCACCAUUUCGAUAUAUACGACCAAGGAAGGGAUGGAGGUUGUGUACUAGACGACAGCGUUUGUUUAUGGCGGAUACAAGUGAACGGUCCGUCCAGGUUCAACGGCUAUACUGGCUCAUAUGAUCUUCUGUAUGCAUGGAAGGACUAGUUGUUUCAAAAUCAAACAUUCUGGGGACAACUCUGUUGCAAGAUACCCCAAGUGGAAAUGUGGAUCUUUACCGUUUCGAGAUAUAUAAGGAAAAAGGAGGGAAAAAUAAAAAGCAAAUCUAUCGUUGUGCUCUUUCUUGCAUGUGCAGUUAAGUUAGCAAAAGUAGUGUGCUCCUUUUUCUGUAUAACCUAAAUUUGAAUCCUCAUUUGUAAUUUGUAUUAGAUUAAAUAUAAUUUCAAUUGAAUAAAUAAAGUGGGAUAUAUUAGUCACCAAUUUUGUUGUGAUCAAUAACAAGUAAAAACUUAUUUCCUAGCUUCUACUGUAACUAGAAUUUCUUAAUUCGUCACACUAAUAUAUUAUUAUUGUGAAAGGAAAUUAUAUAAGCAAAGCCAAAAGAUUUAAUUAAUUAGCAAGUAGCCCUCCACCUCAAUAGUGAAGAAGAGUGUUGCCCUUGCACCAUGACAUGAGUUCCAACCCAUCGACGUCCUAAUCUAACAUCUCUAACAAAUUUAUUGUUUGACAAAAGAUUUAAUUAAUUAUGAUCGUGCCACCACUAGCUAUGAGAAAUCCUAAUAGAUUGUAAAAAGACAUAUAUAACUUGCACCUCAAGCAAUAACUUCGAAUCAAGUCUCUUAGUAAAGGAUGACGUAAGACGCGCGCAGAGCGUCCAUAGAAAAAAGACAUUUAACUUGCACAUUAAAACCGAAAAAGAAGAGUAGCUACAUGAUUUUUCUAGUUGAAUUUUUUGGGUGUUGUAGUGAGCCCAAAUCCAAAGGGGAAGAGAGGGUCAUAAUGUGCAUCCCCAACAUUCAUAGGUAGUUGAUCAACCGUUUUGAACCAAGUUCUAGAAAGCUUGCCAGUGAAGCCGUAGUCACCAAAUAAAACAUCAGCCACCCCUUGUUAGUACUAGAAAUUAGUAAGUCAAAAGCCGAGGAAUGAAAAUUCUUACUUUCCUGCUACGAAGGGAAUGCCCUUUUCAGAGCUGGUAUCUCCCCUUGUAAGCCAGGUAUGAUCUCUGUUAGAAUUUCUUUGUCCCACAUCGGCCAGAAGGAUUGAGAACAAGCCAUUUAUAUAGAAUUACCUCACUCUAACUAACACCGAGGCUUUUUGUAUUAAAACCCCACACCUGACGGAUUGAGAAGGUGGCCAAGUGGGGACAGUACCGGUGUUGUUGGAGUGGGCCCAUGGCCCGUUUACUUGAAAUUUAAGAUGGUAUCAGAGCCAGGGGACGGGUCCGUACAUCCACGUGAACGGGUGGGUCCCCUUUGGCCCCGCACAAAUGGGUGAGCCCCAACUUGGCUCCACAUGGUUGCCGAUGUGUGGAACUCCACGUGUGACCCAUAAAAUGGGGUCUCAAGUGCGGGGGAGUGUUAGAAUUCCUUUGUCCCACAUUAGCCAGAAGAAUUACCCCAUUCUAACUAACACCGAUGCCUUUUGUAUUAAAACCCCACACCUGACGGAUUGAGCAGGUGGCCAAUUGGGGACAAUAUCGGUGUUGUUGGAGUGGGCCCAUGGCCCGUCUACUUGAAAUUUAAGACAUUGCUUGCACAAUCUUGGGAUCUUCACUGUAGCUUUCAUAACAUCGACCCCAUCUUGGAUCUCUGCAGACCUGCAUGGACAAAAUCAAUAUGAAGUUCAGUGCCAGCAUAAAUUGACUUGUGUUCAUAUCAAUCAUCAGAUAUAUACAGUUUAUUUUAGUUACCGCUAUACAAGGUGCAAAGACGUAAGGAAUGCCUGUAGCUCUAACUUCAAGCGCAGUUGCAGCUCCGAUCCUUUUAACAAGUUCAGGAUCCCUAGUUGAUUCAUCUUGGAUCUCUGCAGACCUGCAUGGACAAAAUCAAUAUGAAGUUCAGUGCCAGCAUAAAUUGACUUGUGUUCAUAUCAAUCAUCAGAUAUAUACAGUUUAUUUAAGUUACCGCUAUACAAGGUGCAAAGACGUAAGGAAUGCCUGUAGCUCUAACUUCAAGCGCAGUUGCAGCUCCGAUCCUUUUAACAAGUUCAGGAUCCCUAGUUGAUUUUAAGUUCGAUCAAGUUGAUAUCAGUAUAUUUACUCCUUGAAUUUCAUAUGGGUUGAUCUCUUAAUACGACUAAAAGUUAAGAGUCGAAAAAACAAAUUUCUCUAUUGCUAAUAAAUUUUAGCACAAUAUCUACUUUAAAUUCAAUCAAUAUUACUUUGAGACUAGGAUUACAAAAUAAGUUACAGCUCAGUGAUAUGUUAGCAAUGGAGGACAUCUACUUGCCUGGUUGCUCCAAGGCCAACAUUGUGAGGAAAGAUUGUUGCUUUGUAAACAUUAUUGUGGCCAUGAACAGCAUCGAUACCAAAAAUAAACGGAAUUCCAAGCCGAGUUGAUAAAGAACCCUUCUGAAGAUCAUUCACCAUGUUAAUCCAAGUUUCUGCAGAAUCCUUUUGUGGCGGAACAUUCACAACCCCUCUUAAUAUACUUCCUGCCCAAGACAAAUUUCCUCUACCCUUAAAAUCCAACUAAUCUUCAUAUACAUGCAGAAGGACUGCUUCCAUUCUUUCUAUAUAUAUUUUAUGCAGAGACGAGAGAGAGAAUAGUAAUGUUUACCAAUGAAGUGCUUCUUCAUCACCUCAGGCGAAGCAACGCUGCGGUCUAUCUGCACCAUUUGGCCAAUCUUUUCCUCCAACGUCAUCCGGCUCAGUAGAUCCUUGAUUCGAGAAUUCAAUGGUUGUUUGGGAUCUUUAUAUUUAAUGUAUUCUGCCUCUGCAAUAGCUAUGCAGAAAACUAAAAGAAACCCCAACAAGAAGGGAUUCCUAGCCAUUUCCUGUUCCAAAUAUUUACACAAGAAUGUAACGCGGCGCUCAAUUAGAAAGCCACUUUUGAGGAUGAAUGUAUAACAGCAACAUCACAAAUUCACAACCAAUACUAGAAAAGAAAACAGGUCUAAAACUAGAACAUGAAAAGUAGAAAGCAACCAUCAUAUAAUUUUCAAGAAUUCAGGCAGCAAGGGAAUAACAGUUUGCGCGGUCGGGGUGCGACAGAAAAAAGAAAAACUGCAGCAAAAAUUAGACUCGGAGAAAGGAAUCAGAAGCACCCUUUGAUCAAAAUAGUAGAAACAGAAGAGAAUCCAUUUUUCAAGCAACUAAAGACAAUAAAACAAGUGAGAAGCACAAGACACGAAUAGUUUGAGCUCCUCAACAUUGCUCCUUAAUCCUCCUUCCCCACCAAAACUCGAAAUAAAGUUCGUUUAUCCCCCUUAGCAUCUGAUCGUAAAUUACCGGUAACGAAAAUCUGAAACCGAACAAGAGACGAACUAAAAGUUUCCCUUUUCCAGAAACAAAAAAUGGGAGUAAUUAAAGAAGUUGCAUGUACUAAAAAGUGAGAAGUGGGAACUUACAGAGGAGUAAUGGAGUGGAGAGGCAAUGAGCUUUAUCUGUUCUGUGUUGAACUUGAAGGAAUAGUGAGUGAGUGAGGGAGUGGAGGGCAGAAGAGAGUUGAGUGAAAAACGUGAAGUUAUAGAUGGACAAUUUGACUCUCACUUUAUUGAAACAGGACACGGACUUCUUGUUGGCUUCUUCAAUGAACAAUGAACUGACUUUGAUGGAUAAUAUUAACUGUUUGCAAUUUCUACUCAAGAUAGGACGUAUUGGAGUUAACGAAAGACUUUGUGCAAAAACGAGCGGAGUCACGUUUUAGAAUUCAUAUAGCCGAUUCUAUUUAGUGGUAUAAUGUUUGUUUGUUGUUGAUGCAAAUUCUACUCAUGUACCAAAAAGCAUUACAUAUAUGUAUCUUACAAGAAUUAUAGAUACACAUGCUUAUUAAUGUUACUUCACUUGCUUUGCCUAAGCAAAAGCAGUUGAUUAUCCAAACGUUACAAAACAGAAGCUUAAGCUUGAUUAAUUAAAAACAUGAUGAAAUAAUCAAUCUCACAAAAGGCGAUCAGACAACGACGGAAGCCGUCGAAUGAAGUUCAAAGCCGGCGACGGCAUCCGAUCACGGAAUAUCGGAUGACGGAGAUAAUAGAACCCAAACGCCAUCGCCACCAUCUUCGACGGCACCACGUACAGUAUCAUCGCCACCACCAAACACAACACCACAAAGAUCCCCGUCGCCCGCGGAUCCUGCCACGUCACCAGCGCCUGCACUCGUUCCCCUUGCGUUGCAAAAUCUCCCAGCACGGUCUGCACGCGUGCCCCCAACAUCCUAAGCUUGUCGUACCUCGCCCGCACCACCUCAUACGGCCUGUUGCUCGGCACCGCAUCAAACUCCUCGUCCAGCUCGUCCCGGUCAACGUUGUCCGCCAGCGAGAGCUUCGGGUCAAAGUGCUGGAGUGGGGCCCGAGAGCGAAACCUGUAGUUCCACGCGCCAAUCACAAACACGUAAAACAACAGGGUGGGCACGAUCAGAUCCGGGAACCAAACGAGCAGCACCAGCAGUGCGUGCACAAGAAUCGUUGCCAUCGGUUUCUUCCAAGAACGCGUGUCGUUUAUCCACGCUACGACAUCCACAACCCCUGCUACGACAUUGAUGAUCCGGAAAUAAUUGGCGCGCACUUUCCGCAUGCUGAAUCCCUGCGAAUCCGCGUCCAGCAUGUAAAUCACAACCUCGCGCCCGAGCGGCGGUUCCGAGCGAGACAGGUGUGCGGCGACGAUCUUAACCGCCGCCCUGCGCAGUAGGUCCUGUUGCAUCACACCUAGCGGCUUUAUGUGGUGCAUCAACGGCAGUGAAGGCUGCGAGUACGCGUGGAUCAAAUCCAACGUCGGACACACUCGAACAAACCGUAUGGCCACCUCCACCUCCCCCAUUUUUUUCAAACCGGCGGGAGACAAAAGCAACAGCGGAUACGUAUUUCUGUAUACUCUACCCGUAGCCAGCGUCGAAAUACGCAAGCGGAGCUUCCCGAUACGAAAAUCGGGACGCGUGGCAUCUGUCGAGCCGUCGAUUUUGAAUCCCGGUCCAGAGCUAUCAAAAACGCCGAUGCUCAACACCGUACACGGAUCGUAUACUUUAAACGUAUACUGCUCGUUCCAUUUGGGCUCCAAGCUAUCGCACACGGCCCGUGUCCGUACCCAUUUGGAUCCAUAUUUUGCCACGCAAUACGCAUCCGUACAUCCCUUACCGCUCACCGUCUUGACAGGUAUCAAGUUCUUGCACCCGAUGACGCCGAGCUCGACGGUGCCCAGCGGCGGCUUCCAGAGCUGCCUCGCGGUGGGCCGGUAGUCGCUGCACACGUACGCUGCCUCGUCCAUCACGUGAUACCCGCCGUCGAAACAGAGGCGCAGGUGCAUUCUGCCUCUGUACACCGUCCUCUUCUUCUGGUCUUCCUCGCCUGGGCUCUCCAAUGAGAACCAUCUCGAAGCCACUUUGCGGUCGUCGACGCGUCGUUCGAUGGCGGUAAGGGGUAUUGUAGCCACCCCCAAUGUGACCGGUCCUUUCGCUAGCCGAUUCUCUACAGUGAAAAUUAAACGAUCGCUGAACGGCUCCGCGGCUACGAACAUCAAGUCUUGGUUCCACGACAGCGUGCCGUUUUGGGUGACUGCGGGGUCGGUCUUGAGGGACUGGAAUCCGAGCUGGGCUUUGACUUGGACAGAUGACUCCGUCAACGACGGCGUCAUGGGGAGAACGUCUUGGGCUUCGAGGACUGUUGCUCGGAGAUACCACAGCUUCGGCGAUUGGUAGACUUUGGCUCGCGCGUUUGGGUUACCGGCUGUAUCGGUCUUCCACGCGUCGGGAAACGAAUCGUCCGCCUGAGUUCCCAUCCACGUGGCGAGCAUCAGGUCGCCGUUCAUGCGGGCCCCGCCGCCCUCCAGCCUGUACCACUGCGGGGCCAAGGGGCUGUCGGGCGGGUCUCUCAGGGGAAUUUCCGUCACGUCGAAACAGAUUCCACCGAGGAAGUGAUGCCCGGAGGCAACCGAGGCGGUCGCGGGGUCAAACAUGGGCGGGUCCCACACUGAAAUUUCGAGGAUGGAGGCGUCGGAUUGGUCGGGGGAUUGGCGGGCGAAGGCGAAGGUCUGGUCCCACUCGAAGCAUUGGGUUUUUCUGGCGGGUUUGGACGUGAUAUGGUGGUUGGCAGUGGAGAUUUUAACGAUCGGACUGCCGCUGGAGGGAAUGAAGCGCGCCUUCACCACUCGGACGAAGAGGUAGUGCAUCUUCUCCACCAGAUCAAACGACGGCCGAUCCAUCGACAUGCUUUCUGUUGGCUCCAGCUGCGACGUAUAGUUCAUUACUGGUGGCCUUGGCAUUGGCUGUGGGCCGUUGAUUCCAUGGAAUUUGACAUCUGGAACUGAUUUCGAUACGGCGGCUCCAAUCAUCUCUAUUUCGGGUUCACGUUGCAUGGCUGCUUCAGGUGGUGGCGGCGGCGGCGGAUCCCCUUGAUCAUGAUUUGCAUCAUCAGUGGGUGGUGGUGGUGUUGACGUCGGCCCCGGUGGAGGAUCAGACUGUACAUCUUCAGGAGCUACAGUUUCCUGUGGUGGCACCACCUCAGUCGGUGGUUCUUCGGCGGGCUUCUCACCUUCCGGUGGCGGUGCUUGUUCUGCUUCCGGUGGUGGGUCCGCCUUAGUUUCCUUCUCGCCUGGUGGUGGGGUUGAGUCAGAUUCUGGUGGCGGCGGCGCCUCCGACGACGGAGGCGGUGCAGUUUCAGCCUUUGGCUCUUCCGCUUGAGGCGGCGGUGUUGGUGGUGCAGGCGGCGGGACAACCUCAUCGACGUAAUAAAUCUUCAAGCCAAUUUCACCUUGAAUCCAACUAAAGAAGCUCUUCUUCUCCAAUGGGAAAUAAAUCAAAGCCUCCUCGCCUUUCUUGACAAACUGAGUGGAACUCAGUCGGAUCCUCCCGAGGAAGUUGUUCCUCCGGGUGGGUCCGUAGUUCUUGUCGUGGUGGACAUCGAGCUCCAGCACAUCCCCAAAAACAUCGGAAGGCUUGCCAACGUUGAACUCGAGCAACUCGUUCCACACGGGGUUUAGGUCUCGUAUCUUUGUCUGCGUCCGCUUCCGCUGCCCGUAGUAGUCCAUCACCACGUACGGGCUCGACGUCCCGUGCCCGUCUUUCGGCGACAGAUUUCGAGCAUCGACAACCUCAACUAUCAGUUUCCGUACAGUAGCCAUAACGUUGGUUCUUGAGUGAUCAAAAUGUCACAGAAAAUGUGUAGCUAGCUUUGGUACUGUAGAGUUUCUUAGCUAGCUACUAUCAUACUCCACUUUCAAGUAAGAGAGAAGAGGCAUCAUGGUUAUGGAGAGAAGCUAUAAAUAAUGUUAAGUAAAGUAUGAGGGGAGAUAUUCCAUCCCGUGACCGAUUGCAUAUCUCGAAUUCUCUCAUCACUUCAUGUAAUGAGAGAUAAAAAGUACAAUUGAUUACACUUGAGAUUUUACCGUAAAAUUGACGUUUCUUAACUUUUUUUUUUUUUUUUUUUUUUUUUGGUGUAGCAAAACUAUUAAGUAAUGCAUGCGAGCAAGGUUUUUAUCAUAUCGAUUGUAUAUUUUCAUCACUCUACUUCUCUCAUCACAUUACAUGAGAGAGAUGCAACUGGUUACACCUAAAAUUUGCCGCAUGACAGAUAUGUUUCUUAACUUCUUCAUCCUUUACGUAUUUAAUUCACUACUUUUUGAAUAUAUAUACAUAAAUAUGUCUUUUAAUUCUUUUGGUGCAGAAAAAAUGGAAAAGAGAACGAUAAAUGGGAAACAGAGGUAGUGGGAUUCCAGUUGGGUGGGCAAGUAAAGGAUAAAAAGAUUGGGAGGAGGAGGAGAUAGGGAGAUAAGAAAACUAAAGGUGCUUAACUUCAUCCUCAAGAAGCUUUUAUUAUUUUUUUUCUUGAUGUGUAAGGAGCUUUUAGACUAUCUAAUUUCUUUUGCUUGUUAUUAGGAAAUACUUUUCUUUAUUAAACUCAAAGAUUCUGUCUCUCAGAUAUAAGCCCUUUCCUUUUGGCCAAUACCACAGACAUUAGAGGCACACGCUUUUGACACAUAUUUACACUUAUUUUGUAGGGCUCACUUUGUAAUAUUUUUCAACAAUUCAUACUGUCUAUUAUGAACAUUUUAAUGAUUUUAAUUUUACCUAAUUUUUUGCAAGAAUCAUUUAUGAACAACUUUAAUUAUUGAAAUACAUUAAGAAAUGAAUUCAACAAAAUAUGUGUCAAAAUGUGUGAUAGAGGAUCCUCACCGGAUCUUCCAAUCACAUCCGUUCAUCGUACAUCGUGCAGUCAGUUUUUAUCAUGUACUGUUUAUAUUCAAUUUUAAAUAAAAAAAUUAUAAUAAUUUCUAAUUGUACAAUUUACGAUGAUCGGAUGUGAUUAGAGAAUUUCCAGAUCCUCCUGGAAAAAUGUGUUUCCGGAUCUAAUAUAUAUAUAAAGUAAUGGACAAGCUUUUUUUUCAAAGAUGAAAAGCUUUUGUGUCACCGACCGCGGGAUUUUGUCACCCCAACUACAUUGUCUUGUAAUGAUAACUGGAAAUUUGACAAAGAUGACUCGUUCACACUUAGGCUAUAUGACUACAAGCCAAUCACCCAAGCCUUUCCCACACUUCAAUAAAUCUAAAAGUUUGAUUCCAUUGAAAAGUGCUUGGUGCUCCUGACGCAGGACAACACACAGAUUCAAUCAAAUUGGAAGAGAAAGGUUGAAGAGGAUAAAUUUUUAAAGCAAAUAAUGUGAAUGUUGAUAAUUGAAUUAUUAAUUAAGUAUCGAUUCACGUAUUUAUUUUUUAUUUUUAAAUUUGGUUAAAAAUUUGGUAUUCUUAACAUUAUCCUGAUUGGAAUUAUGUAAAAUGUAAGAUAGGCAAAUCAUGAGUAUUUUUUAGUUGCGUAAAUCUUGUAAAAACCCAAGGGUUCUAAUUUUUACACACCCAAUAGUUUAUCAACAAUGCUCAACUAUCGCAUUUUUCACAAAAUUUGUGAGUUAAUUCAUGGCUUUUGUUCAAAUAUGUGAAGUUUUACGAAACCAUCAUAAAAUCUUUUAUCAUAUUUUAUGUGUGAAUAAUGAAUUCCACAUUAAUAGAAGAAUUAGAUAUUGUUAGACCGAUAAAGUGGGAGCCAAAAACUCUUUGGUUGCUUAAGUUGGACUACAUGUUAGAACUGAAAGCAAAAAGUAACAAGUUUUUGGUAGAGUGAUAAAUUUGCCUCAAUAUUUAAAAGAUAAAGCAGAGGAAAAGUCUAGACAUUAACCAUGUUGUCCCUUGCCCAUAACAAUUCCUUCGUCUUGAAGGACAUACUUAUCUCAAACGGGUGUUUCUAUCAAAUAGUGUGCAUUUCUUCAAUCGGAACGCCUUUAGUUUAAUUUGUAGAUGAAGACAUUCAUGAUCAGGACCCAGACCACAAAGAAGAUAAACAUAAGUAACAAAGCAUUUUGAUGAAACUUGAGCUAUGGAAAAUUUGAAGAUCAUUUUGGUAAUGAUGUCGCUGGAUUCAGCAAGUGAAUUUACUUCAACAGGGAAAAUUUCACUUCUCACCGCCCAUCCUAGAGGUCAAAGACCAUGCAAAUCCACCAACCUAGAUUCCCAAAACCAUGCAAAUCCAGCAACAUAUGCAGAAAUGCCGUUCAUCAAGACCUCAACAAACUCCCUGCACCAUCCAUCCUAGAGGUCCAAGACCAUGCAAAUCCACCAACCUAGAUUCCCAAAACCAAGCAAAUCCAGCAACAUAUGCUGAGAUGCCGUUCAUCAAGACAUCAACAAACCCCCUUGACAAUACACCAAGGUUGUUACCAACCCCAAAUUUAAUAGCAAUUGCAAUCCUAAUAAUCACCUAUUAAUGCCAAAACAAAAAAAAAAAAGAACAAGCCACCUUAAAUUGAGUUUUUUCUUUAUGAAAAUUAUGAAGAAAAAAAGAAAAGCAAAAAACCUGAGAAAUAAAAGUAACUAACCGUGAGUUUGCGGGAUACUCAUUUUUAGCAUUCGAUGGAGCUAAUGAAGAUGAGAUUGAAAGAAUGGGAUUAAGAGUAGAAUGAUAAGUGCAUUAAGUGAGAGGUGAUAUUUAUAUGUAAGACUUCGGAGAUUUACUAAUCAUACUUGAAUAAUUAGUAAUCUUAUCCAGAUUUUAGAUGUAAAAACCCAAUUGCUACAGAUUUUGAUUUUUUGUUGAACACAAUUUUUUGUUGAAGAGACUAUAUCUCAUCUCUAUAGAUUUACUUGUUGAGUUUGACGUUCUAUUUGACUCUCUAUAUCUUUGUAAGUUUGCAAGUGAGAGAGCAUAGUUAAUUUCUAGUUUUCUCAAAUAUCUCAAACUAAUUAAAGUCUAUUUUUCAUUUCUAAUUCAAUCAUUUGUUUGACAUAUGAAUGUGCAUCUAUCAACAUAGUCCGCAACUGCAUAAAGUUUACUAUCAUGAAAAUAUGAUUACUUUUUUAAGUGAAAAAAUUAUGAUUACUUAAAAAGACAUAUACGUUGCAUGAUAUAUCAACAAAAUUUGCAUAAUUACGUUUCUUUACAUUCCAACAAAUUUGUUAUUUUUAUUUCAUUUAUUUUGCAAUAUUAGUUAAUGAAAUGACCAAAACGUAAAUAAAAUCUAAUUUUCAUGCAAUUUAGUGUAGACCUAGCCUCCUAGAACCUCGAGUGCUAAGGUAAAUGAAAAUGUUAAAUGCAAGAAGAACCCAAAAAACUUGGACUUGUUUCACCAUGCCCCUGAUGGUUGGACACCACUAAACCACAAUAUUGAGUGGGUACUUGUUAUGUCAUGAAUUUUCCUAAUUAUUUGUUUUUCAUUCUUUUUCUAAUUUUGAUAUUUGUUUUUUUUAACUAUCACAUUAACCAUUUUGUGAAAACUAUUUGUGUAAGAACUUUGUAUUCUGUUUUAAUAUCAUACUUCUAAAGGGAAGCAAUACAAUUUCAUUAUUCUAAAUCCUAGCAAAAAAAAAAAAAAAAACAAAAAAAUUGAAAGAAUGAACAAGUAUUUCAACAAUAAAACUUAUAUUAAAUGGGAUAACCGCAAAACUACUGUAAAUAAAAUCAUGGAAAAAUUAAAAUGAAUCAUUUGAACUAAAUUCUCCAAUCGGAAAAAUAUACUUUUACGGAUUUAUUGACAUUAUAUAGUUCUAUAUUAUGAACAUAACUCCCUGAAUUAAAAGUCUCAAGGGAGCAUGAGAAGAAAACAACUGCUACUUUACGGAUUUGAAGGGAUGAUAUAUGUGCAAAGCAAAGCUAAAUCUAUACAGUCAAACUUACAGCAUUGUGUUAACCCAAAAUGUAAAUCAAAGGAACAGGGAGAUGCCUAAAUUUCUACCUAAUUCACCAUCGGCUUCUUGACAAUCUUGACACUGUCGUAGAAGCGCCUAAGCUCCUUCAUAGCCUUUUCCUCGAUCUGAAUUGACCGAAUUGGCGAUGGUUGAUCUACCUCCGGUUUGAACCAGCGGUUCACUCCGGAAGUAUCCAGUGGCGAUCCCUGACCACUUGUUGUGACUGAGAAUCCGGCGGUUUUUGUCUUUGGACUGUGGGAAACACUCUGGUGUUGCUUUCCUUGCUUUGAGACGUAAAAAGACAGGUAAGAGUUCUGUAAACUAUAUGCAGGAAAACAUGAUAUACGAGAAAGAUGUGCAAGUCAUAUACCUGCUGCAUUUGGAUGUCCCUAAGAGAUGGCCGGGAAACAAGGGGAGGAGUUCCUGACGCAGUCCAAGGAGGUGUACAUCUUUCUCCAUCAGAUGCCAGUGAAGUAUGGGCUGAGACCAAUGGUAUUGGCUUGGAAGGUAAAAACGAACUCAGUCGAAUCUUCCCAUCGCUUCUCGCAUCAGAAGGAUCUUCCACGUGAUUUUUGUUCCUAGUUGACCGACUCUCCUUGGUUUUGCCUUGCUCAUCCUGAAUCUCACGAAGGGAUGCAAAACCUUUGGAAAAUUUAGCCCCACCCCAUGCAGGGCCUUCACUUUUUGGAGAUGGUGGAGGUGGUGCAACAAACUUGGGGGCAUCAUCAAGAGCGCCACUCAAGAACAUAGAAAGCCCACCCUUUUUAUUCUUCUUCUUGGAAACUAUUGGUGAAGAACACUUGUUAUUUGUUAGGUUGAAAUUGUCCUUCUGAACACACAAAGCUGACUCCUGAUUGGUUUGGCUUGUAGCAAUCUCUUCAAUCAUGACAUCGUCCUAUCACACGUAAAAUUUCAAACAAUUUAGAAAAUGAGAUGAAAUGCUCAACACAUAAUUUUAAAAACUUCUGUUCGCACUAAGUUGUAUAAAAUAUUUUAAAAAAGGCAAGGAUCACAAAUAUUUAAGAAAUGCAAGUUCUAAUAUUGAGUGAAUAGCAUGGCAAGAUCAAGCUAAAGGAAUGUGCUAGGUGGGGUGAAGUGAUAGGAAGUAAUAAAGGGAAAGGUCAAAUUCAAAACCUCCAUCUAGAAAAUGAUUAAUUAUGAACAUGUUAAACCCGUGAAUCCUUAUUAUCAAUAACCUGAAAAGAUUCCCUAGCCCAUUUGAAGUUUCAAACAUCUCAAAAGAAAAACAAAAUCAUCUCAACAUGAGCUGAUAAAUAGAUUUGUAGACAAGAACCAUAAUUUACUCAAUCUUGAAAAGAAAAUUAAUUCAAGAAAUUGACAAGCUCACCAUAUUCUUUGAGGUUUGAGAGAUUUCAUUAUUCGAAAAACCAUUUUCAUGGUCUGGUUCUACUUCAUUUCCCGAAAAACACGACCCUAUAUCCACUUGUGUUGCCAUCUUUUUGUUCCUUCUCCUCUGUUUUUUUGAUGGCUCAACCUUUUUGUUCCCUUUUCCAUCUACCAAACCUGAUGAUGGUGCCCUCAACAGUGGUGCCUCAACUGGAACACCAAGCUCAGCCAGCGAGCUCUCUAAAGCUGACCUUGUUUCAAGCUUUGCAAUUUGCUGGUUAUCAAGAACUUGCCCCCUAGACUGUUUUGCUUCAAGCAUCUCAAUCUGCUGCAGCUUUUUCCACAAGGCUCGAACUUGCUUUUCAAUAUUUGAGUCAUCUUUGGGUUGAAGAAAGGAUUCUGUCCUUUGAUGGAUUUCACUUUUCCAUACGGAUUGCUCUGUAUGGCCAUCGCGCGUCCUUUGAACCUCAGUCUCACUAUCUUCCUCUUCACUACAAAUAAUAGCAGGCAAAGUAGCUGUAGGAGUUGGGAGACGACGGUAACUCCAUGGUUCAGAUGACCUAAGGUCCAAUACAUUUUCAAGGUUAGCCAGAACAUCUGGUGAAGCACUAGCAAUAGCUUGUGAAGAUACUGUAAAAAUAUAGUCAAGGUUGCGUAUGGCAAUCUCCUGCGAUUAAAAAAAAGAACAGCUUCAAUAACAUGUAAAACAGAAAGCUACAAUAAAUUUCCUCACAAGUUGCAAAACCAGAAGCAUAAGGCAAUGGCGCAGCCCAAAUAUCAAAUGUUUUUUGGACAAAUUUUAGGCAAUACAAGACCUAUCUGAUAAUUUUAGCCAUCAGUAAUACGCCCACCCAACCACACACACACAGACACACAGGGAGGGAGAGAUUCAAAUCAGGUACAAUUUGAGACAGAUUAAAGGUUUCAUAACUUUUCCUUCAUAUAUUGAGCAGUCAAAGAAUACCUCACAGUACUUCCGCAAAUCAUCUGCCACAAGUGAAUCGGCAAUUUCAAGCAGUUGAAUAGUAUUUCGUGGCUCCACUAGAUUAUCUGCAGCCACUUUUUCACAAAGACUUUUUAAGCUUGGUGUGGGCUUUAUCCCAGCAUCAUCAUUUUGGAUAGUAGGUAACAGAUUAUCAGACUCCAUGUCAUUGAACAUAAGAUCUUCAUCAAGCUCUUCUAGCUCAUCUUUGACAUUUGACUUCUGCUUCUGAGGGUUAUUGGAAGUAAAGGCAGGGUGAUAAAGGGAGCCAAUAAUCAACAAGUGUGUUUCGCCUACAGAAACUGAACUAGCCCGCUUUGUACCAUGUAGCCGAGUUGCAACCGGUGGCUUAUCCUUACCUUUCUUCCCAUCCCACAUGUAAACAUCACCUGUAGCCGUAACUGCAGCAGUCCAGUAUUUCCCUGCAGAUAUGUUCACCAUAAUUCUUCCACCCAAUGAAUACAGCUAUACAAACAAACAAAAGAACACAGAGAAGAUUAGUGCUUUGACAUGCGUCGCCCAAAGGAUAAGACAAUCAACAACAUCACUAGUUUACUAAAGUAAAACCUGCUGGCAUCUGAAGUCUGGAUCUGAUGACACCCAAUAAAAUAAUGCGCCAUCAUCUGUCAGGGCUGUGCUAUGUACCAUCCCUGCAGCUAUAGAGACCACAUGAAGCCGUUCUUUGCGAUGAAACUUCAAAGUGGUAGUUCCACUCUUUUUCAAGUUUCUAGCAAUUACAACACGUUUUGGCGUAACAAUUCGAUGACCCCAAGUGUAUACCUGGCACAUAAAUACAUACAGGAUUAGGCUCAAAUAAAGCAGAUAGAGGAAAGUUUUCACAAGAUCCCAGAUAAAAGCAUAGUAUCUAAAUGUAUCGGAACUGAAUACCAGAGAUAGUUCUAAUGUUUGAGAAGAAUAUGCAAUUUUCAAUCAGGUUAAAUUUACCUCCCCAUCAACUCCCAAAACAAUUGUGUGAUAUUUUGCUGCUGCAACCCCCUUAAAAACCUUGCCUUUCAAGGAUUCAACUAAUCUUGGAGUGUAGUUUGAUGCAGAGUUGGAUGUACCAUAGCCUAGCUGACCCUCCCUAUUGCAACCCCAUGUGAAAACUUCACCGGCAUCGGAAACAACAGCAGUGUGCUUGUUGGCUGCAGCAACUUCAACAAUUUUUGACCUAAGAUAAUUCACUCUACGAGGAGUAGGUUGGGUAUCCACAGAAGUGUAGCCAAGCUGACCCUCUGCACAACAUCAUGUGAAUAAAUCAAUUUUCUAGUCCUCAAUCUCAGCAAUAAAUUGAUCACAGAUGAACCAUUUAUUAAUGCCCAAAUACAUUAAAGAAAACAAAUCAAUUCUCUGACAAGUUGAAUUGUGAAUGUAGCCAUUGACUAAAGAAGACAAAAUUUGUGUUUCUUUUAUUAUGAUCAGUAAGUAAUUUGAAAUAUCAACCCCUUUUAGUUGGCAGUUUAAAUCCCCAUAUGAUUUACCUCUGUUGGAUCCCCAAGUGAACACUUCCCCACCCUCCGUAGCAAUAACAGUGUGAUGUUUAGCUGCCGCAAUUGCCUUCACCUGACGGGACCCUAUACCAAAAGUCACCUGACGCGGUGUGAUAACUGCAGCUUGACCGCUGAAAUGCAUAUAAUAAAAUGGAUCUGACUGGCGAUUCACAAAAGGUAUAACUAGGUAAAGCAAGGAGAUUUCAACCGAUUAACCAUUUUUUUAGUGAAAGGUGACAAAACUCGACUUCUACUUCAUACUGUGAAUAAACCUACAGAAAUAUAGGGCUGUUUUUUCUUGCAUCUCGUCUUUUUACAAGUUCAAGAUGAAAAGUUCCUUCGCCUUAGAAACUACAUUCCUACUCAAAUCAUUUCUUAUUUUCCAUGAGGACAAGCAUAUUCGUGUACCCAAUACCAUACAUGGAUAUAUAAUGGUAGGAGUAUCACACACGUAAAUUUAGUUAUGUUAAAGCAUUCAAAAUUGUCCAAACAAUUAGCACAUUAAGAACUGUUGAGUACCUAAUUUUAGAUAUUAUAUGGAAAUGCUAAAUCAACCAAGGUCAAAGUAUCCUACAUGUUUAUACCUGUGUAUAUCAAAAUCGGGGUGACCAAGUCGUCCUCCUCUUCCAAAUCCCCAAGUGUAGACUUCUCCUCGAGAAGUGACUGCCACGCUAUGGAACUUAGCAGCAGAAACCAAUUUGAUUAAAGAACCACGAAGAACAUCAACCUUGCAUGGUAACUUUUGUAUGUGCGCAUUUCCAGUUCCAAGUUGAUAGUUUGUACCACUUCCCCAACUAUAAACCUCUGUAGUAACUGAAGACAACAAAAGGAAUCAGCUCAUCUCUAAGCACAAGUAAUAACAGUCUGAAAAAACAUAAGAUCCUCAGAAACCUUGGCAAAACACAGCGGUAGAUACCAGAAUUAUCUCCAUUUUGAAGAGCUUGCAUGACAGGCCCAGAUAGGAGAUCGAUAGGUGUUCGAAAUUUAGAAUCUUCUAGUGUGAUAGAAGCACCAGACUGGAGAAGUAUACUUGCCACUGCAAGAUGACCAAAAUGCAGAGCUCUGUGAAGGCUACUCCAUCCAGAUUCCCCAUCCUGCAAUAAAUGAUAUGAAUGGCCAUGCAAAUCAUAAAAACCAGUUUCCACAUUAAAUGAAAAGUAUAAAUGAACCCCAACCAAAACACAAAAGUAUCACAAAAAAUAUCAGUUCAUUCUGUUAUAUAAAUGAAUCAUACUUUCCUGAUCAAAGUGUUUGGGAUAAUUGGAAGUUAUAGCCUUCACCACAACAUAGAAGAUAAAAAAAUUAAAAAAAAAAACAUAGAAAUUCACAAACUUGUCACAUGCCUUGCAGAUGAGGCCUAUUUGUAAAAAUUAAUGGCUAAUAUUUUUGAAUUGUAGUUAUCUAAAAGUUGAGUAUUUACUUCUUUGCCUUUUUUACAUUGUAAAAACUUACAAACAACAACCAGUCUUAUCUCACUAAGUGGGGUCAGCUGUAUCUAGGACACCAUUGCGCUUGGUUUUGCACCAAGUCUUCCGUUAGCUCCAAGUACUCCAUGUCUUUUUAUAAAGUCUCUUUCCAAGUCCGUUUAGAUUAGCAAUUUACUUGAUUAUAUCAUGGUAGUUAGAUUAUAUCCUUGGCCUCAGUUGCUUUAUUUCUCUAAUAAUUUGUUAUUUCCUAUAAAAUUUCCUUAACUGCAGGUCUGAUUAACUGAAUUGUACGGAAGUUACAAAGUACAGCGACUCAAAAACACAAUUGGCAAUAAGAACUUUAAUAUAAUAUAGCAAUAACAUUACAACUGAAUUGUAUGGAAGUUUAUCGCUGAUAGUUACUUUAACAACAACUUCAGUCCUAAAUUUCAGGAAAGGUCGCUAAAUUUCAACUUUUACAGGUGCAUGAGUGAAGUAAUGAUAAAUAAAUAAAUAAAUAAUAAUCAUAUAAAACAAACAGCUUAAUAACCACUAGCAACAACAUAAAAGCAUUCAUGUCACUAAAAGAUUGGUAAAGCAACAAACCCUAGCAUCAGGGUCAGCACCAGCAGCAAGAAGCGUCCUGACAAUGGGAAGGUGAUUUCUCCAUGUUGCAAUAUGAAGAGGAGUGAGACCAAAAAUAUUUCUUGAAUUUAUAUCACCACCACUCUUCUUCAGUAAACCUAGUGCUGAAUCCACAUCAGCCAAUGAUCCUUCUCGCACAACAAUGCACAGAUCUUUCUGGGUUCCAGUUGACAGAAAUUUGCGAGCAGGCUUUUGUCCUUGAGGCGAGGCUUCCAUUAGUCUAAAAAGCAAGGCUGAAUGCCACUACGUAACGACUAAUAUGUUGUCACUGCCAGUUAAUGACCAACCAACCAUGGAGGUGUUGAGGUUGGUGUCGUCUAAUCCAUGUUCCAGUUGAUUUCCAAUCUAAUAUCUAGAAAUCCAAGUAGCUAAAUCAUCAUCAACGUCCUUGUGCUGAACACAAUCCCCUCACGGGACCCAAUCUCCGCUCCUCCGACAAACAGAGAUAUUCAAUAGACAAGAGACUGUAUUUGCAGUUACUCUGACAGUACAAUAUACCCUUCACGCCGACCAACUGAAACAAAUUUAAAACAACAUUAACAACUAAACCAAUUGCACGGAUUGCCAAAAGGGUUUUUUUAUCUGUCAUACAGCUACACCCUGAAUGACUGCCAAUUCGAUCUUAAAAAAUGCUAGAAACAAAAGUAAAAUUCUACCCCGCGGUAUGUAGAUUCUUUUUUUUCACAGAUUGGCAAUUAAUGGUAAGAUCACUGUAUCAGCGCUUACAUGAACCACAUUGCUCAUCUACUUUCAGUAUAAAAUAUAAUCCAUCUAUACAAGAUUUGUUCUUUCUAUGAAAUGAAAUCUCAGACAAAAAAAACUGAGACCUACUUCUCAUCAGUUGGCUAAUAGUCCAAUGACAAACCGAAAGAUAUGAUUUUCGAACAAAUCCCCGAAUCACCCAAUCGACUCAAAACGCAAACUUUAACACAAAAUUGACUCCCCCAAAUGUACGGAUCAAGUUAUAAUUUUCAAAACCCGCAUAAAAGUUCAAAUAAAAGAAAAAUCACAUGAAUUUGAAGAGUGCCAAUCAAACCAAAUCAUGCCCACCACCAGAAAAAGGAUUUCAUAUAAGAAAAUGAGCACGAAACUAACACUACUAGAAUGGCAAGAACAGAAACGUGAACCCAAUACACACCGAGAUACCAGAAAACAAUCAAUACCCAUUUUCCAGAAACUACAAUAAAUCACAAGAACAGAGAUAAUAAGCUCGGAAAUUAACUGACCAACUCAACUGGAUCGCAUCAAAAUUCCAAAAUAAAUCGUUAAAAUUUACCCAAGAAAAUAAUAAUACGAAAAUAAAUCACCUGUUUUCCUCUGGAGGGAGAGAGAGAGAGAGAGAGAGAGAGAGAGAGAGAGAGAGAAUUUAAAGGAGCUGUUACCGUGUUGCUGUUGCGUUCUGUUCUGUGAAUCGAAACGGAGAAUAUCCUGAAAGGCAUAAACGCAUCAACGCUUCAGACAGAGAGGAGAGAACCGAAUCUUUAAACUGGAAGGGCAUUUUGGGAAUUAGAAUAGUUGGGUGAAGAAAAAUGUGGUUGUACUUUAGAGUUGACGGAGAUGGCGUUGGCGUGCGCGCGCGCGCGCGAGAGGUGGGCGGUCUGAUCAGCUCUAUUCGGUUCGGUGAAGUCUCUCUCCCCGUUUGACACGGGCUUGCUCUUUAAGCCUUACGUGUUCCCUUUUCAUUUUUUGGUAAAUCUCAAGGUGAUAUUAGUGAGAGAAUAUUUACUGUAUUCGCAUCCAGAAGUACAUCAUAUAUCAUUAUUAUAUAUGUAGAAAAAAAAAUUUUAUUUCUCAAAUGUUUUUUACUUGUAUAAUAACAUAAGAUAUUAAAAUUUGUCAUCUUGUGUUUUAAGCACAUUGCAAAAUUGAUCCUGAAAUCUUCCACUCACGAUUGUUAUUAAUUGAUUUCUCGUGACUUGUACUUAACCGGAAAAAAUAUUUUUGCAUUUCAGAUGAUACAUUUUUUUAACUAAUUUUUUUUAAAUAAUGAAGUGAUACACGCAUAGUAAAACAUGAGUUUGGGUGGUAAAUUAUCAAAAAAUUAUUGGGUGGUAAAUUAUCAAAAUUUUACUACUUUGGACUUCAGAAGGGCGUUUGUGCAACUCUGGCAAAUAAUUUCGAGCCCCUACGACGUCGUACAGAAUAAUAAAAUACGUAGGGUUUCAGAAUUUGCGUGAAAUACGGGUGAAAAAGUUCCCAAAUUUCAAGACUUUUCACUCCAUUUCAGCCUAUAAAUCCCUGAACCUCCCAUAAACCCCACAGUUCCGCCGGAGCUCAUAGCGUCGCAACUCUACUUCCGACCAUCAGAGAAACCCAGCAACUCUCCUUCACCCAAUAGAAAUUCAUUCUGAUUCCCAGAAAAUCAAUAUCAAAUUGCGGGAAGGAAGUGGCACGCCAGGUCCCAUGGACUCGGAAAACUCAUCCGCCGUUAAGGUACUCUCUCUCUCUCUCUCUCUCUCACUUUCUCUCAUUCGCACACUAGGGUUUUGUUUGUCAAGUUCUUAGCUUUAUUGGUUUUUUGCUUGAAUUUUGAUUAAGCUUUAGUGUGUUUGAUUUUGCUCAGAAGAAUGAGGGGAGAGAAGAUGAGGAGCUUACUAACUUAAUGAAGAAACUACGAUUUGAGGAAUCAUCAUCCGGUUCAGGGCAGGCAUCAGUGUCUAACUUCAAGAGAAAACCGGUUAUUGUAAUCGUUGUCGGCAUGGCAGCUAACUUCUGUUUGGAUCAAAACUUAAACUUUGGGCCGGGGGAAGUUGGCCCAAAAAGCAACCUAAAAGGGAGAGGAAAUUGAAGGCCCAGUCAAAAACCCACCCAAAGUCCAGAAAGCGGGAUAGGCUUUUUCCCGACUAGGUGCAGGCCAUGUAGACCACUUGCUCACCUAUCCAAAGGCCAAGUGGUCUAGACCAACCAGCUAAUCAGCCCAAAAAGUACUUUUAAAUGAGAGUGCAAGUAAAUAGCUGAUGAGUCACUACCCUUCAAACUGCAUUCGGGCAAGGUUGCUGCUACAUGAGGCCAAGCUAAGAUGUCUAUAAAAGGAGAAAGAGAAGUCAGAAUCAAGGACACUCAAACAAACAAAUACAAGCACAAACUCUGCUCAAAGCCAGAUUUGCCUUCAAAACGAAGCUGUAGUCAGCCCAAGCCUUCAUCCCUUUCGGGGUAACCCUUUUUUGUAAUAGCUCUGCUACCCUGCUCAACUCUUGCUGUAGUAUCGAUAUCUUUUCUGAAAACUCACCUCCCAGUCUUUUUUUCUAAGCUUUCAAACCUCUUGCAAGACGAUUAGCCUUGUCCGACAAGGUUAAACCUUGCCCGACCCUUUUUGUUUUUGUCUUUUUAUUCAUUAGCCUAGCAAUAUGUUAUAUAAUACAAAUUGUACCCAAGUUAUUUCUAGUAAUAUGGCUAUUAAAAGGUUCUCUCAGUGCUUGAAUCUGAUUUGAACAUGUUUCCACUGUUCAAGUUAGAUCUAAGUUCUAGUUCUAAGCCCUCGGGCAUAUAAGAUUUGAUCACCCUAAAAGUCCUUGGCCUCAAGGCAUGAAAAAGAACCUGAUGUGGACUUAACCCAUCCACUACAAGUUUUGAUAACAAGAAGUCCGAAGUUACUUGGGGCGCAAGUAAUCGACCUGUCACUUAGUUUUAUUUCUGUUAUAUCAUGAUUACCAUGUAACGUUCGGGGACGGGAUGAAUUCUGAUGGGAAGCAUCAAGGCCUAUACUUAAGGCCCCACAAAGGCACCUAUUUGGAUUCAUCCUAUUUCUCGGGCAAGAACAUUGAAUAUAGAAGGGGUUCUGAUGGGAAGCCUUAAGGCCUAUACCUAAGGCCCCACAAAGGCACCUAUUUGGAUUCAUUCUGUUCUUUACGUUCAGGUAAUCAGAAGUAUGAUGGUUAUAAGAUCCAUAUAACCAAGAAAAGGAACCUUAUGUGUUCGAGCACUGUUUAGUUAUUGAUUGUGAAGCCUUAAGGCCUAUACCUAAGGCCCCACAAAGGCACCUGUCAAUAACUAAACAUAGUCUCUCGAACAUAUAAUUAAACUCAAACAUCCGUUCUACAUCGGUCAUGUUGAAGAUGGCAGUGGCACGCCUGAGCACGUAAAGGUUAAUCUUGAUUGUGAAGCCUCAAGGCCUACACCUAAGGCCUCACAAAGGCACAUUUCAAAGUUAACUCUGUCCUUCUCUUUCAGACUUGCCCGACAAGCCUUGCUCGACAACCCCGCCAGUAAAGCAGGAGCCCGACAGAAACCAUCAACCGGCGCCAACCUCUCGGGGAGCUGUGUGCUCGUCGGACAGGAAGCAUCCCCCACGGAAAUUCCAACCACGAACAUAGUUUUGGCACGGCCGAUGGGAUUUUGCUGAUCAAAGCAAUAUGUCAAAAGGAUCAGAAGAUUUCCAAACUGCUUUAUUGCACAUGCUGCAAAGAUUGGAGAACACCUCUGCAGGCUCCAGAAAAGAAGAUGAUCCGGUUCUAAAACCACCUAUUCUUAUGUCUUUACCUCAUCUUGGGGAGAAAAGUGAUAGGGAAAAUAGGGGGCUUAAAACCAAUCAACUAGAAGAAGCUGCGGUGACGGAUAAACAUACGGAUCCCUUCUCAGAAGCCCCUAUCAAUAUGAUCAGUAUGGCCUGGGCAGAGAAGGGAAACGAGAAGGUCACAAGAGAGGAAGAAAGAAGACUGAUUGACAAACCCAUAAAAAUGGUGGUUAACUUGCCCGAAUAUCCAAAAGCCGCCAUAUUCAAAGGAAGGGUGAUGUGCAGUAAGUGCCAAUGCGAGUGUGAGCUCGAAAUACCACCCACAUGAGCCUUCAUAGACCAUGAACUGAUCAGAAGGAAUGAAGAGCAAAAGAGAAAAGAGGCACAAGAGAAGGCUCGGCGAACUACAGGAAGGGAUACCUCCCGAAGUGUCUUUCAGCGGCUAGGAGGUGAUUCCCAACCAAGGGCUUUAUCAGAAAUCUUUCGUAACCAUGAGGUUUCUGAAGAAGCAGAGGAUAAAGAUGCUAAGAAGCCAAAAGAAAGAAGUGUAGGGCAUUCUCAGUACGACCAUAUGGGAAGAGAAGUCAAGAGGAAUGACAGGAUAACAAACCCUGUCACAAAGGAUAAUCCUGCCCGCCUCGGACGAAAAUGGUAUGUGGUCGGAAAGAAUGGACAGCCCGUUAAGCAAAUGGGGGCUUGCAUGGUCAGAAGGGUUCAGAGGCAACAUAAAGCUUACAUGAAUUCCUUGAAAGCCCCAGCGACGUCAGAAGCCUCUAAAAAUCAAAAGUUAGAGAAAACGUCAUCUGGAGAGAGCAGUCAGCUCCACUGGAGAAGUAAGAAGGAGGUGGAAAGGGCUAACAUCAAGAUUGAGGGCGAAGGAAAUCAUGUGCCACCAAACCUGCACCCUGGGAAAUAUAGAAUCUUGAGGAGAGCUCAAGAAGAUAUGGUUAUGGUGCCAACUCCUGGCUGGAAGGCAGAACAACCUAUUUUCUUUGGAACUGUCUCCCCUGAGAAAAAACAACCUUCUCCAUCAUUAGGGAAUCCCUUCGGGGAAGUUCCAAAACAAACACCAUGCCCAUGUGUGAAUCAACUCGUGGGGGCACCAGAACCAUUGCUUCCACCAGAUGCUAUGGCAUGAUUGGAUGAGUUCAUGGACCAGAUUGGGAGCAAAAAGAGGAAUUGCUAGAGCCUAGCAACUUUCAUAUAAACAUGGCAUAUGUGCUACCUGCUAUGUUUGUUGCCCAACCUGAUCAGCCCGUCGCCAUGGAAGGAGAUUAUGUAGCAACUGAGCCAAUGAUGGCUCAUGUUAAUAUAGAGGAAGCAGAGGAAUGAGAGUCGGGAAAAGCUGCAUCAUCUGAAGCAUCUAAAGAGGGUCCUUUAAGGAUCUACACAGACAAAAUGGUGUUCAGCAGCCCGACCAUUUCACUUGCCAAUCAUCUGAAACCCAUAUAUGUAACAACUCAUCUGGAGAGGGUGCCCUUCAGAAGGAUUUUGAUUGAUGGAGGGGCAGCUGUUAAUGUAUUACCAGCUAAGCAGAUGAAAAAAUUGGGGAGAGGCACAGAGGAUCUUAUUCCUACAGACCUCACAGUUUCUGGUUUCUCGGGCGCUAUCACCAAGACUCUUGGGAUAUUGCCUUUGGAAGUAGAUCUGGGGUCUAAACAGAUUAUGCUGGCGUUCUUUGUGGUGGACUGCACCUCCACCUAUGGAGCCUUACUUGGAAGGGAUUAGAUCCACCAAAGUCUUGCUGUACCCUCUACCCUACAUCAACAAGUGGCUGUGUAUCAUGAAGCAAGCGCAGAAGAGCCAGGCUUUUGGGAGAUAGUAGAGGCCGAGUCACAGCCAUUUCUUCUCACAGCCAAUAUAGCGGAAGCAAGUUUCUACAAUCCCAACGUAGGAAUCUUGAAGUGUUUGGGAGCAGAUGAGAACGGCCGCCCUACCAAGGUGACGGCCCAAAAGCUUCUAGAAUAAGGGAUGCUCUUUACUAGAGAAGAGUGGGAUAGACCUUUUAUCAUCCCAACACCCCUACACCAUCAAUGAUAGAACAAAAAAGGAAAGAUCAGGUAAUGGCAGUCAGAUCCCUGAUUAAAUGACUGUUGGUGUAUGGGAAAGAAAGAAGACAAGAAAAGGAGCUCUUAGACAGAGAAGAGCAGGAAUGGCAGGUAGGAGCUUCAACCAGCCAUGAUCAAAGCAGCGAGGAAUCUUGUCAAUAAGAAUUGGAAAGGGCCAUUCAAAUGGCCGAGUGUAUAAAUGACCUAGAUGAGCCAGACGACUUGCCCGAGAGCCCAGAGCUAGUCGAAUUUUUGUGUGCAGAACCUGAUAAGCCACCACUAGAGGUCCAAGAUCCUUUGGAAGUUAUUGAGCUAGGAACAAAGGAGGACCCAAGACCAAUACAAAUCAGUGGUUUAUUGAAGCAAGAAGAUCGGGCACAAAUUAUUUAUCUCUUGCAAGAAUUCAGAGAUUGUUUUGCUUGGCAUUACACUGAGAUGUCGGGUUUAGAUGCAACUUUGGUGGAACACAGAAUGCCCAUCAAGGAAGGAUAUAAGCCGGUUAAGCAAGCACCACGAAGGAUGUCGAAGGAGAUAGAAGAGAAGGUCAAAGAAGAGAUUGAAAGGCUCGUAAAAGCCGGAUUUAUCAGGCCAGCCAAAUAUGUAGAGUGGUUAGCUAAUAUUGUACCCGUUUUAAAAGCUGUAACAAAAGCAGUACGAUGUUGUGUUGAUUACAGAAAUAUUAAUGGCGCUACACCUAAAGAUGAAUAUCCUAUGCCUAUGGCAGAUCUGUCCAUAGAUGCAGUAGCAAAACACAAAGUCUUAUCUUUUAUGGAUGGAAAUGCCGGGUAUAAUCAGAUAAAGAUGGCCUCGGAAGAUAUACAUAAAACAGCUUUUAGGUGCCCUGGGCAUGUGGGGGCAUAUGAAUAUCUGGUCAUGCCCUUCGGGCUCAAGAAUGCUGGUGCAACCUACCAAAGGGUGAUGAAUGCCAUCUUUCAUGAUCUAAUUGGCCAGAAUAUGGAGGUGUAUAUUGAUGACAUCGUGGUGAAAUCUAAGACGGAAGAACAACAUCUGAUAGACCUCAGGCAGGCACUAACAAGAAUGAGGGUCCACAAAUUGAAGAUGAAUCCAAAGAAGUGUGCGUUUGGAGUAAGAGCGAGCAAUUUCUUGGGAUUCCUGGUUCAUCAACGAGGGGUAGAAGUGGACAAGAAUAAAGCUCGGGCAAUAAUGGAGUCACCUUCACCUACCAACAAAGUGCAACUUCAGAGGCUGUUGGGAAAAAUUAAUUUCUUAAGAAGAUUCAUUGCCAACCUGGCGGGCAAGAUUCAGCCGCUGACUCCUUUAUUAAGACUGAAGGAUAAAGAGAAUUUCGAGUGGGGACCACCGCAUCAAGAGGCUUUUGAUGGUAUCAAAGCUUAUUUGACUUCUCCUCAAUUAUUGGUACCACCUCAGAGGGGAAAACUCUUAAAGCUAUAUAUCUCCGCUUCAGAUAAAUCAAUUGGGAGUUUGCUAGCUCAGAACAAUGAAGGCGGGAAAGAGUAGGCAGUGUACAACCUCAGUAGAAUUCUGACCAAGGUAGAAACAAGAUAUUCCCCAGUAGAGAAAUUAUGCUUAGCUCUGUAUUUUACUGCCAAUAAGCUGAGGCAUUACAUGUUACCUUGUCACGUGCACAUCAUCGCCAAGACAGAUGUGAUAAAGUACAUGCUGUCAAAGCCAAUGUUAAUAGGGAGGAUUGGGAAAUGGAUUCUAGCAUUAUCAGAAUUCAACUUCCAGUAUGUUCCCCAAAGGGCAGUAAAAGGCCAAACAAUUGCUGACUUCUUGGCGGAGCAUCAAGAAUCUCGAGAUGAGAUAAUCAAUAUACCAGGAACCGUGGAAGUUACUAAUGUUUGGAUCCCGCCAGGUAAAGGGAUAUCGGGCAAAGAAGAGUGGAUCCAGCAGGAGAUAAGAAUAGUGGCUGGUUUGUGGAUUACUCAUUGGAAGCUGUAUUUUGAUGGUUCUUAUACUCAUAAGGCUUCAGGAGCUGGGGUUGUGAUUAUCAAUCAUCAGGGGAUUUAUCAUUAUUACUCAUUUCUUUUGGAUUAUCAAGGGAAUACCAACAAUCGGGCAGAGUACGAGGCCUUAAUAAUUGGUUUGGAAAUCUUGAUGGAUCUGGGGGCAAUGGAAGUUGAGGUGUUUGGUGAUUCAGAAUUGGUAAUAAACCAGCUAAAUGGGGAGUUCAAUUGCAGACAUAUCACCAUGGCCGGAUAUUAUUUGGCGGCUACGCAAUUGCUGAGUUAUUGGGAUUCUGAGAUAUCGGUGAGUCAUGUUCCCCGGGGAGCCAACUUAGCAGCCAAUGAGAUGGCGCAAUUAGCCUCAGGCAUGCCAGUACAGGAGAGAAGAUAUGGGUUAGAUGUCGAGAUUCAAAGGAGAAAUCUUCCUUCUAUCCUGGAAAGGGGAUUCAGCCUGGAUAUAAUGGUUCAGGAGACUGAGAAAGAAGAUUGGAGAUCGCCCAUCACCCUUCAUUUGAAAGAUCCCUCUUCACCUACCAGCAAGAAGAACCGACAUCAAGCAACUAAGUAUGUCUUAUGGGCGAAAGACUUACUAAGGAAAACUCCAGACGGGUUAUUACUGAAAUGCCUAGGCCAAGAAGAAUCUAUGCGAGUAAUGGCCGAAGUACAUGAAGGAGUAUGUGGAGCACAUCAGGCGAGGACAAAGAUGAGGUGGUUGCUUAGGCGAUAUGGUUAUUUUUAGCCCAACAUGGAAAAGGAUUGCAAGUCUUAUGCCUGAGGGUGUGAGGAAUGUCAAAGGCACGGUCCUCUCCAACAUGUACCCUCUGUACAUUUGAAUCCAAUAGUCAAGCCAUGGCCUUUCCGAUGAUGGGCGAUGGACUUCAUCGGGCAGAUAUAUCCAGCUUCUAGUAAGGGGCACACUUUCAUAAUUGUGGCAACGGAUUACUUCACCAAAUGGGUGGAAGCGACGGUAAAAUCCAUAACCUCAGCCACAAUUAAGAAUUUCAUUGAGACCAAGAUUCUGCAUAGAUUUGGGGUGCCCGAAACUAUUGUGACUGAUUGAGGGCCAUCUUUUAUCUCAAAAGAAGUUGAAGAAUUUGCAAGCAAAUACAAAAUAAAGAUGAUCCAGUCCAGUCCUUACUACCCGCAGUAAAAUGGCCAGGCAGAAUCCAGCAACAAGAUUUUGGUAAACAUUAUUAAAAGAAUGGUGAUUGAGAGUCCGAAAAAGUGGCAUGAAAAGCUGGGAAACACUUUGUGGGCAUACAAAACUUCCAGGAGGGCAGGAACAGGCACAACUCCUUAUGCUUUAACAUUCGGGCAAGAUGCAGUGCUUCCCAUGGAAAUCAACGUAAGUUCUAUCAGAAUUCAAAAUCAGUUUGGGUUACACAGCGAGGAAUAUAUCGAAGCCAUGUGUCAAGGAAUUGAAGACCUAGAUGUAGCCCGACUUGAAGCCUUGAAUCAGAUUCAAGAAGGAAAGAAAGUUGUUGCCCGAGCUUAUAACAAGAAGGUGAAGGUGAAGUCUUUUAAGGAGAGGGAUUUAGUAUGGAAGACAAUCCUCUCUCUAGGAGCUCAGCUUAGGGGCUUUGGAAAGUGGAGUUCGACAUGGGAAGGUCCUUUCAUAAUUAGUCAAGUAUUAAACAAAGGGGGGUAUUACCUGGCGGAUCUCGAAGGAAAGGGGCAGAAACAUCCCACUAAUGUUAAAUUCUUGAAAAAAUAUUGUCCUACAUGGGAUGUUAGAGAUUGUUAUAUUGAAGAUGAUGCAAGGUAAAACAAAUGUUGGAAUAUCAAGGUGCAGUAUAUGAUCACCAACCAUUCAAAAGAAAACAGAAAAACAAAAAGUUGCUAAGACAAUGUUUAUUUCAUUUCGACAAAUUGGUGAUAUUUGCAAACAGAUCCAAGUCCUAAGUACUACAUUCGAUUCCUUCUGGAUACAAUGUUAUUUUCAGCUGGUUUUCCGAUGUCUUCCUAGAUAGGACCCGAUCAGGUGAUCGGGUUGUGCGGCCAAGACGUGCCUGGUAGAGGAUCAUCAGACAGAGUCACCACCACAUGAUGGUGAAGCCUGAUUUAUCACGGCGACGAGCGGGAAGGCAAGUCAUCGUGAGGAAACCGUCUGACCAAGGGUGUUGGAUAUAGCGGGGUGAUCGACCAAAGGUGUUGGAGAUAAUAGUUAUCUGAUGAGAACUCUUUUUCUCACGAAAAGGGAGUUUUAAGAAACCCCACUUAAACUCUGAAGAACUCAUUUUCACAGUUUUUGGAAGAAAACUAAGGAAGUAAAAACAUUGGGAGCGGGUAAAAGAUAAGGUCGAGGAUGAUUUGUGGGGAAAACCAGAAUUUAUAGGAAUGUCAGAAGGUAGUUCAAAGGUUGUGGGAAGAUCAAAAGACUCCGGAUGGCGUUAAUCUCAAUAAGAAAAUACAAGUUCCAAGAGUAAGGGCGCAGACGCAUGCAGCUAUUCAAUUAAUAUUGGCGCCUGAAAUUCCUGGCUAAAUAUCAAUUGAAGGGGGCACAGUUUGGAUCAAAACUUCAACUUUGGGCCCGGGGGAAGUUGGCCCAAAAAGUAGCCUAAAAGGGAGAGGAAAUUGAAGGCCCAGUCAAAAACCCACCCGAAGUCCAGAAAGCAGGAGAGGCUUUUUCCCGACUAGGUGCAGGCCAUGUAGACCACUUGCUCACCUACCCAAAGGCUAAGUGGUAUAGACCAGCCAGCUAAUCAGCCCAAAAAGUACUUUUAAAUGGCAGUACAAGUAAAUAGUUGAUGAGUCACUACCCUUCAAACUGCAUUCGGGCAAGGUUGCUGCUACAGGAGGCCAAGCUAAGAUGUCUAUAAAAGGAGAAAAAGAGGUCAGAAUCAAGGACACUCAAACAAACAAAUACAAGCACAAACUCUGCUCAAAGCCAGAUUUGUCUUCAAAACGAAGCUGUAGUCAGCCCAAGCCUUCAUCCCUUUCGGGGUAACCUUUUUUUGUAAUAGCUCUGCUACCCUGCUCAACUCUUGCUGUAGUAUCGAUCUCUUUUCUGAAAACUCACAUCCCAGUCCUUUUUCUAAGCUUUCAAACCUCUUACAAGACGAUCAGCCUUGCCCGACAAGGUUAAACCUUGCCCGACCCUCUUUGUUUUUGUCUUUUUAUUCAUUAGCCUAGCAAUAUGUUAUAUACUACAAAUUGUACCCAUCCACUACAAGCUUUGAUAACAAGAAGUCCGAAGUUACUUGGGGCGCAAGUAAUCGACAUGUCACUUAGUUUUAUUUCUGUUAUAUCAUGAUUACCAUAUCACGUUCGGGGACGGGAUGAAUUCUGAUGGGAAGCCUCAAGGCCUAUACCUAAGGCCCCACAAAGGCACCUAUUUGGAUUCAUCCUUUUUCUCGGGCAAGAACAUUGAAUAUAGAAGGGAUUCUGAUGGGAAGCCUCAAGGCCUAUACCUAAGGCCCCACAAAGGCACCUAUUUGGAUUCAUUCUGUUCUUUACGUUCAGGUAAUCAGAAGUAUGAUGGUUAUAAGACCUAUAUAACCAAGAAAAUGAACCUUAUGUGUUCGAGCACUGUUUAGUUAUUGAUUGUGAAGCCUCAAGGCCUAUACCUAAGGCCCCACAAAGGCACCUGUCAAUAACUAAACAUAGUCUCUCGAACAUAUAAUUAAACUCAAACAUCCGUUCUACAUCUGUCAUGCUGAAGAUGGCAGUGGCACGCCUGAGCACUUAAAGGUUAAUCUUGAUUGUGAAGCCUCAAGGCCUACACCUAAGGCCUCACAAAUGCACCUUUCAAAGUUAACUCUGUCCUUUUCUUCAGACUUGCCCGACAAGCCCGCCAGUAAAGCAGGAGCCCGACAGAAACCAUCAACCGGCGCCAACCUCUCGGGGAGCUGUGUGCUCGUCGGACAGGAAGCAUCCCCCACGGAAAUUCCAACCACGAACAACUUCAUUGAAUUAGGUUGUUUUACUUGAUUCAUUUUGGUUCCUAGUUUGGUGAAUAAUUGUGUUAUUAUGUGACUACUCGAUUAAGCGAUUGAAAUGUGUUGUGGGUUUUGAUUAGGGAGUGGUAAGACAACCUUUAUGCAUCGGUUGGUUUCGCACACACAUGAAUCCAACAUUCGUGGAUACGUGAUGAAUCUCGACCCAGCUGUGAUGACUCUCCCGUUUGGUGCGAACAUUGACAUACGGGAUACUGUUCGGUACAAGGAGGUGAUGAAACAGUUCAAUCUUGGACCAAAUGGUGGGAUUUUGACUUCACUCAACUUGUUUGCUACCAAGUUUGAUGAGGUACUUGCUUCUUAAUCUUUGCCUCAAGUCAUUUUGUUCACUUGAGCGUUUGGAACGCACCGUAAAUGGGAUAUGGCGUCCUUUUUUUUACUAUCAACUCAUCUUCAUAAGCAUUUGGAAGAGUUUUGUAUCACAUGCAUAGUACGUCAGAUUGUAAUUUUGGUGAUUUCAUUCAAUAACUUUGUAUAAUGUAUUGCAUCGUUGGGCUGAGUACUGGUUCUACUUGUUCAAUUUGUUUCCAAACGUCGAAUCCUUAUGAAAAUGAAUCCAGAACAAAAUCGCGCUAAAGCUAGGGCGUCACCCGUAAGUGGCGCGCUGUGUGGCCUGAGCACAGUGAUAAGUGAGCAAGGGUCGCUGCAUCUCCAUCGGCACCCGGAUGCAGUGUUAAAUGAGCAAGGGGGCCAUAGAAACUUCUUUUCGAACGACUCCACUCAAAGUUGUUUGGGAGCAUAUGCUCCUAUCAAUUUUACCCGGGACACACAAAAGAAGUACUUUGAUCCUAUUAGACGGGGGAGGGUGAAGAAGCUAGGACAGAAGGGUAGAGUUCAAGAGAGCAAAAUGCGUUUAGGAACGUGGAAUAUAGGAACCUUAACGGGAAAAUCUAUGGAAAUAGUGGAAGUUAUGGUGAGGAGAAGGAUAAAUAUUAUGUGCCUACAAGAAACUAAGUGGGUUGGUAGUAAGGCAAAGGAUCUAGAAAACUCAGGGUUUAAACUUUGGUAUUCGGGCACAAAUAGAACGAGAAACGGUGUUGGCAUCAUCGUGGACAAGACCUUGGUACAAGAUGUUGUAGAUGUCAAGAGGGUAGGAGAUAGAAUCAUGGCAAUCAAGAUUGUAAUAGGACAAGAACUUAUCAAUGUGAUUAGUGCGUACGCACCUCAAGUAGGGUUGGAUACGAGUUCGAAGGAGAAAUUUUGGGAAGAUCUUGGAGACUUGGUGCAAGGAAUUGCUCAGACGGAGAAGUUAUUUAUAGGAGGAGAUUUAAAUGGACACGUGGGCAGGGAGACAGGCAACUAUGGAGGUUUUCAUGGUGGCCAUGGUUUUGGGGAGAGAAACGAGGAUGGGGAAGCUAUCUUGGAUUUUGCAAUGGCAUAUGAUCUCUUCUUAGCCAACACCUUCUUUAAGAAGAGAGAAGAACAUGUGAUCACCUACAAGAGUGGGUCGUCAAAAACACAAAUAGAUUUUCUUCUAAUGAGGAAAGGGGAUCGUAUAACUUGUAAAGGAUUGCAAAGUUAUACCAGGAGAGAGCGUGGCUAAUCAACAUCGCUUGUUGGUGAUGGAUGUACAUAUCAAAAGAGUAAGACAAAAGAACAAGACUUGGAAGUGCCCAAGGACUAGAUGGUGGAAUCUAAAAGAAGAAAAACAAGUCAUUUUCAAAGAGAGAAGGUAAUCACCCAAUGUGUGUGGGAUAGAGAGGGGGAAGCUAGCCAAAUGUGGGAUUCCAUGGCUAGUUGUAUCCGAAAAGUAGCAAAAGAGGUAUUAGGAGAGUCCAAGGGCUUUGCCCCACACCAAAAGGAAUCUUGGUGGUGGAAUGAGGAGGUACAAACAAAGGUGAAGGCUAAGAAGGAAUGUUGUAAAGCCUUAUACAAGGAGAGGACCGAUGAAAAUGGUGAAAAGGUAUAGAAAAGCGAAGCAAGAGGCGAAAAAAAGCUGUCAGAGAAGCUAAGUUAGCGGCUUACGACGAUAUGUAUAAACGACUAGAUACCAAAGAAGGAGAGUUGGAUAUCUAUAAACUAUCUAGAGCAAGGGAAAAGAAGACAAGGGACCUAAACCAAGUGAGGUGCAUCAAGGAUGAGGAUGGAAAGGUUCUUGCUACAGAGAACGCGGUUAAAGACAGAUGGAGAGGUUAUUUUCAUAAUCUUUUCAAUGAAGGACAUGAAAUGAGUGCUUCUUUAGGGGAGUUGAGUAACUCAGAAGAGUGUAGAAACUACUCUUUUUAUCGUCGAAUCCGGAAGGAAGAAGUGGUUGUAGCUUUGAAGAAGAUGAAGCAUAAAAAAGCAAUAGGCCCAGACGAUAUACCAAUCGAAGUGUGGAAACUUUUGGGAGAGACAGGUAUAACAUGGCUCACUGACCUUUUCAAUAGGAUUUUGAAAACGAAGAAGAUGCCAAAUGAGUGGCGAACGAGCACUUUGGUGCCUAUCUACAAGAAUAAGGGCGACGUACAAAAUUGCAUGAACUAUAGGGGUAUUAAGCUAAUGAGUCAUACAAUGAAGCUCUGGGAGAGAGUCAUUGAGCAUAGAUUGAGGCAAGAGACACGGGUUUCGGACAACCAAUUCGGGUUCAUGCCAGGGCGCUCAACCAUGGAGGCAAUCUAUCUCUUACGAAGAUUGAUGGAAAGAUAUAGAGAUGGGAAAAAGGAUUUACACAUGGUCUUUAUAGAUUUGGAAAAAGCGUAUGAUAGGGUCCCAAGAGACAUUCUUUGGAGGAUUUUAGAGAAGAAAGGAGUACGAGUAGCAUAUAUCCAAGCUAUAAAGGAUAUGUAUGAAGGAGCAAAGACUGCCGUAAGAACUCAUGAAGGACAAACCGAAAGCUUUCCCAUAACUGUAGGAUUACAUCAAGGCUCAUCCUUAAGUCCUUACCUUUUUGCGUUGGUAAUGGAUGAGUUAACAGGACAUAUUCAAGAUGAUAUUCCUUGGUGUAUGCUUUCGCAGACGAUAUAGUGUUGAUAGAUGAAACUCAGGAAGGGGUAAAUGCAAAGCUUAACCUUUGGAGAGAAGUGUUGGAAUCUAAAGGUCUUCGCCUAAGCCGAUCAAAGACAGAAUAUAUGGAGUGCAAGUUCAGUGCAAAUGGAGGCCAAAACGAGUUAGGGGUGAGGAUCGGAGAUCAAGAAAUACCAAAGAGCGACCGUUUUCGUUACCUAGGAUCUAUCUUGCAAAAGAACGGAGAAUUAGAUGGAGAUCUCAACCAUAGAAUACAAGCUGGAUGGAUGAAGUGGAAGAGUGCAUCCGGCGUGUGUUGUGUGACCGCCGUAUGCCACUGAAGCUCAAGGGAAAAUUUUAUAGGACGGCAAUAAGGCCGGCGAUGCUGUAUGGCACAGAAUGUUGGGCGGUGAAACAUCAACACGUACACAAAAUGGGUGUAGCGGAGAUGAGGAUGCUUCGUUGGAUGUGUGGGCACACGAGAAAGGAUAAGAUUAGGAAUGAGGAUAUCCGGGGUAAAGUAGGAGAGUAGCCGAAAUUGAAGGAAAGAUGAGAGAAAAUCGGUUACGGUGGUUUGGACAUGUGCAAAGAAGGCCUACUGACGCUCCGAUUAGAAGAUGCGACUAUGGGACAGAGGUUCAGGGCCGAAGGGGUAGAGGAAGACCUAGGAAAACUUUGGAAGAGACUCUAAGAAAAGACUUAGAGUACUUGGAUCUAACGAAGGACAUGACACAGGAUCGAGCACAAUGGCGUUCUAAGAUUCAUAUAGCCGAUCCCACUCAGUGACUUGGAUUUUCCAAGUCUCCAACCGAGAAGUUUUCCUCACUCGGGAAAUUAAGGGAACACUACCCCAACCUACAUGCUCCACUCAGAAAGCUUCAACAUACAAAGCUUCAACAAAAGAAAAUUCAAAGAACUUAGCGAAGAAGGCUUUGGUGUAUUUAACACAAUACGUUGAAAUGAAGGAAAGCUUAUUUAUUGAUAUCCCCGAUAAGCUACAAAUAUGUACAUAUACAUGAGUCAAAAUAAACACACAAGAGGGAGCCUUCACAAAGGUUGCUUAGGAGAAGUCUCAGCAGUCGGUAGAGCCCCAGAAAGAGAAGGCACCGGAGGGGGAUCAUUUGGAGCCUCAGUACUGGACAGAACCCUAGAAGGAGGAGGCAUCAGAGGUUGAUCAUUUGGAGCUUCAUUACGCGGUACAGCCCCAGAAGACGAAGGCAAUAAAUGCCUUUGGAACAAACCCACAAAUCUCUGAUGAUCAAGUAAAACCUGACCAUCAGUUUCCUUCAUCUGGUCAAGCUUCCUCUUCAUGUUUGUAGCAUAGUCAUGUGCGAGCCGGUGCAACUGUUUAUUCUCAUGCUUGAGCCCUCUAAUCUCCUGUUUGAGACUCAUCACUUCAGCCGCCAAUGAUUCAACUUGGCGGGUUCGAGCAAAUAGGCGUUGGGCCAUAUUAGACACAGAACCUGCACACUGAACACUGAGAGCCAGCGAAUCCUUAACAGCUAACUCAUCAGACCGUUUGGAAAGUAGUCUGUUAUCUUUGGGAGUGAGAAGGUUCCUGGCCACCACCGCAGCGGUCAUAUCAUUCUUUCAUCACGGAAUCCCCAACGGUAAGAGGACCAGUAGGGGAGACGAAGGAUGGGCGCCAUAUGUUGUCUGGAGAAGGCGGGGCUGCCUCUUCAACAAGGUUCAAGUCAAAACGACGGUCGGAGGGGCCAGACAUUUUCAAAGGUGUUGAAGAGAGAAGAGGUCGGACAAAUCAAGAUCUUAGAAGUGCAAGAAUGAAGCUUCUACUGGUGGAGAUUCAAGUGUGCUUUGGAACUUAAUGCCAGCCCCUAUAAAAAUCUGCACUCGACGGAGCUUCAGAAAUCGAAGAGGCGCCUGCUCAGAAAUCGAAGAGGCGUUUGCUUUCUCAAAAGCUGGGCUGCUUAGAGAUCACGAGGGUUGAUCUCAGAAAUCGAAGAGGCGUUUGCUUUCUCAAAAGUUGGGCUGCUCAAAGACCACGAAGGCCGAUCUCAGAAAUCGAAGAGGCGCUCGCUUUCUCAAAAGCUGGGCUCCCCAGAGACCACGAGGGCCGAUCUCAGAAAUCGAAGAGGCACCUACUUUUCCAGCCUUGUCAGCACCUGUCACACGCACACUCAGCUUUGCGGAAAUUAUGGGCAUUCUGUCGAAGACUUCUGGGGAAGUAGAAAACACAUGAAUCUUACUGUUCAAUCACCCACUUCCCACACGCAACAAUAGCUCAUGGGUACCACAGAUAACUUUGCCAAAGUUCUCUGCCAAAGUUGAGCACGUGAAGCUUGCAGCUCCCACUACAUCGCUCUGACCAAGAAGGGUAAAAGAAUAGCAAAGAAACAGCACUAACAAAGUUUAGACCCAUAAAUUUUGAAGGUCUAGCUACCAUAUUAUUACCCACAAGGGUAAAGGAACAGUACCACUGCUGGAUAAUUGGAAAGUCCCUGUGUGUCAACCUCUGUGCUUCGUGGCAAGGUAGACUAGCAAACAUGCCCAACCUUUACUCACAUUCGAGAAAACACUCCCAAUAAGAUUGCUUGCUCCAAAAUCGAAGAGGCACCGUCCUCCGAAUCUCGAGAGCCAGACUCCCAACAUGACUACUUUCUUAAAAAUCGAAGAGAGGGUAAAGGAACAGUACCAUUGCUGGAUAAUUGGAAAGUCCCUGUGUGUCAACCUCUGUGCUUCGUGGCAAGGUAGACUAGCAAACAUGCCCAACCUUUACUCACAUUCGAGAAAACACUCCCAACAAGAUUGCUUGCUCCAAAAUCGAAGAGGCACCGCCCUCCGAAUCUCGAGAGCCAGACUCCCAACAUGAUUACUUUCUCAAAAAUCGAAGAGACACUGCUCCCCGAAUCUUCGAGAGCCAGACCCCCAGCAUGAUUGCUUUCUCAAAAAUCGAUGAGGCAUCGUUCUCCGAAUCAAUCGAAGAGGCGCUCGCUUUCUCAAAAGCUGGGCUGCUCAGAGACCACGAGGGCCGAUCUCAGAAAUCGAAGAGGCACCUACUUUUCUAGCCUUGUCAGCACCUGUCACACGCACACUCAGCUUUGCAGAAAUUAUGGGCAUUCUGUCGAAGACUUCUGGUGAAGUAGAAAGCACAUGAAUCUUACUGUUCAAUCACCCACUUCCCACACGCAACAAUAGCUCAUGGGUACCACAGAUAACUUUGCCAAAGUUCUCUGCCAAAGUUGAGCACGUGAAGCUUGCAGCUCCCACUACAUCGCUCUGACCAAGAAAGGUAAAAGAAUAGCAAAGAAACAGCACUAACAAAGUUUAGACACAUAAAUUUUGAAGGUCUAGCUACCAUAUUAUUACCCACAAGGGUAAAGGAACAGUACCACUGCUGGAUAAUUGGAAAGUCCCUGUGUGUCAACCUCUGUGCUUCGUGGCAAGGUAGACUAGCAAACAUGCCCAACCUUUACUCACAUUCGAGAAAACACUCCCAACAAGAUUGCUUGCUCCAAAAUCGAAGAGGCACCGUCCUCCGAAUCUCGAGAGCCAGACUCCCAACAUGACUACUUUCUCAAAAUCGAAGAGAGGGUAAAGGAACAGUACCAUUGCUGGAUAAUUGGAAAGUCCCUGUGUGUCAACCUUUGUGCUUCGUGGCAAGGUAGACUAGCAAACAUGCCCAACCUUUACUCACAUUCGAGACAACACUCCCAACAAGAUUGCUUGCUCCAAAAUCGAAGAGGCACCGCCCUCCGAAUCUCGAGAGCCAGACUCCCAACAUGAUUACUUCCUCAAAAAUCGAAGAGACACUGCUCUCCGAAUCUCGAGAGCCAGACCCCCAGCAUGAUUGCUUUCUCAAAAAUCGAAGAGGCAUCGUUCUCCGAAUCUCGAGAGCCAGAUACCACAGACCACUUUUUCAAAGUGCUCUGACAGAGUUAAAACAUGUGAAACUGGCAGCUCCCACUACCGUGCUAUGACCAAGCAGGGUAAAGGAAUAGCAUUACUACUUGUUGUUAGGGAGACUCCUAUAUAUGUCGACCUCCAUCCCCAACGGACAGGCAGACCUGCAAAAAUGCUCAACCCUUCAUCAUAUCUGAGAGGGCACUCCCAACGAAGCCUUUCGAAAUAUUCAGCUUUCUUUCCCCCCGAUAAUACCUCUGCAAACAAGCUAUACUAGAGCAAGAAUAUCUCAUAUCAUCAGGGUUAAAAGCAAGAGUAUCCCAUAUCAUGCUUUUUCCCUGUCUUUUCCUUUGGCCUUGUUUUUACCUGCAAGACAAGGAGAAAGAGAGAGCAAUCAGUCAGCACUUGGAAUCAAGCUUCCAGCCAGGAACUGACUGCCUGGAACCCCUUACCUGAUUACUUACCUGGCAUUGCUCUCGAGUACUCAUCUUCAACAUCUUAUGUUUCCAGGGAAGAUUCCGCAUCUGCUUGAGGAACAGAUAGGGCAAGUGCGAAGGAUACAAGGAAGCAUGUGGAGACAAGCGUAACAGCACACGUGCCGAUACAUCCAUUACUCUGUCAAAAGCAAAAGUAUCCCAUAUCAGCAGGGUGGAACGUACUCUAGAUUUGAUGGACUUGUUUUGACCCUCAAAUUCUUCAGUCGGCCUUAUACUCUGGAGGAAACCAGAAAAACCCUCCAGCUCAGUUCAAGAAUAAGCCUGUGGAAAGUUACUUCUUC
This 92102-nucleotide long non-coding RNA is filed under the name Malus domestica (apple). Its description in RNAcentral is "long non-coding RNA (MDOM_LNC013613)". Lineage: Eukaryota; Viridiplantae; Streptophyta; Magnoliopsida; Rosales; Rosaceae. The record is from RNAcentral.